UUUAUAAAUGUUUAUGAUGUUAUCUUAAAUUUAAUACUCAAUUACAAUUUUGGUCCCUCUAUUAUUACAAAUUCACGUAAUUGAGUCGUCUUUUUUAAAAAUUGACGGUUUUGAUCCUCUCUUAGUUUUUUGAACUAAAAAAUAACGAUUUGACAUAUUUUUAGUAACAUGACAUACAAUUUUGUAAUAUAGAUUCAUUAAUUACUCAUAUGUCAAUAGUUAAAUUAAUAAUAUAAUAAAUUUUCGAGCUAUUGAAAACUAAAUUUUUACGGUUUAUUCCAAUUUCAUGGAUGUUAAUCAUUAUAUAUCGUCGUAUCAUAUGUCAUGUUAUUUAAAGCAUCAACGUCAUAAUUUUUAGUUAAAAAAACAGAUGGAGGGAUUAAAAUUGUCGACUUUAAAAUAUGGACCGACUUCAUAAAUCAAUAAAAAUAAAGAGGAUUAAAACUGCAAUUAAGUUUAAAUUUAAACUAACAAAAUUGAAAUUCAAAAUUUUAUCGAUGUUUUUAAUAAAUUAAUGUAAUUUUUAAGGGAUUUUGAUUAGAAUAAUCAUAAAAAUAUAAAUUAUCAUAAUUUUUUUUAAAUUAAAAAAUUUAGAGCAAAUUCGAGUGAGAUUUAUCUUAGAACUCUUUAAAUUAAAGCAUAGUUCUCCUACUAAAGUUUAUUAGGUUUUUCUUGCUAUUAGAGCAUUAAGCCCUAAAGUUUAAACCUAUUAAUGUUAGGGUGCUAUUCAAAUAAUAUUUUAAAAUCCCAUCUUAUUUUUUAUUAUUUUAUUAUGGAUUUAAGUGAGAGCACCGAAGAGCUGAAUGUUUUGUUAAUUGUGAAAAAAAAUUUCAAAUUUUAUUUUUCUCUUAAAACUAUAAAAAAAAAUAUAAUCUUAUUUUUCUCAAAAAAUAUUUUAAAUCAUUCUUUUAAAAAAAAAUUUUGUAAAAAAAAAUUAAUAAAAUUUUUAAAAAGUAUUUUUCUUGAAUAAAACGAUUUAUCUAUUGAAAAGAAUAAAAAAAAUCAAAAUUUGAAAAAGUACACACACCUCGUUUAAUGCAUAAAAUUUUAGGGAUUUUUUAGAUUUGAGACUUCUUUUUUGGGAUCUUGUUAAUUAUGAAAAUUUAUUGGUUCAUCUAACGUGUGAAUUAAAGCCAAUAAUGAGUGGAGUUGUAAAAUUAACACAUAUAAUUGCUAUAAAAAAAUUGGAUUUUGUAAGGCUAAAUUGACUUGUACUCCAUUUAUAAUUUUUAAAAUACUAUUAAGUGAUUGAUAAAAAUUAUAAUAAAUUUAAAUAUUUCAAAAAUUAAAUUUUUAAUAGUUAUAUUUUAAUAUCGAAAAUUUCAAAUAAAAUUUCUAAGAGUUAUUUUCAAUUAAAAAUUUAAAAUAUUUGGUAUUUAAAAUAUUCAAUAAUUCUUUUAAAUAAAAAUUUGUAUUUUUAAAAUGUCUGAUAUUAAAAUAUAACUACGAUACAUCCUAGUCAGUUUUUUUUUUUUUUUUUUAAGUUUAUAUUUUUUCCAUUCAAUUUUUUUUAGUGAGGAUGAGAAGAACUAAAAACAGCGUGGAAAGUUAUGACGCAGUCCGCUCUGUUUCUAGUUGAACCAUAUCCGGCGGUUGGAACUUGGAAGGGUAGUUAAGUAUUUAAAAUAUUGAAACUACCGAAGUCUCCACCAACGUAAUCUCUCUCUUGGGGCACCCAUCGUGUAUACUUUAGAUUGACUUCAAUUUUUGAAAACAACACUACACUGAUAGUAUCAAAAUGGAGAAGAACGAAGAAGUUCCCGUCUUCUGGUUCGAAACCUCUAACUCUGUUUGUCGUCGACACCACUUUCAAUCCGACGGUCAACUCUCCGUACGUCCUCUAUUCUCCAAUCUCUAUUCAUAAGAUUUUCUAAAAUCAAUAUUUCUUACGCAAUGUUCUAAAGUUAACCCUAACAAGUGUUUUUCGUUUCUCUAUAGGUAACUCUUGUUGAUGAUUCCAGACCGUUAUAUCAAAAGGUUGCUGGAUCUUUCAUGAACAAAUUUUUCCCCUCCGGAUAUCCUUACAGGUUAUUUGAAAUUUUCUUCAUUGUUGAAUAUAUGAUAUAUAGUUAUGGCUUAGUUUAUAUAAGUUUGUUCAAUUUACUCAAAUUUCUAGUGUUUUCAUUGUAGCGUGAAUGAAGGUUAUCUUAGAUACACGCAAUUUCGAGCAGUGCAGCAUGUUACUAGUGCUGCAAUGUCAGUGCUAUCAACUCAGGUAUUCUUCUUAUAACAUUCAAUUUUGAAAAAUCUUAGUGAACCAUGUAAAUUCUUGAUUAAAUGGUUAUUUUGGUCACAAAAGAAAUAUUGAAUAUGUCUUGUAUUAGUAAUUUUGAGGACUAAACUAACUAACAAAAGCCAAGUUUGAAGACACAUUCAAAGACUAAAUUGAACAAUAAAAUAUGCAUCCAUGGAUUUUUUAUAAUCCGCUAUGCUAUAGUGUAAUAGCACUCCAAUAGUGGCUAUUUGACAACACUUUGUACUAAAUACCACACCACGGAGUAAUAACAAUUUGUUCAAUUUCCACUACGCUAUUACGCUAUAGCGGCUAUUUUACAACACUAAGACCAAAAUGGUUGAUUAUACCAAUCUGCUUUAUACAUUUUUUUUUUGUUAGUUGUAAGAAUUGAUUCACAUGAAAUUAUUGAGUAUUAACUGAGUGUCCUUGUGCAGUCACUAUUAAUUGCUGCAGGGUUGCGGCCCACUCCUGCACAAGCAACUGCUGUUAGCUGGGUAAUUUGAUACUAAUUUGCAAUUGACAAUUUCUCAGACUAGUAAUAGUCGUAGCAUAUGUUUAAUGUAUACCCCAUGUGUGCGGCUCGUAUCCAGAUUUUAAAGGAUGGGAUGGAACAUGUCGGGAAGCUAAUAUGUAGCAAUUGGGGUGCAAGAAUGGAUUCUGAGCCUAAACGAUGGAGGUUACUAGGUUUGCAACUUAGCUUGGGGAAAAAAUAUAUUAGUUGUAAUUUGUUUAGUUUACAAGUUGUCUGACUGUUAAUAACUUUACAUUUUGCAGCUGAUGUGCUCUAUGAUUUAGGCAUGGGCUUGGAAGUGCUUUCUCCGUUAUGCCCACAUCUUUUUCUUGAAAUGGCAGGCCUAGGAAAUUUUGCAAAGGUUUAUAUUUUUAUCGGAUUCUCUUAUAAGUAAUUUCCUCUUAUGGCAUCUGCUGCAUUUUAAAGUUUGAUUCAGUGGUAAUUGUUUAUUAAAACCUUCAUGAUUAAGAACUUUAGCAAGCAUCUUAUUAUAGAUUUAUAGUGAAGGUACAACUUUUAUUCUUAGCUAUUAACUUAUCUUUAUGUUAUUAUGGAGAGUUAACAGGGGAUGGCUCUUGUUGCAGCUAGAGCAACACGAUUGCCUAUAUAUUCUUCAUUUGCUAAAGAAGGAAAUCUCAGCGACCUAUUUGCUAAAGGGGAGGCUUUUUCAACUCUAUGUAAUGUUGUUGGACUUGGAAUUGGAAUUCGAUUAGCUUCUACUAUCUGUGCAUCAGUGCAGGGAAAGGUAUGAAGAUUUUAUUACGCCAUUCAACAAUAGUUAUAAUCCUAAGUUUAAAGGUUUAAAGGUAAAUUGGUUGUGAUUGCAUCAAAUAGAAAUAAUGAUAAAAAUAAUUUGGAAUAACUGAGAGAUUAAAAUGCCGGGAUUAAUUUAGAUUCAAAUAGUUGAUUUAUCCUAAAUCAAGAUUCAAAGAAUAUUUUCCAUUAAAACUUCAAAUCAAAGAUCAAGUUAUAAAAAACAUGAAAAACAAAGAUAAAUCAUUGGGAUUGACGAGUAACUAGAACAUAUAUAUAGAAAUCAAAAGAGAUACAUGAGAGUAUGAUUAAAAGAGAGAGUUUAGUUACUCAUGGUAGCCAUGAAAAUGAGAUCAAGAGGGUAGAAAGUCUUCAAUGAUGUCGCAAGAUGAGCUUCUCCAAUUUUUCUUUUUAUAUCACAAGCAAGGAGGUGAAUAAGUGACAAACUCGCUUAGCGAGUCCAAGAUUUCUUCAUGCUGACGGAGUUUGAGUCUUUUGGAACCGCCUAAAAUGGCUCAACGAAUCAUGUGUGGCUUAGCCAAUCUGUUCUGCUAAAAUCUUGUACUUCUUUCUUGAAUUCGCUUAGAUAGCCCACGUUGGCUAAGCGAAUUUUGUCCUGUUUGGGCAUUCAAGCCUUUUUUUUUUUCCACUCCAUUUUUUUUCUACACGAACAAAAAUAAUAAUUAGAUGAACUUUUCAAUACUUUCUCAUAAAAUAAUCACACUACACAACUAUUACAAAAAUUGAGGUUAAACUAACAUAUUCGUUACCGACGUAAGUCAAUAAGUGCAUUAAAUCUACAUAAUUUUCAAGUAAAAUUGACACUUAUCAGUCACAAUUAUAUGUACCAACUUACCCAGAAAAAAAUGGAAAAUAACAAAUUUAGUUCUAGAUAAAAAUGGAUAGUAACAAGGGAACAAUUUUUCUGUGAAAUUGGACUUAGGAGAGAAUAUUUAAGCGUCAUGAUUAUAUUUCAGGCUAGCACCAACAAUUAAAUUAGAUUCAUUUAUUUAAAAACUCUUAUUAAUGGUAGUUAGCGGUGUAGUUAGAUGAGUAGAAAUACAAAAAUUAAGGGUAUAUUAGUGAAAAACAGUAAUUAAUGUUUCAUCACUAAUAUAAAGAGACAUAUAAUUUGAGACAAAUAAAUAUUGCAAAUGAGCCAUUUAGUAUGAGACGAAUAAAGUAUUUUAUUUGCAACGAGUUCAUUACUCAAGAACUGAAAGGAAACAUGUUUUUUUUCUACUUUACUUUUUAGAGAUGUAAUUAAUCAUGCAACAUGUCUUGAUAAACAUUUUCUUGUAAUUAAUCAUGCAACAUCUCUCCUUUCAAUCAUCACUCGUAUAUUAUUUUAGUGUUUAUGUCCAAUCAGAACCAUUACUCGAAAUAUGAAAGAAAAAAAAUAUUUUCUUGUUCUUUACUGUCUAGACUUAUAAUUAAUCAUGUGGUAGAACUCAAUGCUAAACAUAUGUUGUAUCUAUGAUUUCAAUUGAUUGAUUAUGAAACUUUUUAUGCCAGUUGGUUGUAGUUCCUCUCCUUUCAUUUAUACAUAUAUACUCUGUGUCUGAAGAGAUGAGAGCAACUCCUAUCAAUACUUUGAAUCCACAAAGAACAGCGAUGAUUGUGACUGAUUUUCUCAAGGUCUGGUUUGGAAUAUUUUGUUCUAAAUGAUAACUCUCUUGGUUUUUCCUUCCUUUUAUUUGAAAAUGUAAAUUGGUGUUUGACUGUUAAUUGAAUUCCAUACCAGGCAGGAAUUGUAUCAAGCCCUGCUGACCUAAGAUAUAGAGAAAACCUGCUUUUUUCUGUGAGGAUCAAAGAAGAUGUUGGAAAUGUAAGAGUAGGGAAGGCUUUACACGAAGUUAUUAAACCUUCCAAACUUGUUGAAUUAAAACAAGUGUUUCCUAAGGAGAAGUUUCUUUUAAGUCGCGGAGGUAAAUGCAUUGACAUGGUAUUGAAGCAAGAUGCUAGUGGUGAAGAUGCAUUGAGAGGGUGGCUAGUUGCUGCAUUUGCUGAACAAAAUGAGAGUUCCUCUCAUGAGCUUAGUGCUAGUGUCCUGCAAGAAGCCUACGGAAAAAUGAAUGGAGUCUUUCAUGUAUUUCUAAAAGAAUUGCAGAAUAAAGGGUGGCACACUGAUCGCUUUCUGGAUGGAACUGGGAGCCGGUUUGCAUUCUAGUUAGUGUUAAUAAACAGCGGCACUAUACACUGUUGUGUAGCAAAACUUGAACAAAUCAUUUUUUGUUUUUCUACAAUUGACAACACUAAUUGUGAAUUGAGUACAUUUUACACAUUAUUUGAGAAAUUUUGAUGUACUUUGAGUGGAGUUAAUCCAGUGGUUCAUAUUACUUUGUUAACUAUGCAUUUAAUUAUUAUUUUUAAAUUAAUUAGAUGUGUACGGAAAAACAAUUUGAUUCAUGAGUAUGUAUAGAUUAACAAUAACUCUGUUCUACACAAAUUCAUAUAAAAUUUUCUAUUUAUGCACAUGUGUUUUAUUUGGAACAUUAUUAUUAUUAUUUUUAAUAGAAGGGAAUCGGCUUGGAAGAAUUUAAUUCUUCUAUAGUGAGAAAUUGAUAAGGUGAGAUCAAUGGUUGAUAUUAGUUAUGCAUUAUGAUAUAAUAUAUUUGGAAGAAAUACUAAAUGUAAACAAAAUAAUAGCAACACAGUCCCUUAUUUGAACUUCAACCCAUCAAUAUUGAAAAUAUGUCUUAAAAGAAUCUUGUCAAUGUUCUUUACACACACAAAAACAACAUAGGAAACUUCAAAUAGUUGAAGUCAUAAGAGAGAUCUCAUGUUUUAAUAAGGGUUCAACCACUGAAUUUCUCCCAUGAAAAAUAUACUGAACACAACAUUAUCAAACUGAUGUGUGAGACCUUGAAUCUGAAAAACCAAUGUUGAGCAUGGGUGAAGAAGAACACCCUUUCAUCAUAAAAUUAAUUGUAGUAUCAAAAUUUGAUUGAAAAAAUCCGGUUAUGAGACCUAAAUUCAAAAUCGGAUCCAAAUCCAUUUUAAAUAUUCGGUUAAAAUAAUAUGGUUAUAAUCCGAUUUAUUUAUUAACACACUUAUGUUUUAUAUUUGAAUUUUAUUUUUAUCCACUCAAACUCCAAACAAUCUUAAAUCUCCAAAACUCAAACGAUUAUGAUUUUGCCAUUAUUCCACUGACCUUCCACCUUUCAACAACAUUUUCCGAUAAUUUAUUACUAACUUUAUUUAAUCAAUAGCUUAUUACUAAAGCUGUAAAAAAAAAAAAAACUCCAAACUCCAAUGCCGUCUUUAAUUUUUUAUUUAUUAAAUCCCAAAUAUUAGAUUCUCUAUUAAAAUAAUUUUUUUAAAGCCCUGAUUUAUUAUUUUAUUAUUGUUUGUGAGUUUAAGGGAGGGGGGCUCAUAGGCCCCAAUAUUUUGUUAAUUUUGAGAUUCUUUUCUUGAAUUUUUUGUUGAAAUUUAUAUUUUUUUUCUCAAAAAGUUUGAUGAGAUUUUUUUUAAAAAAAUUUCUCGUGAAAAUUGAAUUUUGUUUUUUGUUUAUUUAAAAAAAUUGUAAAUAAUUUUUUAUUGAAUUUUGUAAAACCCGUUGCUUAAUUAGUAACCGGUUAUUUACCUAUAUCCAAUUUUACAAUUGAUUUUAUAACCGGUUUUAUACCAAAUAAUGUAUUUGGUUAUAAAUCUAGACCUAAACUUUGUUCUCUGCUUUGGGUCUAUUGAUUAGCCUUCGCAGUCUUUUCAAUUGUGAAAAGACGUCUUAAUGAUUUGAGGAGUGUAAGAGUAGUUUGCAAAUUAUCUUUAGUAUCGACUAUCGAGCUAUGUGAGACUUUUUAGUGUAGUUGAAACAAAUUUAAAAUCAUUUUAUUUGAUUAAUUUUCGUAGGUUCGACAAAACUCUAAUUUGAUGUAUUGACACUUGUUAGAUACAAUAAUUAUUUCAUUAAUAGGUAAAGAAAUUGGAAAUGUUGUUUUUUAAUUUCGAAAAACAGUUUUGAAAAAUAAUUUUCAAUCACUGAAGAUAUGAGUUGAGUCACAUACUACGUCGCUCUCUUUAAGACUUUUCACAACAAUGUCCAAAAUUGUAUAAGACAUAUCAUCAACCAUAAAGUCCUCUAAAUAUGGCGUACAACUAAGUUACACCGUAUCGGUUUUACUACUGCAUCUUAAAAAAACACCUUCUAGAUAUGGCGUUUAAUGUCACUCGUAAUAUGAUACAAUGACUACUUGGAAAUAUUUUCUAUAAAGAGACACAAAAAAAAUUUGGGAUGAAGUUGAAAAGUGAGAAGAGAGAAAACUCUGAAUUUUUCAAAGUUUUGAUUUAUUUUCUAAAUUGACUAGGAUUCUCUAUUUAUAGAGGAGUUCUGCAACUUAUUGAAGCAGAAAGCGCAGUCCGUUUAACCGAAUAUGUAAAAGUGCUACACACCCAAUUUGAUUAGACCAGUGAAAUUUGCGGGCAAAAAGGGAGAAGUUGGACAACUUAAUUGUUGAUUGUUGACUCAGGAAAUAACAAAGAAAACAUGUAAAUUAAUGUGUCAAAAAAAUCUCAAAUACAAAAAACACGCAUUCAAAAAAUAAAUAUUAAUUUUUAUUUUUUCGAGUACUAACAAAUAAUACACUACUUAGUUCAAGUCCAACCGCACCCGACCGACACUGGUGUGCGUAUAUGGUCAGUUUAAGAGCGUUUUAUUCUCUUAUGAGUGUGAAGUUUGAAAUCAUACAUCUACUUUAUAAACACUAAUAAUAUGUAAUAUACCUCUCCAAUAUAGAAAUUUGUGCAUCUUUUUUGAUUGAUAGGACACUAACUCUAAAUUUCUAACGUCGUUUUCAACUGGGAAUGAGUUAAAACCCAAAAAUAAUGAAGUACUAGCAUAGUAGUGUUGAAGGGUUCGUCAACUUUGUAUGCCUGAAGUCUUACAUGAAACUAAUAUCUUUGACUUGUCUUGUUACUUAGGCAACACACUCACAAUAUUGUCCCAGUUACUAUUACUACCACUAAAGGAUGUUACCAAUUCACGCAUUCAUGAUUAAUCUACAAUUUGGUUUAUGUUCAGUCCAAAAGAAAAAAAAUAUCUUUUUGUAUGUAAAAGAACCAAUAUAAUAAUACUACUGCUAUAGAAUAAUAAAAUGCAACCGACUUCGUAUCCAAAAUAAAAAAAGUGUUACUGACUUUGAUCAUCAGGUAUAGAGGACAAGCUAGCCUCAAUCUUUGACGUCCUCUUAAAAUUGUCUCAUAAAAAACGAAAAAGAAUAAGCCACGGUUUAAUUUAUUUACUUUCAGAAAUAACUUAUUUACAUUUACGUUAGAAUUGUCAAAAUAAAAUAGAUGAACCUUAACUCACCAUACUUUAUGGAACUUAGAUCAAAAUUUGUUGUUGCGUGUGUGUUUUUAAUGUUUAGUGUUGGAUUAAAAAGGGAAAUUGCCAAACUAAAAAAGAGAUUUGUAGGAGAUAUAUUAAUUUGCCAUGACCCUAUGAAGUAUGAACCACACGUCCAGCGUACCAAGUAAACUAGUCUAAGUGAUUGGUUGGGAUAUUUUAAUCAUCAAAUCCCACUUCUUGGUUGGUAUAUUGCCAUGACCCUAAGUGAUUGGUUGGGAUAUUUAACUUUUUCACAAUUUCCUGUGUAGUUUAUUGUGUAGUUUAUAGGAAAACUUGCAAAGAAGUUUUCAAUACACACUAAAUUUAAUUUUUUUUUUUUUAAAAUAGUACCGAAAAACUUAAAAAAAAAUUCUGAUAGAAAUCUUUUAUAUCGAAAAACUUUAAAGUUUUUCGAUAAAUUUUAAUUUGAGUUGAUAAAAUAGUAAAAAAAUUAAAAAUAUAUUUAACAUUUUAAAAAAUUUAUGACGAUAUAAAUACAAAUGUAGGGAGAUAUAUGGUAAAUUGUUCGUGUUUGAAAAAAAAGAAAACUUUUAUAUAAAUUAUAAAUUAUAAAUUAUAUUUAGUUAUUCAUUUAUAAGUUUAUCAUUUAUAAGUUUCUAAUUUAUAGUUUAUAGUCUUUUUUUAGAAGUUGAUUUAAAUAGUUUUGAGUUUAUAAUAAUUUUUUUAAUUUUAUUUUUAUUAUUGUAUUUAAUUUUUUAAUAUUUUGUUUUUUUAUCUUUUAAUUCUUAUCACAUCAUAUCUCUCUUCUCUAUUUGUAUUUUUCUCAAAGUGUAUGGAUAUUCACCAAUAAUAUUUCAUUAAGAAAUAUAUUGAGUCUCUUGAAAAAGUUUAGCACGGCCGUAAUAGAAGGGAGUGGGUCAUGACCACCGACCCAAUGUCAAAGUUAGAGCCGUAGGAUUUGGAAAAAUUAAUUAAUUUUUCAUGUAUAUUUAGUCUUUAAAAAAGUAAAAUUUUAAAUAGUACAAUAAGUAAAAUGUCUCACAAUUAUAAAAAAUAUAAUUAUUAUCAUAUUUAAUUAAAAUAUUUAUAUCUCAUAAAAUAAAAUAUUUAAAUAAAAUUAUAAUAAAAUAUUAUUGUCAACAUUAGAAGAUCUCUAUUUUUUUCAUCUAUACAUGAUUUCAGAUUUUAUUUUUGGCCUCUAUAAAUGUUUGGUCAACCCUGAAGUGGGUAUAUGCUGAUGGAAUAUUUGGUUUGUAAUUAUGAAACCAAACUAAACUAAACUCGUUAUGUUGCCUUAUAAAUUGUUAUCACUCCCUUCACUUAUUUCCCGCACACCCAUACAUUCACCAUUUCUUUCUCCUUAUUUACUUUCUUUCUUCUCCUCAUUCCUUGUACUUAACAUUUCUAUAAUAAUCUUCUUGCACUACCAGGUUAGUACUUUUACAAUUGCCCUUUUUCUUUCUCCACUCAUUUUCUUUUUAUAUCAUCAUGUCAUGCCACUGUCACACAUUCAAUAAUCAUUAAUGAUGCAUGUGCAUGUUCAUGUCAUGCUGAUUUGAUCUUAUUUAUUACUCCAUAGAUGUUUCUGUUCUGACAUUAAUCGGAUCCAAUUUCCAACAUUAUAUACAUAUUCAAAUCAUCGUGAUUAAGAUUCAUCUAUUUUUAACAGAAUCAAAUCACCGUUUCUUAAUUUGUUCCUAAUAAAAAUUAAUUCAACGAGUUUUUUUUAAUUAAUUUUUAAUGAGAACAAAUCUUUUAAUUUUAUGUUUCUGUUGUGGUAAAUUAUGUGUAAUUUUUUCUCGUAAAAUCAAUUUGUGAGGGUAUAAAAUGUAGAUAGCAUUUUAAUUUCGGGAUAUGUUUCCCAGGUAGUGUAUUAGUUAAUUCAUUUGAUAGGACUUCACAUUUAUAUCAUGUUAUUUUUCUGCAUCUAUUAUGAGUCUCACAUUGAAUAAAAUAAAAUGCGAUAAAGUGUUUAUAAGUGGUGGAUCUUAUAUUGAAAAAGUUAAGGUUUGACAAAGUAUUUAUAAAUAAUAGAUAAGAGUAUUCAUAGCGUCAAUCUGAUCUGCUAUGCUUAUAUUCGCAAUAGUAACUAAGAAUAAUAUAUAAAAAUCCCACACUUGAGUAAAAAAUCUAAUUCUGGUUUUCAGUUUUGCAGGGAAUAGCAAAUAUACACAUAAGGAAUCUUGUUAUUUUAGCUUGAAAAGUGAUGGCAAAGGAAAUUCAGGUGCUAAAUGCGUUAGAUGCAGCUAAAACACAAUGGUACCAUUUCACUGCAAUCAUCAUAGCUGGGAUGGGCUUCUUCACGGAUGCAUAUGAUCUGUUUUGUAUAUCACUUGUUACCAAGUUACUCGGUCGCAUAUAUUACCACGUUGAUGGUGCAGCGAAGCCAGGUACAUUGCCUCCCAAUGUAGCAGCUGCUGUAAAUGGUGUGGCUUUUUGUGGAACACUUUCUGGACAACUUUUCUUUGGAUGGCUUGGUGAUAAGUUAGGUAGGAAAAAAGUCUAUGGAAUGACCCUCAUGAUGAUGGUAAUUUGCUCCAUUGGUUCUGGUCUUUCUUUUGGACACAGUCCAAAAUCUGUCAUGGCAACUCUUUGCUUCUUCCGCUUCUGGCUUGGUUUUGGUAUUGGUGGAGACUACCCACUUUCGGCUACCAUAAUGUCAGAGUAUUCUAAUAAGAAGACUCGAGGUGCCUUCAUUGCUGCUGUCUUUGCCAUGCAGGGUUUUGGAAUCUUGGGAGGUGGUGUAUUUGCAAUCAUAGUCUCAGUUGCAUUCAAGGCCAAGUUUGAUUCUCCUCCUUAUGAGGUGGAUCCAGUUGGUUCAACUGUUCCACAAGCAGAUUACAUUUGGAGAAUAAUUGUGAUGGUAGGAGCACUUCCAGCUGCAUUAACUUACUAUUGGCGGACGAAGAUGCCCGAAACUGCUCGUUACACUGCUCUAGUUGCUAACAAUACAGCGCAGGCUGCAGCGGACAUGUCCAAGGUUAUGCAGGUUGAGAUUCAAGUUGAACCUCAGAAAGAGGCACAGGAAAUGGCUAAACCAUAUGGCUUGUUCUCAAAAGAGUUCUUCAAUCGUCAUGGACUACAUCUACUUGGUACAGCAAGCACUUGGUUCUUGCUUGAUAUUGCAUUUUAUAGCCAAAAUCUCUUCCAAAAGGAUAUUUUUAGCGCAAUUGGCUGGAUACCUCCUGCACAAACCAUGAAUGCACUUGAGGAGGUUUACAAAAUUGCAAGAGCUCAAACACUUAUUGCUUUAUGCAGUACUGUUCCAGGCUACUGGUUUACAGUGGCUCUCAUUGAUAGGAUAGGAAGAUUCGCAAUUCAAUUAAUGGGAUUCUUCUUUAUGACUGUCUUCAUGUUUGCUCUUGCUAUUCCUUAUGAACAUUGGACUCAUAAGGAUCACCGAAUAGGAUUUGUGGUAUUGUAUUCCUUGACUUUCUUCUUUGCAAAUUUUGGGCCUAAUGCUACAACAUUUGUCGUGCCGGCAGAGAUUUUUCCUGCUAGAUUCCGAUCUACUUGUCAUGGAAUAUCAUCAGCAGCGGGAAAACUUGGGGCUAUAGUUGGUGCAUUUGGGUUCUUGUAUUUGGCACAAAACAAGGACAAGAGCAAAGCAGAUGCAGGGUACCCUGCAGGUAUUGGUGUGAAGAAUUCACUGAUUGUAUUGGGUGUGAUUAACAUUUUGGGCUUCUGUUUUACUUUCUUGGUUCCUGAGGCAAAUGGAAAAUCGUUGGAAGAGAUGUCAGGUGAAAACGAUGAAGAAGCUGAAAACACAUAAGAACAGUCUAAUGCUUACAACAACAGAAUUGUCCCAUAUUAAUAAGGGAACACUUAAGCUUUACCUUUCUCUCUCUCUAUUUUAACUUUCAACUUUUGCCGGGAUAAUAUCUAAGAGGAUCUGAAGAGCCACUAAUUCUAUGAAUUAAUAUUGGAAAAUACUAAAGUGUAAUCAUUUCAGUGUAAAGUAUUUUUAAUAACGGGUUUGGCCAAAUGAAUUCGUUUUGUAUGCUUCAUUUAAUUCUUUUCCAGUUAGUGUUAUCAAAUUACUUGCAUGGAGCAAGAUGAAUACACACCAAUACACCAAAAUCCAAUUUGUGUCUUAAUUUGUUGUCUAAUUAGUGUGUUUUCUAGUUGCUAGUGUGUGUAUAUAGACAAAUAGAAUAUACUUUUUAAGUUGGACAGACGUAAAAUGUUGACCCUUACACUACUAGUUGCACUUUAGUCUUUUUUGAGUAAACGCUUUCAGCUAAAAUUGAAUUAUAUGGUUCAAAUUAUUUGCUUGUUGAAAAUUGGAAAUGCUUUCAGCUAAAAUUGAAUUAUAUGGUUCAAACGUGUUCCCUUGUUGAAAAUUGGAAGCAAACAAAGUAAAAAGACUUAUCAAACUCAUUAAAUUGUAUCUUCUUCGUUUUGUAAGAAAGUAUUUUCAAUUCCAAUAUAUCGACUAAUAUAUUUUAUAAGAAAGUAUUUUCAAUUAUUCUUUUAUUUCUUUUUUAUAAAUUAAAUUUACAGUGAGAGGAUGAUAUAUCUACUCAAAAUAAAAAAUACUCUAUAAAAAAUAUUUUAUCUAAUCUUCGAAAGAAAACAUUGUGGGAUUUUUUAUUUAAAUUACUCAUUUUUGAAAAAUAUAUAUACCAAUUAACUUCACUUUUAAAUUUAAAUACCAAAUAUACCAUAACACUAUUAGAAAGUCGGAUUUUAGAAAGACGGUUUUAUAUAGUACUUCAACUUUUUAAAUGACGAUUUUGUAUUUUUUUUUUUUAAAGAAGGGAGGUCGCUCUUUAAGAGGGUACAGUGUGCUACCUAUAUUUUUUAGUUUUAUUUGAUUAAAAAAAGUAAAAAAAUAAUUAAUAAUAAAAUUAAUUCAUUAAAAGUACUACACUUAUGAAGAAAAAUAAUUACAAAAGUUGAUUAGAGUUGCUAAUAAUAUUUGAACAAUAUUUUUAAAUAUGAUCAGUAAUUUGAGAUACUAAUUGUCAUCAUUUUCUUCGACAGUUUAUCUUUGAUGCAAAAUAUAUAACAUAAUAUACUAUUAUUUAACAUUAUGAAAUAACAAUGAUUAAUUAGGUUUGAAAUAUAAGAAAUAAUAAAAAAAAAGUAGAUUAAAUUAAACUAAUUAGUAAUGUUAAGAAAACAUUAAAAAUAUUAUAUAAAUAUGAAUACAAUAUAUCAUACUAAUAAAAAAAAAAGUCCAAGCUCAACUCCACUCAACCGAACGGAAUCGGCACGCAUGCGAUGGUCGAUUUGAGAGCGUUCUCUCUCAUUUUCAAAAUUGAAUAUUCUUUAGGAUACACUACAAAAUUUAUAACUUCACCUCUAAAUACAACUAGUGUGAUAUCUUUCAUAUAUAAAACUUUUAUAUUUUUUUCAAUUCCCACAACACUGCUUCAAAGUUUGAAAGUCUAUAAGAGAAUGAGUUCAAACCCCCUAGAAAAAUGAAGUACAAGCAUAGUAGUGUCGAAGGGUUUGUCAACUUUGGUUGCCUGAAGUCUUAAAUAUUGUAACUAAUAUCUUUGACUUGUCUUGUUACUUAACACUUACAAAUUGUCCCAGUUAUAUUAUUACUACUAAUUAAUUCAUGCAUUCAUGAUUAAUCUACAAUUUGGUUUAUGUUCAAUCCAAAAGAAAAAAAUAUAUUUUGUAUGUAAAAGAACCAAUAUAAUAAAUCUUACUACUAUAGAAUAAUAAAAUACUACCAACUUUGUACCCCAAAAAAAAAAGGUGUUACCAACUUUGAUCAUGAGGUAUAUAUGGGGCAAACUAACAUCAUUCUUUUGACGCCUUUUUAGACAUGUAUCAUAUAAAACGAAAAAGAAAAAGCCACUGCUUAAAGUGUUUUCUUUCAGUAAUAAUAUUUAUUUACAUUACGUUAGAAUUGUCAAACUAAAACAGGUGAAUCUUAACUUACACAAUAUUUUAUGAGACUUUGAUCAAAGUUUGUUGUUGCGUGUGUGUUUUUAAUGUUUAGUGUUGGAUUAAAAAGGGAAAUUGCCAAACUAAAAAAGUGAUUGGUAGGGGAUAAAUUAAUUUGCCGUGACCCUAUGAAGUAUGAACCACACGGCCAGCGUACCAAGUAAACUAGUCAAAGUGAUUGGUUGGGAUAUUUUAAUCACCAAAUCCUACUUCUUGUUAGUUAGGGUCUAUUGAGGCAUCUAUUAGGUUGUGUUUGAUAAGAAAAAAAAAUAGUUUAUAGUAACAAUUAUUUAUAAACUUAUAAUUUGUAGUUUAUAGUGUUUUUUCUAUAAAUUAAUUCAAGUGAUUUAUGAAUUUAUAAUUUAUUAUUAUUUUUAUUUUAUUUUUAUUACUGUAAUUAAAUUUAAAUAAAUAAUUUAUAUAAUUUAAAGUAAAUAAUUUAUUUAUUAUAAUUUUAAAUUAUUUAUAAGUAAUUAUAAUUUUUAAAUAAUUAAUAUUUUAAAGUAAAUAUUUUAUUUAUUUUAAACUAAACUGUAUAAAUAAAUAAAAAUUAUAUCAGAUCAAUUAAAAUAAAUAAAUAAAUAUGUCAGAUUGGUAAAUAUUAAAUUAGUAAAAAAGUAAAUCUAGAACUACUAUUAAAAUAUUUUGAACAUUAAUUAAUUAAAUUUAUUUUUAAUUAAGAAUGAUAUUUUACAGUUUAAAUUAAUUUUACCAAACACUUUAAUUAGCUUAACAUUUGUUAAGAAAAUUUGUAUGAUAGUUAAGGUAUUUAUUUUAUAUGUUAAUGUUUUUAAAAUAACAUUUGUAUUUAAAUGUGUUAAAUUUGAUUUUUUCUUUUCUUCAUAUUUUAAGACCAAUUAGUUGUUUUACUGAGGGUUAUGUUUGAAAGAAAUAAAAUAAUAAAUGUACCUAAUAAAUUAAAAGAGUACUUAUAUUUAAGAUUUUUUUUUUCUUUCUCAAAUGGUGUUUAUAAUAAAGAAUAUGUAUAAGUAAUCCAAUAUAAACUAAUUUUACUAAACAAAACUUAAGAAUGAGUUGAAGUUUUUGACCUCGUCAUUUAAAUUCGUUUAUUUUAUUUAACCUAUUAAAAUAACAGACCAUGAAAGAUUAGUUGGGACAUCAAGCCAAUUUAAGAAAUAUCAUUCUUUUUUUUUAAUAGUUUUUUGGUCUAUUUUCUUGUUACGGUCAAAUUUAGAGUUUUAUUGUUUAUGUAAUAAUGAUUGUUGGAUUAUGUUAAUUUUUAAUUGAUUGAUUUUAAAGUUUCUUUUAUUUAUGACUAGUACACUUUUCUAAUAAUUAGUAUAGUCAAUAAUUUAUUUUUGUCAUUCACAAGUUAACGCGUCAAUCUGAUGAGUGACGGAAAGAUAGGUGAUUUUAAAGGCGGUUGAAAUAAACGAUUGUUUAAGGCUUUAAAUUUUUAAGGGUAUAAAAAAACAAUUUACUUAGGUAUAUAUAAAUAAAAAUUAAAUAUAUUUUUAGUCUAACUAAACAUAUCAAUUUUCAUUUUUAAUUUCUCUAAAAAAAUUCAUUCGAAUUUUAAUCUUUUAAAGACUUUAAAAUGUCGGCAACUUAAUAACUUAACCAUUUAAUUUUAUAUUUAAUAAGUUAUUAUUUAAUUUAAAAUUAUAGAUAAAUUAAGUAAUAUUCAAUAAAUAAUUAUUAAAUUAAUUAUAUUUAAAGUCUUAUUAAUUAUAUAUUAUUAAAAAGAGUCAAGUUAUAGAUAAAUUAAUUAAUAUUCAAUAAAUAAUUAUUAAAAUAUUUAAAGUCUUAUCAAUUAUAUGUUAUUAAAAAGAUUCACGUAAAAAAUCUAAAACUAAAAUUGUUAACAGAAAAAUAUAAAAGAACUAAAGUUUGAAUUAGUUUUUAGAAUGACUCAAAAAUAAAGUUAAAUAUUUAGAGAGACUAAAACCAUAUUUAAUCAUAUAUAUAAAUAUUAACAUAAAAUUUUAUAUUAAUUAAAUUAUAUACAAGAGUUAUUGAAAAAUAAUUAUAAAUAUGAAAAAUUAAAUAAAAAUAUGUGAUUUAAUAAAAAUAAAAUAAAAUCAAAUAAUUAUAUCCAUAAUUGUAGAAUUCGAAGAGUCUAACUAAGACACUAAAAUUAAAUUUUUUGAUGUAGACAGUUGAAGAGUUAGAUUUUCUCUAUCUCAUAUAUAUAUAUAUAUAUAUAUAUAUAUAUAUAUAUUAACAUUCACAAAUUAUAAUUCUAUUUUACUCUAAUUUGUGAUUUUUUUCUUCUAAUCUUUUAUAUCUUAUCACUUGGGAUGUUUGAGAAAAGCAAGAAUUGACGUACAGUUUACUUGUUGGAGAGUUGCUUUGAAAUGAAUAAGAAUUUUUUGUUUUUGUUUUUUAUGUUAAAGUACAUUUAUUUUUAUUUGUAUAAUAUUUUUAUAAAAAAAAUCAUCUUUAUUGAAAUUCGUCACUUAAGUUUGUCUUCUAAUGAUUACUUUAUUGAUUAUUGAUAUUCAAAUUUCUAUUAUUUUUACACUUUUUCAGUUUCUUUGUAACAAGAGAAGUCAAAAUAAAAUCUAUAAACCUCAUUCAUCAGUUUUUAUAUAAUCUCCCAAUAUUUAAUUUGUUUAGCCAUUACACAUAUUUUUAUUAGCCUCUUUCUUAUUUAUUUUGCCUAUUUUUAAUAAUGAUAACUUUUAUGUUUUUUAGGAUCAAAUUAAAAUUAAAAUUGAAAUUUAGUGCUUGAAGUAUUGGAGGAUAGGGGUGUCAAUAUACAACCUAAGUUGGCCCAUCCUGCUGUGCUUUAGGCGUAUUGUUGGUGGGAUGGGAUAAACGAUGUGGGUUGUCGCGUGUUGCAACCUAAGUUACAAGCAAUGGUUUAAUUGGACGUGAGUUGGUUAAACCUUCAAACCAAUUAUACAAUCAAUUGAACCACAAUUAAAUUAAAUAACUAUUAAAAAAUGAAUAAUUAUUAUAAACUUGAACCGAUUGAAUUGAUUACAAUUAAAUUAGAUUUAACGUAAUUCAAUUUGAAUAUAUCUAUUUUUAAUAAAUUUAAAAUCAACCGGAUUGAAUCAACCCGUAACAAUCAGAAUAGACUAUUUAUGAAAAUACUUUAAUUACCGGUUCAAGUUAUAACUGGAGAGACGAGUUAAUUGAAGACUUGUUAAAGUUAGUAUUCACCAUUUCACUAAGUUAUUACUUUUAAGAGUUCAUUUCACUAAGAUAAGAAUAAAAGACAGUAAGCCAAAGUGGGGUACAUAUACAUGUUGAAGUGAACAAGGACUAUUAGUAUUAGCCUCGUAUAUAGUGAAUGCACGUUAAAUGUCACGCUGUCGACAGCUACAUAUAUUAGGCACAUCCCCACGUUUUUUUUUUUUUGACAAAUAAAAUAAAAAGACCCAACAAUUAUUUUAUUCCAUAAAAUUCUAAGAGUUGACCAAUAUAAUCUCUUAAAUUUAAGAAACAAUAAAUUAAUUUUUUAAAUAAAAGAAUACCAAUUGAUAAAAAAAAACAUGUAUGUUUACUUAAAUAAUCUUUUGUUAUAUAAAAAACAUAAAUUUUUUAAAAUUGUAAUACAAAAUUUGAAAAUAAAAUUAGUAUUUUUAAAUUUAAAUGACUAAAAUUGCUAUUUUAUUACUUUGAAGGACAAAAAUAAUAUCUAUUCUAAAAUAAAAUACUAAUUAAACGAAAGAGACUUAGACUUAUUCAAAUACCAACAUAAUUGAGAUGUUUAUAAUUAUUAUUUUUGUUUCUAUACUUUGAUAUUAUUUUGAUUAAAAAUAAGAGAAAGAGACAUACACUUAUACAAAUGAUCGUACACAAUUCUUAAAACAGCGAUUGAUAUAUUAAAUUAAAAGUUUUAUAAAAAUAUUCUAAACAGCUUCGUCCCAAUAUUUUUGUCUCACUUCUAGUCUUUAUUUUGAUUUUUAUAUUGAUGCAAAAAAUAGAUAAUUUUAAUCAUAAAAAAAAAGUCUAUAUAAAGUUAACAUAAGAAUUAAAAGUGAAUAAAUUUUAUUUAAAAUUUAAAUUUAAAAUAUAAUAAUUUUAUAUAGAGUAAAAAUAUAUGUAACUCAUAAAUUAAAAAUAAAAAAUGAAAGCACGUUUGUUUUGUUUUUGACGGAAAAUUAAAGCACCUAAGAUUGCUCGUGUGAGAUUUGAAGUUUCAACGAUGUCAACUUUAGUGUCAUGUACCUUUUGAUCAACUUGGUAUUUUAAUUAGUACUAUAUAUAUAUUUAUAUAAACAUGAGAGGCCCUUGAGUUAAAGCUUUAGAAAAUCCAAAACAACACAUAAUUUGGAUUUUGAUUCCAAAAUGGGAAGGGCUCCAUGCUGUGAGAAAAUGGGUUUGAAGAGAGGACCAUGGACUCCAGAAGAAGAUAAAAUCCUCAUCGACCACAUAAACACUUAUGGCCAUUCCAAUUGGCGUGCUCUGCCUAAACAAGCUGGUACGUUUUCUAAUGCAUAGCCUUGCACGAAUUAACUUGAAGAAUAUUAAAUAACAUAUUUAGGAAUUCAUGUUACAUAGUAUUACUCUCAUGAAAAUACAUUUGAUAGUUUUUCUUAAAUUUAAUUACUUUGAUCAACAGGGUUGUUAAGAUGUGGAAAGAGUUGUAGAUUGCGGUGGAUAAACUAUCUAAGGCCAGAUAUCAAACGAGGUAAUUUCACCAAAGAAGAAGAGGAUGAAAUAAUCAAUUUGCAUCAAAUGUUGGGAAACAGGUAAACUAAUUAUUAUAUUUUCCCCACUUAGAUUAAUACAAUCUUUUUUCUUCUUCUCUUAUCUCUUAAUUACAAUGCAUUUUACAUUAUUUAAAAAAAAAAAUCGUUCCAUCCAAGUUAGUUAACUUCAACUUAACUGAAAAGAUAAUCCAUUUACCCAAAACAAAGAUGUUUAAAUCUUAAAAACUAUACUAAGAAAUAAGAUUUCACACGGAAUUUAAUCCGAGUGCUUAUAUUCUUUAAUAAUAAAUAUAUAUAAAUCUUGAUUUUUCUAUACAUAGGUCAAGUUGUUUUGUGCUCUGUAGCAUCGAACUGAUGGAGGACGACAUAUGACAUAGUAGUAGUAUUCAUAAACUUUAACUAAUGAAAAUAUACUAAUGCACAUAAAUUAAGUAGUAUGUUUAUUGAAUGCAAGUUCAGUAUAUUAUGAACAUAUUUAAAAUCGUGUUAAACUUACUAUUUGAAGGUUUUGAUUGAUUGAUCAGAGUGUAAUAGAUAGAUAUGUUCACGCAAGAAAUGAUUCAAUAAAUUAAAUAUUCUUUCUUUACAACCUCUUUUAUUUUUUACUUAAACAAAGGAAUAAUGGUUUGACCCACUGUUUUUAUUUAUUUAUCUUCGGUUUUAAGGGAAGCAAAAUCAUAACCAACCAGAUACUGAGAGAUACGUAUAUCUAUGCAGCCUCUUUAAAAUGUUAGCAUCAUUGUGUUCAUAUUUAUUUAGUAUUAUUGAUCAAAUAUCUUAACUUUUAACUUUUAUGUUGGACCUAUUUCAUACUUAUAAAAUUGGUUUAUAAGAUGAGAAUCUAUAAAUUAUUAUAAAAUUUUAUCUUUUAUUUAUAUAAAUUUUUUUUUAUACAUCCUCUUACGUCCAACAUAUUUUUUUAUAAAUUAUUAUAGAAUUUUAUCUUUUAUUUAUGUGAAAUUUGAAUUUUUCUCAAUAUAUUUUAUUAUAUUCAGUACUUUUGAGUUUGACGCGUGUGUAUAUAAAUAACAGAUAACUUAAUCGAAUUGGUUCUGAUAUUAUUCUGAAUUUUAUAUUAGACUUAAUUCAUUUACAAAAUCAAUUUAUAAAGUGAAUGAUACGCCUCUUUAUAAAUUAUUAUAAAGCUGUAUUCGAUUUGAAUAUCUAAUUUUUGGAUUAUAUGGAAAUAUAAAGAUAUCCCUUUUUCACGCUAAAAAUGUGAAUUUCUUGACAAGAGUAUAAAACAAGAUUUGAUAGAUUGUACACUUAUAUUUCUUUAUAAUAAAAAAUCAUCAUAGAUUAUCACAUAGCAUUAUUAUUAAUAUUGUGAAACAGGGGAUCCCCAUUAUUUAAUAAUUUUAAUAUUUUUAAAUCAAGAAUCCAUAGAUCAUGAUCUUGUUAUGCAAAUAUUUAAUUAACUGAUGGUUUAAUGAUGAUGCAGAUGGUCAGCUAUUGCAGCAAGAUUACCAGGCCGCACAGACAACGAGAUAAAAAACAUUUGGCACACCCACUUGAAGAAAAGGCUGCCACAAGCCCAUAACAACAUCCCAAAGAAAAACAAAAAACAAACCAAGUUGGACUUUGAUUUGGACGCCUCCAAAUCAGACCAAGACACCAAACAAGAACAAAAUAAUCACGAUGACGAUUAUAGGCCACAAUGUUCUAGUGACAUGUCCUCCCAUAAUAAUAAUAGUAGCAUUGCUACUAAUAAUAAUCAUGACGUGUUCAUAAAUAAUAACGAUGGUGUUGAUUCGGCACAAAAUAAUCUUGCAUUGGAUGAAGAUUUUUGGUCGGAAGUGUUGUCAUCUGAUAAUUCUAAUACUGAGACAAGUGGUCUUUUGGAUAACAUAAUUGGUGCUGAAGAUUCAUUCUCUUCCAUAGGGACUGAAGAAGGAGUCUUUAAUUUUAGUAAUUCAUUGAAUAUAUGUGAAGAAGACAUGGACUUUUGGCACGAUGUUUAUGCGAGAGCUGAGGAAAUAACGCUAGAAUUAUAAUCAACUUAACUAUCAUUGUUAUUCUUAAAUAGUAUUGUAACUUAUGUGUUCAUCCAAUGGAACACAAAUCAUGUUUUUGUUUCAUUGUUAAGAGUUACAUCAAUUUUAUUGAUUCAACUCUAUUGAGGAGGGGUUUGUAUUUCCUGAGAUAUGUUUGAGAGGUCGAUUUUGGAGGAUAAGGAAAAAUUUAUUUAUUUUUCCAAAAUUAGACAAACUGUUAAAUAUUUUUAAAAAUAAAAAAAAAAGUGAUUGGAAUGAUAUAUGAUUGUAUAUCAUGUUAUUCUUUUAAUUUUUUUCUAAAAUUAUUAUUAUUAGUAUUACUGUAAUUAUUGUUAUUAUUAUUAUCAUUAGGAUGAUUAUUUUAGUUUUCUACGUGACUUAGACAUGUAUUGUCUCAUUUAUAGUUAGUUAUAAUUGCUUCUAUUUAUACACGAAACUAACUACUCUUUGUAUGUAUGUAUAAUUUGAAUUAAUGCAAUUUUAGACUUCGAAUUCUCUCAUUUACGAAUUAUUUAAUAUCAGUGUCAGGGUCCAUUUACCCAUUCCAUUUUGUUGUAUUAUAAUAGUCAAUCUUUAUGUUACAUAACAACAAAAACACGCUUUUAAGAAAACACAAAAUAUAUUGAAAUCGAUCAACAUAUUGUCCGUCAAAAGUUGCAAACUGAUUUCAUUUAUUUGUUUCCUUUUUCAAUUAUAUUCAACUUGUUGAUUUAUUGACGAAGCCUUUGAUAAUAUGCAACCAUUUAAAGAUUUGGUUUUGAAGUUGGGUGUUUGAGCUAUUUAUAUUGUAUCAAGGGCAAGAGAAGUGGGGUAUCUAGACUAAGAAGAGUAAAGACGAGUGAUAUCGAAAAAUGGACAAAUAAAAUAGAAAAAUAUUAGAAUUUUUAUUUUAAAAAAAAAGUACUAAAAACACAUUUUUUAACACACAUAUUUAUUGGUUUAAAUUUAAAUAAGAACCCCUAAAUUAUGUAGAUCUUAGUAGGAGUCAUGAAAUUUAAAUCAAUAAGAAGAAUUGUGUUGAGAAUGUGUGUUAAACAUAGUAUGUUAAUAGCAUUUUUAUUUUUUAAGAGUAGUAGAGGUUUUGAGUAGAAAAUCAAGGGCUGUGGAUAGCAUCACCCUAAAAAAGGCUUGAGUAAUACAUUCGGGCUUCUGGAAAAGCCCAAUAUAAUUCUGACUCAAGCGUAUCAAUGGGCCUUAUACGGCAACACACAUCGAAACGCAGUCGUUUAAGAAGGAAAAAAAAGAUAUCACCGCCUUUAUUAUCAUCAUAACUAACAUUAGCAUUAAGAUUGCAUAGACAAAAGGGUAUAAAUUGCAGUGACCUGAUACAAAUCAGAGUGAAUCUGUUUCUCCAUCUUGGUUUCAAUAUUUAAUUUUAACAAGUGUUAUCUCAACAUGGCAACAGCUUCAGGUAUACCUCUUUUUCUCCAAUUCAAUUUUGAUGGUUUUUUUUAAGAAUUAUAAUUCUUUUAGGUUUAGGUUAUUAAUCCCGUUUUAUAUCAUUCGAUUAUUGUUUUUGGAGUAAUUUUUUUGUAAAUCUCUCUAUAGACCAAAUGUUCACAUGCUAAUAUGCUAUGAAUGCAAAUUUUUGUUCCGAUUGGGCUUUUCUUUCUCCUUUUUCCCAUGGGAAGUUGCUGUUGUUUUAUUCAAUUAUAUCCAGAUAAUUAUUCAGGUCGAAAUCAUACAUAGACUUCAAUUGGUAGCUAUUACUCAAAUACUAAAUUUGUUUCAUUAGUAGGUAUAAUACGAGGCCCGGUAAUCCUGGCAGGGUCUUGAAAAUGUGAAUAAUAUAAUUUUGUUUUAUUUUAUUUUAUUUUUGUAAAAAUUGGGCCAGCGAUCAUGGAUUUAAAACUCGUUGCAUCCUUGUUUCAUGAGUUGCUUUUGCUUCUUUUUAAUUAUAAUAAUUUAAAUCUGAUUAUGGACUUCCCAAUUUUCCUUGUGUUGUGCCUUAAUUAGACGGUUUCUACAUGUUUAUUAAACUUCUACGGGUUGAAUUGCAGUGGCAUUCAAGUCCAGGGAGGAUCAUCGAAAACAGAUUGAACUUGAGGAAGCACGUAAAGCCGGGCUUGCGCCUGCUGAGCUUGAUGAAGAUGGGAAGGAAAUUAAUCCCCAUAUUCCUCAGUAUAUGUCAUCUGCACCUUGGUAUCUUAAUGCUGAGAGACCUGUAAGUUUUGCCUUCCCCUACCUCUAAUUUUUCUUUAUUAGUUUUUGAGAUGCAUAUAAAAUUUUUAGCUAUAUUUGACAUCUAAAAGUCAACUUAUUCUUAUGAUUAUUUUUCCUUCUAUUGUAGAGUUUGAAACAUCAAAGGAAAUGGAAAUCUGAUCCCAAUUACACCAAAUCAUGGUAUGAUAGAGGUGCUAAAACUUUUCAGGCCAGCAAGUACAGGAAAGGUGCAUGUGAGAAGUAAGUUAUUCAUUCAGUAUUUCUCAAGGCAUGUGUAUGUGUAUGUGUGUGUUUGCUGGGCCUCCAAAUAUGAUGGAUGAUUCUUGUCUAUCAACUUAAUAAGAAAAUGAAAUUUAGUAUUUGGCUACAUUUGUCUUGGAUCAUCCUUUAAUUUUGUUUCCCCCUGUGUUUGUGUCUUGUCUCAAUAGAUGUCAAACUCUCGAGCUAGCUCUUAUAAGUUUAUGAAAAAUGCGUUACCUUGCAUGUAGACACCGUCAAGCUAAUACAAGUGAACCCACACAAAAUCUUUUUACUAAAUUCGUCUAGUUAGUUUACAAGCUUGGAUGAAUGCAUGGUUUUGGUGACAAAACUAGCAUGUAAACACUGUCAAACUAAUACAAGUUCGAUAACCUUGCUUGUCUCUACUUAUAUUUAGAUUGCUAUUAUCUCUUACAAGUUUAGGUUAGUACUUUAAUAUUCAUCUUCAUUUUAUAGCUGUGGAGCUAUGACACACAAUUCCAAGGCAUGCAUGGAAAGACCCCGAAAAGUAGGAGCAAAGCAUACAAACAAACAUAUUGCUGCUGAUGAGAAGAUAGAAACUAUUGAGCUUGACUAUGAUGGCAAACGGGACAGAUGGAAUGGGUAUGAUCCAUCUACAUUUGCCCGAGUCAUUGAGAGAUAUGAAGCCAGAGAUGAUGCUCGAAAGAAGUACUUGAAUGAACAACAGCUGAAGAAAUUGGAGAAGAGCGACCAAAAUGAUGAGGGUGCUGCCAUUGAUGAGGCUAUAGAAGAUGAUGAUUUAAGGGUAGAUGAGGCGAAGGUUGAUGAAAGCAAACAAAUGGACUUUGCCAAGGUUGAGAAGCGUGUGCGAACAACAGGCGGUGGGAGUACAGGAACUGUGAGGUAAUUUUUAUGUUGCUAUCAUUGUUAAAAUGCAAGGCCAAGUUUAUUGGUCCCAUAUUUACGAUUUUCAAUUCUAUUAUUUUUGUUACAUGGAACUGUGAGGUAAUUUAUAUGAUGCUAUCAUUGUUAAAAUUCAAGGCAAAGUCGAUUGGUCCCAUAUUUACGAUUAUCAAAUUAUAUUAUUUUUGUUUUAUGGAUUCUAACUGAAAUAACUUUACCUUCAGGAACUUACGUAUUCGAGAGGAUACAGCAAAAUAUCUUCUCAAUCUUGAUGUCAAUUCUGCACAUUAUGAUCCCAAGACCAGGUCCAUGCGUGAAGAUCCUCUUCCAGAUGCAGAUCCAAAUGAAAAGUUUUACGAGGUAACUUGUCUCAAAGAAUAAUUGUUUUUAUGAACUUCAUGAUUUGUUUUUUUUUAUUGCUUUUUCAUAUUAAUCUUGUAUUUGGGUUAAAAUUAGUUUUUGUGCUGUAGGGUGAUAACCAAUAUAGAAAUAGUGGUCAAGCUUUGGAGUUCAAGGAAUUAAACAUCCAUGCUUGGGAAGCAUUUGACAAGGGACAAGAUGUUCACAUGCAAGCAGCUCCUUCCCAAGCUGAAUUGCUCUAUAAGAAUUUCAAGGUCAUGAAGGAGAAAUUGAAGUCUCAUACGAAGGAAACUAUUAUUGAGAAGUAUGGCAAUGCAGCUGAUGAGGACAAACUUCCAAGAGAACUUCUGCUAGGUCAGAGUGAGAGGCAAGUUGAGUAUGAUCGUGCUGGUAGAAUUAUUAAAGGACAGGUAAGGCAUGCAUUCUAUAUCUUUGUUGUCCCACAAUUUCAAGUUGCAGAUCAAUUUUACAUACAAUGCUUCUGUGAUAUAUAGCUGGGCUUUAUAUGUGAUCUGUUAAUUUUCUCAGGGCUCCAUAAUUGGUUUUUGUUCAUCUCUAAGGAUUAUUCUUUUAGGUUGUUGUUGUUUUUUUGGAUGAUAAUAAUUAUUUAUCUGUUGCUUUUAACAGGAAGCUGCAAUCCCCAGAAGCAAGUAUGAAGAAGAUGUUUACAUUAACAACCACACAACUGUUUGGGGUUCAUGGUGGAAGGAUCACCAAUGGGGUUUUAAGUGCUGCAAACAGACAAUACGUAACAGCUAUUGCACUGGUGCUGCUGGUAUUGAGGCCGCCGAGGCUGCAAAUGAUCUCAUGAGAGCUAAUAUUGCCCGUAAGGAGGCUGCUGCAGGUUUGUACUCUGAUCCCAUAUCUCUGUUGCUCCUUUUCCUUAUUCUCUUCCUUUUGUUGUUAUUAAUUUCGUAUAUGUUUGGUAAUUGCUUGGUGGUAGUUUGCAUCUUGUAUUCUUGUUAUUAAUCAUUAUUUUCUUGAAUCCAUUCAGAGGAUCCUGCACCAGCGGAAGAGAAAAGGCUUGCUACAUGGGGAACUGAUGUCCCAGAUGACCUAGUUCUGGAUGAAAAAUUGCUUGCUGACGCACUCAAAAAGGUAAUAUAAAUCUAUCAGCCAUAUAUUUAUUUACUCUUCCAUAUUCCUUGAUAUGAGUUAGUUACCUCCUGUGAAUAUAUAUUGUUACGCUUCAAUAUUCCUUGAUAUCUGUUUUUUUCUUCUUAUUCCACCUCCUGUGAAAGUCGAACUAAUUAUUAUUUUAUGCCGAUAACUCUGUCAACCUCUAUGACCAAGAUGUAGACACAUUGGCUCAAACUAAAUAUUGCAUGUUAUUUGUAGAAACGAAGAUGGUAGGGUUUAGCUAGACUACGUAUGUUCUUUUUUUAGAAUAAAAUAAUUUAUUCUGGAUUUUCAUGCGUCUGUGUGUUGUAAUGAUGAGGUAUGAUCAAAGAAAGAGAGAAGUAACAAAAAUUACUCUGGUAUUUUACAGGAGGAUCAAAGAAAGAGGGAAGAGAAAGAUGAGCGGAAGCGUAAAUAUAAUGUUAGAUGGAAUGAUGAGGUAUAAUUUUUUUUCAAGUCACCCGGUUGAGAAUUUUAUUUGUAUACAUGCCGUCGUUGCAGAUUUUGAAAUCAAUUUGGUGUGAACAGGUUACCGCAGAGGACAUGGAGGCAUACAGGAUGAAGAAAGUACAUCAUGAUGACCCAAUGAAUAGUUUCAUGAACUAAGCUUGGAGAGGGCAAAAAGGCCUGUCUGCGUUCAUUUUGAUACAAGGCCACAAGCCUUUCUGUUGUUUUCUCGCUGCCAGAAGGAUUGCACAGAAUGAAUGAUUAGUGACAUAGAGGAGCGGAGUUGAAAUCGAUAUUUGAACAGCUUUGUAUCUUGUUACUAUGGUGUUAUUUAGCUUUUGGAACACAAGGGUGUUUUAAUGACUCAAUAGCAUCUCUUUUUUAUGUAUGAACUUCCAACAUCACAUGUAUGAACAUGUCUUAUGAUGUUUUUGAGAGAUGUUAGGGCCACUAGGGCAGAUGGUUUACCAGUGUAAGUAUAUAUCCUAGUAGUUUCGACUAUGUUUUCUGGCUCAGUUAUGUUCUUAAAGAAUGGUCCACUAGCUGUUGUGUCAUGGAUCAUAGAACAAGAUGCAGUUGUGCCGAUCCCUCAAUUGCAUCAAACAUCAAACAUUAAUUAUUAGUAACUUGUGUUCCUAACUCCAUGUUGUUUUGAUGCAAGUUCCGAAUAGGGGUGUUUUUUGAGAAAAUAAGCUUUAUCACCGUAGCCCGUGGCAAUCCUUGAUGUUUUUAUUUAUUUAUUUUUAUAAUUUUUAUAAUUUUUUUUCUUCUUUUUAUGGAGUUUGGAAUUAUUACACACCUUCUCUAUUCCAUUAAAUGUUAUUAUUAAUUAUAAGAAUUGGAAAAUGAUGAACAAAAUUGACAUUAUAAAAUAGCCAUACAAACUACUUGUUAAUAAUCCACAAGACCUAUAAUACUAAGACCAGUUUUCUUUAUAUCUAAACAAACAAGAAAGAUUUUGUUUCUUGCUUUCUUCUUACGCCUCAUUCAACCUUAUUAUACAACAACAGAAAAAUAACACGUACUACAAAUUUCUGGCUAACAUCUCUUGUGCAGCCAUCUGUUGUCUAAACCUGAUAAUGAACUCCUCUGCUCGUUCAUCAAUUCCUUGCAUUUGAGGUGAGCCUAAUGCCACUGACUCCCACAUAUCAUCUGAUGUGCAUGUUUUGUCACAUCCCUUGCUUGUUCCUUCUGUUACUUUUUUUGCAACCUUUUCAAUUCGUGGUUGGCAAAACUCUAUCUGUGGCUUCAAAUACCCUACUAAGUCACAGGGAGGAUCCUUGAAGAGCUUAUCAAUAUAAACAGGUGCAGGCUUUUUGUGGAAACUGUUGAAUACACUUCUAACUGUUGCUAACCUUUUGCAGCGAAAACGUUUAGUAGCAACGAACUUAGGUGCCUUUGCGGUGAUACGGGUAGUAGAUGGUGUUAUUGUAGUGGUGUAGAUGUUUAGUUUCUUUCUGUGUUUUUUCAUGGGUUUGGAUCUACGAAUGUUAUGAAGUUUACCAAGUUUUGAAGUAAUGCUCUUCCAUACCUUUCUAGCAGGUGGAAAUCUUAGACUUAUGCAGGAGGACAUGGAAUGAUUGAAGAAUAAAAAAGAAAGCAAGAGUUCAAUACAAUUCAAAGAAAUGGAUGAUUAUAUGUUUUUAAGAUAAAACUCAAGUGGCAGAGGAAACUUUGGUGCAUCCUUUAUAACAACUGAGUUGAGGGGUUAGAUUCGUUUUUCAAAUGGGUGUGUUGUUAUUCCAUUUCAUAGUGGCUUAGUUAUAACGCUAGGUGCAGUGAAAGGGCUGCUAAAUUCUCCACCACACCAGCACAACAGCAAUGAACUAGCUUAAUUAUUAAGCAAACAAAAUAUUACUACUAGUAUGAUGUAGUUGUGUGUGAAACGAUGUAGCAGUACCGAUAUAUACUUUUCCACUAAAUAUAAACUGAGAUUCUGCGUGUACAAUUUGCAACUAUAUUGGGCAGAAUAUUUUUAGAUAAAGAAAUUUCGACAAUAGUAUAUGUUACUGGACACGGUUAUGUUUAUUUAUGUUAUCUCUCUUCCAAUAAUGUUUUUUAUAGCAAAAUCAUUUCGUUAGUCAUAAUGUGUCUAAUAAUACAUUCUGAAUCAUCAACAAUUAUCUACUCCACGGCGUCUCAUCUGAGUUGCCCAUAAUUCUUAAUAAAAUGAUUAAUUAUAUUGAUUUUAAUAAUUAAAUAUAUUUCAAUUACUAAAAUUAUUUUAUUAAUAGUAGUUAACGAUGUAUUUAAAUGAUUUAUAUUCACUAUGCAUAUUCUAUUUUUCUUUUUAAAAUCAAAUUUUUUAUUCCUCCAAAUUUUGAUCUCAACCUAAUUUUAUAAGCAAAAAAAGAUGUGACAUUUUGAAAUGGUAUUAUAUAAAAACAUGUUGACGUAGCUGCUUAUAAAAUAAUAACAAAAAUAUGUUAAAAAAAUUAGAAUAAUUUACAAAAAUGUUUAUUAUUUUUGUAAUUUCAUAACUUCAGUUUUUUUAAUUCAUCUAUAAUUUCUAAAUAUAUGUUUGUUAUUUUUAUUAUUUUUAAAUACAUUAUUUUAAUGUUGAUAAAGGGGAUAGAUAUAAAACCACUUGUACUUUGCCACCUCAACAAGUCAUGUAUUUUAAAAACAUGUAUUUGUCACUAUUUUUAGUAUUUUGCCACCUCAACAAGUCAUGUAUUUUAAAAACAUGUUUCAAAUCAAAAUUGUAACAAAUGUAAUAUUUGAGGGACUAAAAAGUUUUAUAUUGAUUAAGAUGUACUAUUUUUGUGAACGUGAGAAUCCAAACCACAUCGGAUAAGUUUCCUUUAUUGAAUAUAAUUUUUUUCAAGAUGAAUUUGACAGUAAAUAUAAGUAUUUCUCUUAAAUGAAAUUUGAAUCUUAGUUUUGGUAAAGAGUUAAGUCGCAUCCCUCAAAAGUGUAUGGGGUUCAAGUGUUGCUUCUUGUUGCUAAUUUGUAAGUACCAUAUUAGAUAAUUUGACUAAAUACUAAUUUCGUUUAGCUUCCAAUUCCAAGUCUAGAAAGAAAAAGUACACGAGUGAAAAGAAAGAAAAAGAAAAUGAAAGAUUAAUAGAAAAAGUAAUUAAUAAUUUCGAGUACUUGAUAGUUGAUACGACCAUAUUUCCAAAUCAACAUCACAUAGCAGUGAUUCCCAUUCCCAUUAAAAAAAGAGCAUAAGAUAAUAUGAAUAGAUAAAAUAAAUAAAAAAUUAGGAACAAGCAUGAUUAGCCAAAGAGAAAAGUUUGGCUUGAGAAAGAGCAGCGAGGUCGGAAACAAAUGCUUUGAUGACCAAAGUCUUAACCUGCCAAGGCUUAAAAGGAAAACCUUUUCUUGCAUACGAGUUUAACAGUGCCGCUGUUCCUUCUUUCAACAACCCUCCGAAAGGGUUAUCCACUUCAUCAUUCCUAGCCGUUGCUUCAAGUAACGUCAGAUCUGAUCUGUACCGUUCGUACACUCUCCAUCCAAACACAUUGGAUACCGUUGAUGUUUCUGGUACCAUCCUUGGCCAUGUCUCUUUUCUACCGCUCCAGAACCUAACAUAACAUCAACAUUUAAUUGGUUUUAUUACAAUAACAAUAUAUUGAGAAGAAAACAAAAAAGGCGUGUUGAAAUAGUUACUGUGGAGUGCAUGUUCCUGUGGAUCUUGUGUAGAUGAAGCCUGGCCAAUGGUGAGCUGAUGAGACUACUGAUAAUAAAAGAAGACAAAACACAAGUGUGGUGGUUGAUAUUGAGAUUGAGAGGGAACACAUUUUCUACUUGCUAAAUGUUCAUUUCUUCUAAUUUGGUUUAUGCCACUUUCAACGUUACAAUUGCUUGCAGUUGUACUAUACUUUCUUGGGACAUGUGAAUGUGAAUGUGCUUUCGACAAACUUACCCCUACUUGCUUUACUUGUACUAUUUUUCUUUCUAUCCGUUUUCAAUAUUCAAUUUCAAAUUUUGAACUAAUUCAAUUAGGGUUAUUCUUAUUCUACAAACAACUUUAAAGUUUCAUAUCCUCGCACUAUUUAUAAACUAAACCAAAAAUCAUCAAAUUUUGUUAUUAUUUUUUAAAAAAUAUUAACUAUUUUUUAAUCAUUUAAUUUAUAAAUAUUUAACGUGGUCAGUUGAAUAUUUCUUCCAGUCUUAUUUAUAAAUAAAAAAUAAAAAACAAAAUCACAUAGAACAUAGAACAUUUUCAAAUAAGUUAAUGUAAAUUUAACUUAGUCUUUAUAAUAUAAAAUUCUAAAAAUUAGUUGUUAACUGAUUUUUUUUAAUAAAUUUUAUAAUUUGUAAAAGUAAUUAUUUUUAUAAUAAUGACUAAAUGAAGUAUAAGAGAAAUGACUUAUAUAGUAAAUGUUUUGAGAUUUUAAAUCAUUCAAGAUUUUGAUUUUGAAUGAAAAUAUAAUGGAAAAAUAUGCUUCGAGAUUUUGAAUGUUUCAAGAUUUUGAUUUUGAAUGAAUAUAUAAUGUAAAAAUGUUUUGAUGGUUGUAACAUGGCAUAUUACUUUUAGAAUUGCCAUUUGCCAUCGUUUCCAAAUCCAACACAAAUUCUUUCAUCAAUUUUUGUUCUCAUUCAGAUGCUUUCUAAGAAAAUUCCCAAAGGUAACUCAUGUCACGAGUUUUUCAAAUCAAACGCACAUAAUUAUACAGUUCUUACGUUACAAGUUAAAAAUAGACUCUUAAUAAGAAGGGUGCUAAAUUACACUGGACUAAUUGGGUAAGGACAAAAUGUGGGCUCACCCUAGCCCAUCGGGCCGAUUGGGUAAGGCCUAAAUAACUUGAACAUAUUUAUCUGCAAUUGGAGAGCUCAAGUCAGCCUAAAACACUGGCAUUACACAUUUACACUAGGGUGACAUCUCUGCUUAUACUAGCUCCAUUCUCAAAUAUUGAAUCCUCGUGAAAAGCUUUUAUCCCUUUUUAAAAAAUUAUUUUCAAAUUUUAAAAGGACAUUUAUCAUUUAUUUGUUAAAAUAUUCUUAAUCUUAAUUGUUUUAUCUCCAGGAAGUGAACAAAAAUAGAAGUAUCAAUCCUUAGCAAAUCAAUAAGCUAAAAAAAUUAUAAAAUUAAAGGUUUAAUUAUUGAUUUUCCAAUUUUCUCCUAUUUUUAAAAUUGAUUUCCUAUUUAAAAUUAUUCAAUUUUAGUCGGAUUAUGAAUUAAAAAUAAUUAUAUAAUAUAUUUAAAACAACGUAAAAUAUAAUUUAUGAUUUUAAAUGAUAAAUACUUACAAUAUUAUUAAAAAAAAUCCUAUAAAUUUUUUACUUAACUUCAAAAAUAUUUAUGUCUAAAUAUUUGAGAAAUUAACCAAACUUAAGAGAUUUACAUCCAAAUAUUUGAGAAAUUAACUAAAAUUAAGAGAUUUUAAAAUAUUAAUUUAAUUUCAAGAAUAACAGAGUUGGAAUGGACCAAUUUAACAGGGCAUUAUGUCCAAAUGUAACUUAAUACUUUUAUUUUAUUUAUAAAAUACUGUUGUUAUUACUUAGGAAAUCUGUUAAAUUGCAUAUACCACUAUUUUCUUUUACGACAAAAAAAAGAAAAAGUAGUCCUUUAUUUGAAAGGUUAUGCGAGAUUACAGCAUGGCUAUAUAACCAUCCUGGAUUCUAGAAUCAGGAGUAGCCAAAACACCCUCGUUACGAUUAUUCUUCAGCGCAAUAACUUCCUCUGGACUAAGCCCAAAAGCAUUAGCAAGAACCUCCCCUGGUGUUGCACUAAUUGCCGAAUUACGCCCUAUCAUUGUACUUAUUUCAGCUCUAUCAUUCGUUUUAAAAGCUACGUAUUCCAUUCCCUCAUUCCCCGCUUGUUUUGCCACCGCAAAGUUUUGUGGCACCACCAACAAUUGACCUCUUCCUACCUCUCCAUUGAACACCGAUUUCCCUUCGUUAUUUACCACUUGAACCCUCCCUUUCCCUCUCGUUACGUACAUCACACCGUUCGAAUUCAUGUUCCAAUGCGGCACAAAUAUACCAUCCUGCACAUUACCAACAAAUUCAAUUAUAAAUAAAUUAAAAUGUUAUUAUUUAAAAUUUGUUAGUUACUCUAACUACCUUGUAAAGGUUAACCCAUUGGGCACUAAGAUGGAGAGAUUUAAGAACUGGGAGAGUCAAACUGUUGGCUGUGGUUAUACGACCGGCUCUUGGGUUAAAAACGUCGGCGCGUGAAGGAUCCGCGAUAUUUUCGUGAAGCUUCAAAGUGCAAACGGUUUCUUCAAGUGAAUUAUCUUUUUGCCCCUCGCGUUCUCUCGUUGUUGUUCUUGUUUGUUUCUCUUCUCUUUCACCAUGGCGACGACGCUNNNNNNNNNNNNNNNNNNNNNNNNNNNNNNNNNNNNNNNNNNNNNNNNNNNNNNNNNNNNNNNNNNNNNNNNNNNNNNNNNNNNNNNNNNNNNNNNNNNNNNNNNNNNNNNNNNNNNNNNNNNNNNNNNNNNNNNNNNNNNNNNNNNNNNNNNNNNNNNNNNNNNNNNNNNNNNNNNNNNNNNNNNNNNNNNNNNNNNNNNNNNNNNNNNNNNNNNNNNNNNNNNNNNNNNNNNNNNNNNNNNNNNNNNNNNNNNNNNNNNNNNNNNACGCUCUUUAGUUUUUGUUUCUUUCUCCUCUACCACUUCCUCUUCUUCUCCUUCACAUCCACCUUCACCUUCUCCUUCUCCGUGUGUUCUUCUCUCUCUUCGCCAUUCACGAUGUUCUCGUUUACAAGGUUCAUCUUCCACUUCUUCCUCUCUUUCUUCUACUCUCUUUUCUGUAUGCCUUCGGUGUGUUUCCUCCUCUUCUGAUCUGAUUUCUGGCUCUAACGGUGGCCUAAUAAUGCUGAGACCUCCUUUCACUUCAAUGAUUUGGUGCUUCCUGUGUUUAUCUGGAGACUGAAGUUUCCUAAUGAUGCUUUCUUUCACUUUCAAAACUUGUCCUAAGAAUCUUGAAUCAAAGCCACUAAACAUGUUGUUACUUUCUUCUUCUUCUUCUUCUUGACCGCGUUUUCUUCCACUCUGUUUCUCUGUUUCUGGAUUUCCAGCAAGAUAGAAUCUCUGCACUCACCACAGGAACAAAUGAAUUAAUCGUGAUAAUAGUGUAAUAUAAGAUAAUGAUUAUGAUUGUUUGAUGAGGAAUUACAGUGGGGGUUCGGUCGAGUUGGUUUAGAGGGUUGGAGGUGUCUAGGAGAGUAAUAAUAAUGAGAGGGGUAUUUCCGUAAUUGUAGGUCCAGUAAGGAACUCCUGGUGGAAUAGCGAUAAGGUCACCCUGCUUCACGUAACGAACUUUCUGGUGACGGUCCUGUUGUAGUUGUGGCCUUCCUCUUCUCUCCCACUGUGGCUCUUCGUAUGUCUCCGCACAACCAGGAAUUGCCAUUCCUAACACUCCCGUUCCUGUGCUUACAUCAUACAUGCAUCUCAAAUUCUUAUUCUUAUUCUUAAUCAUUAAAAAUGCUCAAAACUGAUAUUUAGUAUUGUUAAGAACGGUCUAAUUACACUAAAGAGUACUAGUGCGCCCGAAAAUACUAAGUUAUAAUAAAUUGGAUGCAUUUUGAAUAGAUUGAAAGAGUUGAUGACAAAAUAUAGCUUCACCUUGUUCUACGAAAUGAAGUUCAGGAUAUGUAACGUAAGAUGGCAGGUGAAGGCCAUUGGCAUUGAUAGUGCGCUUGAGAACAGAAACACCAGCGCAGCGUAGCUCGGGGUGGUUGGCGUCCCAUAUCUCAGUCAAUCCAGCUUCGGACUCGAUGCGGUUGUCGGGUUCCAAUGCAUCUAUGCUAUCGAGUUGGCACUCGUUGAACUCGCUUUGCUGGCGUGGCAACUGGCGUGAUGAACAGCCGCACGUGAAGAGCAACAAGCAAAAAAGAGAGAAAAAGUAGUGAAGGAUAUGGGGAUUUGGCUUUGCCAUGUUAAUGUUAGCGGGAACUGAGUCAUGUGGAUAUAUUAGUACGUGAUGAUGAUUUAUAGAAAUGGAGAGAAGCUUCAACGAUGAACACGUCACUCAAUGUGAGUUCGUGAGAUGUGGACAUUCUUCGCCAUGCAUGCUUAUCAAACCCUUAAAUCUUACACCUCAUCAUGCUUUAUUGCCACACAGCGGCGCUAUUUUUACAUAGAAACGAAGAAAAAACUAUUACUCUUCAAACACCUAAUAGAUUUUUUUGAAAGAAAAAGUACUCAGUAAUAUACGUUAGUUAAUAAUGUCAUAGAAAGGAAAUAAAGUGUUAAAUAAGAAUAGAGAAAUUGUAGGAUACAAGUAUAAAAGCCAAAGAAAAAAAAAAUACUCGUAUGGUCUUUUGUUUCACAAUUAGUUGCAAUGUUAGUUUUUAAAUCUUAAAUUAUAUUGUUUGCUAUCUUUUUUAAAUUUUUGUUUAAACCUAUUAAAAAAAUAGUUAAAGACAUAGGUAACAAGGAUCUUAAGAUAAUGAAUUGCACUAGAGGUGUCGAGAUGAUAAAUCUAAAUUAUUACUAUAUCUGUCUCAAAAUAAUUAAUUAUUUAAUUAUUAUAUACACAUUAAAAAAUUAUAUAAAUAAAAUAGAGAAUAUUAUUUUUAUUAAAUAAUUUUAAUUAUAUAUUGAUAUAUUGUCAAUGUAAUAAAUGUAUUAUAAAAAUAUUGCAUUAAAAAUUAUAUAAAUUUUAUUAAUUUAAGAGUACAAUUGAAAAAAUGUAUUACAAAUUAAAAACGUAAAAUGUUUUUGGAUAAUUUUUUUAUGAGUAGGUCAAUUAUUGUGAAAUGAAUGAAAUAAUUAAAGUGAAAAAGAAUAAUUUAAAUAACAUAAAAAAUAAUUAAAUUAAAUUUAGAGAUUAUAUAUAUAAUUUUACCUGAAAAUUAAAAUGUUUAAUAUUUUUUCUCUUAGUCGUUAUCCUCGUCAACUAAAAAAUUAAAUUUAAAAAAAUUGAAAGAAAUUUCACGUUCUUCAAACCCAAUUCUUCAAUAACUUCAUUUUCUUCUUCAUUUAUAAUCUAUGUUGGUAGUUUUGUUGAAAGUGUACAUUUACUUCACACAACAUGUAUAUUUUGAGAUUUAAAGAAUAACAUUAUAAAUAGAAUAUAAAGUAAAAGAGCAAAUCGAAAGAAAAUAAUAAUAAUUAAAAAUUCUAAAAUUAAAUUAAAAUUAAAGGACUAUAGAUAUGUUUUUUGUUUUAUUAUCUGAUAUUGUAUCUAACGAAACUCUAAAAUACCAAAGAAUUCAAAAAUAAAAAUAUUAGCUACCUUUUGAGUGAACAGUAAUUAAAUAACUGCACGAGCGAAUGAAUAAAUUACACUUUAAUAUAUUAAGCAUAUCUUAUAAAUAUUUUAUAGGAAAAAUUUCAGCCAUCUCCCUAGGAUUUUUUGUUAAGCAUAUCUUAUAAAUGUUAAGGGAAGGUUACUAAACUCUUAUAUUAAGCAUAUCUUAUAAAUGUUAAGGGAAGGUUACUAUAUCAAAUUAGAUGAUGUUAGUAACAUUUUGAUAUAUGCUAGGGGAGAUUAGUGUAAUCUGCCUUAUUAUGACUGUGAAGUCUAACCUUAGAAGAAAGCUAUGAAGUCAAGAAUCCGCAUUAAAGACAUUUUAAAUAUUUACAACAUUGUCAUCGCCGUAUUGUUACAGAGACAACCGACUUGGCCUUGUUUCGAAUUUCUUCCAUUUACAUACUUACCAAAUGGGCAACAAAAACGUAGUCAAUCACAACUUCAGUUUUUCCUUUUUGUUUUUCAAAAGAGGAAUGAAAAAGAAAUUCUAACAGAACAUUGCAUGAUGAAAACAAAGUUGACAGAAAAUUUUAAAGCAUUGGGAUUAAUUUAAGUCUUACUUUAUUCACGUCCAAAAAAAGGUUGGUGACUCAGAUUGAGUACUUAUACAUAAUUUUGCAAUUACCAAAAGGCAUCUAAGCCUUUGUUUUUAUUCAUUAUUAUUACCAACUGAUGUGGGAUACAUGUCUCACAAGGAUAAAGGCUUGGAAGCCAUGAUUGUUUCUAAGCUGCAGCUUUGUUUUCAGACUCACGAGGGGGAACUAGAAAUGUGAAGGGAUUGCUGGACUUGAGCUUCCUGGCCUCAUUCCUUUCCAUGUUGAAUGUAGCUGCAAUAACAUCUUCUGGGAUACUACUUAACGAAGAGGUUGCCCCUACAAGCUUGCCAAUAGCUGCUCUGUCAUUGGUCUUAAAUGCUACGUAUGAGAACCUGUCACUCAUUGAUUUUGCAGCUACAGCAAAGUUUUGUGGCACUAUCAAUGCCCGACCUGCUUCUAGUUCCCCGUCGAACACAUUGUUGCCAUUGCAGUUCACAACUUGUAAUCUUGCACGUCCCUUCAAUGCGUAAAGUAUGCUGUUUGCAUUGAGGUUGUAGUGAGGCACAAACAUAGCAUUCUGUUUCAUAUAAAAAGAUGGUUAUAAUAUAACCAUGGACAACAAAUUCAAAGGGAGAAAAUAGAAAUGGCAUACUUUGUGGAGAGAUCCAUGCUCAGCACUGAGUUUGAGCCAUCUGAGAGCUGGGAGGUCAAAGCUGGUAACAGUUUUGAUUCUACCAGCUUGAGGGAUGUAGAUGUCAGGUGAUGAAGAUGAGUCAAUGUUCUGGUGAAGUCUUGCAGUGCAAAUGGUUUCCUCAAACCCAUUGUCUCUUUGGCUUCUGCUUCCACCUCUGCUGUGGCGGCGUGGCUGUCUCUUUUCUUCUUCAUCUUCAUCUUCAUCUUGUCUGCUGUGGCGGCGUGGCCGUCUCUUUUCAUCUUCAUCUUCAUCUUGUCUGCUGUGGCGGUGUGGCUGUCUCUUUUCAUCUUCGUCUUCGUCUUCAUCUUCUUCUUGUCUGCUGCCUCUUUGGUGACGUGGCUGCUUCUCUGAUGGGCUUAUGAAGCUGAGACCUCCUUUAACUUUGACAAUGGCUCCCUUCUCCUCAUCUUCGUCCCUGCCUUGAAGUUUGUCCACUAUAUGCCUGUUCACGUUCAAGGCGUCUUCCAAGAAAUCCCUCCUAAAGCCACUGAAAAUGUUGUUUCCUUCAUUUUCUUGUUCUUCCUUUCGUCCUUCUUGUUGUUGAUAUUGUAGAAACUCUUGUUCUUGGUUCCCAGCAAGGUAGAAUCUCUGUCAAGUAUUGUCAACAAUAAAAAAACAAACAGUUGUCAAUAAGUUAGUGUUAGAUGGCACUUAGAAACUCUCACUUAUGGUAGGUAGGUAGCUGACCCUAGGCAUUUGAUCAAGCUGGUUUUGGAAGCUGCUGGUGUCAAUAAGAGAAACAGCAAUAACUGGAGUGUCUUGGUCAUUGUACAUCCAGAAAACAACACCGGUAGGAACUGCAAUGAUAUCACCCUCUCUGAAACGGUUAACCUUUUGGUGACUGUCUCUGAAUCUGCGGCCCUCUCUUUGUUCAGAUUCCCGUGGCUCCAUAAAGGUCUCAGGACAACCAGGGAAUACCAUGCCAAAAUAUCCAUUACCUGUAACAUGGUAUACAUCAUAAUUAACUACUAUUAGUACUAUAUAACAUUAAUUAGUGGCAUUGUUAAUACUAUGUAACUAAAGAAGUUGGAAAUUAAUGGAAUAAGAUCAAAGAAAGUAACCUUGUUGGAUGAAAAUUUCCUGGGGAGCGUUGGUGUAGAAAGGUCUGCGAAGGGCAUUGCGUUGAAGGGUAGCACGAGAGAGGGCAACACCAGCACAUCGGAAUUGUCUGUUGUUUGGGUUCCAAGUCUCAAUAAGUCCACCUUCUGACUCUAUACGGUUAUCGGGUUCAAGGGCAUUGAGGUGUUCAAGCUGGCACUCAUUUUGCUGAGGCUGUUCUCUAAAAGCAAAACAGCCACCAAAAAGUAGAAAACAAAGUGAAAGAGAGAGCGCAAGAAGCUUAGCCAUUGGAGAGAGAGAAUAAUAUAUUUUGGUUUGUGAUGCGGAAAACCUUAAUAACAACUGUUACUUUAUAGGGAAGAGAGGAGUGUGGAGGAGGGACACGUUAGAGAAGGUGGAUUGUUGAACAUUAGACAUUCUUCAUCUUGCAUGGCUAUGGAAGUCUUGUGCAUUACACCUCAAAAUGUCUCAUACUGCAGGUGGCUUCAUUUCAACAUGUUCCAUAACCAAACAAAAUUAUAAGAGAGCAAGCUUGUUUGUAUAUUGCAAUUGCUUCGCAGCAGCAAAUAGCUUGCUGUAAUUAAUUUUUUUUUCUUCUUCUAUAUGCUGUUUUCUUUAAUUUCACGCAGGUGAUAAUUGAUUGCAUUUGUAGUAUUUAGAUAUAUAUCUACUCGAUUCACUUUUAAGUUAUUGUCCGUACAUUAGUGUUGGAUAUAUAGCACUGAGUUUGACAUGUAAAAAAAAACAGAUGGAUAGAUAUUAUGUAUGUAGCCUUUGAGUGAGAGACAUGUAAUAACAUAUGGAUAUAUAGAUAAUAGAUGUUUACGUGGCUAUUAAAUCAAUAUAUAUCCUAUCCUAAUUACUUACACCUCUGUUGUUGCGGCUUUGAGUAAUAGUUUGCAUGCAUCUGAUAGGCAAAAUAUAAUGUGGUAUUUUAAGUUAUUUAUAUUAAUUCUUAAGUUUGUUUUGUCUUAGAUAGUACUUUUAAGUCUUAAUAUAUGAAUGAUGUCCAUUUUUAUGAGAUUCCAUUUUAACUACAUUAAAAAAUUGUUCAGGUUAUUGUUUCGAUUUUGAUGGGAGGAUUAUGUGCUUACGUGGCAUGACUCAUUAUUUUAUAGUAUUUAUUUUGUUUAACAAAUGUCAAAUUUAAACAGUUUUGUCAAACAAAGCUUCAUGAAUAAUCUUCUCCCCUUAUGUGUCGUUUUCCUUUUCCCAUUCAUUGCACACAUGAAAGAAAUAACAAAACUUCUGAUAGUUCUUCACCUCGUCUUAUCCCAAAUCAUUUUCAAUGGGGUUUCAAUGUCAAUUAACAUUUUAAAUACCUAGUUUCUUCAUCUUCUUCUCUUCUUUUUUACUUAUGGAGUUAAGGGUUUUUGGGUUUAUACUUUAAACUCAUAAGUUGAAGGGCAAAAUACAUUUCAUCUAUUUCCAAAAAAAAUGUUGUCUAUGUUAGACAACCAGUAUGAGUUCAUAUACAGGUCUUUUAAAAAAUUAAUGUGUCGGUACAUAAAAAUAUACAAAAGGAAUGUCUUUCAUAAAUAUAAUAUUUAACAAAAAUUAUGUCUUUCAUAAACUUUCAACAUUUUAAAUCAAAAUAGAAUUAGGUAAUAAGUAUACGAAAUUGAGAAAUAUUAUGAUACAAAGAUGAUAUAUUUAUAUAACAGGACUCAGGAAAUAACAUUAAUAUAAUAAACUAUAAAAAAAAAAGUAUAUAAAGUAUGAUAGAAAAACUAUCCACAUAAUAAUAAAAAAAUAGAAUGAGAAAAUCUAAUUUUUAUAAUUAGUAAAAGCCAAAAACAUACUUAUUUAUCUGAGCACAGAUACGUAUCCAAAAAGUAUCUAUAUAUUUUCAAAUGAAAUACUCAAAUUUAUAUUUUAAAAAUUAAUUAUUGUUUUUUUAAGUUAUAUUUUAAAAAUUAAUUUUAGUACGUACAAGAUACUUAGCUUUAAAUAUCAUAUAAAUUAAUACCAGAUACAAAUACAAGUAACCACACAUUUGUUGGGUAUCCAUCCUUCAGAGUAUAAAAACCAAAGUUUGGUAUUUGGUGAAAUAUGACGGGAUUAAAUUAUAUGGUGUACUUUUGUACCCAAAAAAAUAAAAAUUAUGGCGUAUUUACAUUCAAUCUAACCCUCGCACAUAUCCAUUUUCAAAUUUCAUUAUUACUUUGUUCUUUUAGUUCUCGGUUUAGAUUAUGCGACCGUGAUAACAGUGCAUUAAAAUAUGAAAUUGCACAUUUAUCUCGUAAAUAAUUUUAUUUUCACUUUAAUUAAGUAACACACAUAAAAGAGGUCCAAUAAAAUUCUCACAAAUUUUCUUUUAUUUUCUCUCUAUUAUAACUGUUCGAUGCAUGAGUUUUCCUUCAAAUACAUAUUUGAGUGCUGGUAAUUUUUUGAAGCAGAUAUGGGACAUGUACUUUUAGUACUUAUCGAAAGAUACCUUUUAUCGUCUCUAAUCAAUAUGCAUUUCGUAAAGAUAUCUAGUUAUAACUCGGAGCAAUUAUAUAUAGAUUAUACAAAAAGCUCUUUUAAGAAUUUAUAUAAAAAUAAAUAAAAGAGUAAAACAAUAUUUUUGUAUAUAUCAUUCUUACACAGUGAGAGAAAAUGAGAGAGAAAACGAGAGAAUCUUAAUAGAUGAUAUGUUUUUUUCUGGAGAAUCUUAAUAGAUGAUAUGUUUUUUUUGACAAAAAACCUAUUUUAUUGUUGUUGUUCAUAGAUGUUAUUAAUAAUACCAACUUUGAUAAUAUAUAUAAAAUUGAUUUGAUAAUUAAGAUAAGACAAUUAAGAAAUUGAUUGAUAAAAGAGAUUGCCGAUUGGUUGAUUUGAUAAUUAAGAUAAGAGAAUUAUGAAGUUGUUGAAAAAAAAAAUAACACAAACUUUGACAGAAAAUCAUACAGCAUUUAAAUUUGGCUCUUUGUUUAUUUUGUUUCCGCAAAAGGUACAUGACUCGAGUAACUUUACACAUAACAAAAGGCAUCUAAGCCUUCAUUUUCUUAUUCAUAAUUUGCAUGAUUAUUCCUUUAUUCAUAUUGAUUUGGUACCAAAUCUAAGCUGCUGCUUUGUUGUCUGAGUCACUGCGGGGUGGAACAAGAAAUGAAAAGGGGCUGUUGAACUUGAGCUGCCUGGCCUCAUUUCUUUCCAUAUUGAAAGCAGCUGCAACAACUUCUUCUGGCAUACCAUUUAUCAAGGAAGAUGCUCCUAAAAGCCUGCCAAUAGCUGCUCUGUCAUUGGUCUUGAAUGCUACAUAUGAGAACCUGUCACUCAAUGAUUUUGCAGCUAUUGCAAAGUUUUGUGGCACUAUCAACGCCCGGCCAGCUUCUAGUUCCCCAUCAAACACACUGUUGCCUUUGCAGUUCACAAUUUGUAAUCUUGCACGUCCCUUCAAUGCAUAAAGUAUGCUGUUUGCAUUGAGGUUGUAGUGAGGCACAAACAUAGCAUUCUGUUACAUAUAAAUAGACAAACAAGUGAGUUACUUAUAUUCUAACACUUCCAAAUUCCAUUAAUGUUGAUAUGAAAAGAUUGUUUGAUAUAAAAUUAAGUCAUGAAAGACAUUAGGUUUCAUGGUUUGGUCUAGUGGUAAAAAGACCUACAUGUUGUAGGUUCAAUCUCUGCUAGUGUCAUUGGAAGUUGGCAAAUGUAAAUGCAUCAUCUUUUUUUAUAAAAAAGAGAAAUGACAUACUUUGUGGAGAGAUCCAAACUCAGCACUGAGUUUGAGAAACCUGAGAGCUGGAAGGUCGAAGCUGGUAACAGUUUUGAUUCUACCAGCUUGAGGGUUGUAGAUGUCAGGUGAUGAAGAUGAGCCAAUGUUCUGGUGAAGUCUUGCAGUGCAAAUGGUUUCCUCAAACCCAUUGUCUCUUUGGCUUUUGCUUCCACCUCUGCUGUGGCGGCGUGGCUGUCUCUUUUCAUCUUCGUCUUCAUCUUGUCUGCUGUGGCGGUGUGGCUGUCUCUUUUCAUCUUCAUCUUCAUCUUCCUCUUGUCUGCUGCCUCUCUUUUGACGUGGCUCCUUCUCUGGUGGAGUGAUGAUGCUAAGACCUCCUUUCACUUUGACAAUGGCUCCCUUCUCCUCAUCUUCGUUCCUACCUUGAAGUUUGUUCACUAUACGCCUGUUCACGUUCAAGGCAUCUUCCAAGAAAUCCCUCUUGAAGCCACUGAAAAUGUUGCCACCUUCAUUUUCCUCUUCUUCACUUCCUUCCUGCUGNNNNNNNNNNNNNNNNNNNNNNNNNNNNNNNNNNNNNNNNNNNNNNNNNNNNNNNNNNNNNNNNNNNNNNNNNNNNNNNNNNNNNNNNNNNNNNNNNNNNNNNNNNNNNNNNNNNNNNNNNNNNNNNNNNNNNNNNNNNNNNNNNNNNNNNNNNNNNNNNNNNNNNNNNNNNNNNNNNNNNNNNNNNNNNNNNNNNNNNNNNNNNNNNNNNNNNNNNNNNNNNNNNNNNNNNNNNNNNNNNNNNNNNNNNNNNNNNNNNNNNNNNNNNNNNNNNNNNNNNNNNNNNNNNNNNNNNNNNNNNNNCUCGUGGUUUCCAGCAAGAUAGAAUCUCUGUCAAUCAAAAUCAAACAGUUAUUAAUUCCAAUUUCUUUCACGUGAAUUAAGUUUAAUUAUAUUAUGCUCACCCUAGGCAUCUGAUCAAGCUGGUUUUGGAAGCUGCUGGUGUCAAUAAGAGAAACAGCAAUAACUGGAGUGUCUUGAUCAUUGAACAUCCAAAAUACAACACCAGUAGGAACUGCAAUGAUAUCACCCUCUCUGAAGCGGUUAACCUUUUGGUGACUGUCUCUAAACUUGCUUCCCUCUCCUUGUUCAGAUUCACGUGGCUCCUCAAAAGUCUCAACACAACCAGGGAAUACCAUGCCAAAAUAUCCAUUACCUGUAAUUGUUAUAGCAAAAUAUUAGCCACUACUAUAUAACAUCACUAAUAUGUAUGUAAAAAAAAUGUAAUAAGAUCAAAAUAAGGAACCUUGUUGGAUGAAAAUUUCCUGGGGAGCGUUGGUGUAGAAAGGUCUGCGGAGGGAAUUUGGUUGAAGGGUAGCACGAGAGAGGGCCACACCGGCACAUCGGAAUUGCUUGUUGCUUGGGUUCCAAGUCUCAAUAAGUCCACCUUCUGACUUUAUACGGUUAUCAGGUUCAAGGGCAUUGAGGUGUUCAAGCUGACACUCAUUUUGUUCAGGUUGAUCUCUCAAAGCAAAACAGCUACCAAAAAGUAGAAAACAAAAUGAAAGAGAGAGUGCAAGAAGCUUAGCCAUGAUGACAGAUAUUGAAAAGAAUGUUGGUUUGUGAUGCGGAGAACCUUAAUGAGAAGUGGUUAUUUAUAGGGAAAAUAGGUUGGCGAAGGAUGGACACGUCAAAGAAGGUGUGGAGCUGAGCAUUAGACAUUCUUCAGCUUGCAUGGGUAUGGAAGCCUUGUGCAUUACACCUAUGUCUGAUAGAGCAAGGUGGCUUUCAACAUAUCCAUAAUCCAACAAAAAGCAUGCUUGUUUGUAUUGCAAUUCUUGCCUAGGCAUUAUUAUUAGUUUAAAUCGGUGGGGGAGGGGGGACCAUGGCUCCAUUUUGUUUUCUUCCCUGCUUCUCUCUUUCAUAUCUGCAAAGAUUUACGAAGAACAUUAAUCCUUAAAAUAUAUGUGUAAUUACAUAGUGCUUGAUAAACAUUUUACUUUUUACAUUUAAAAUGAGUUUACUCUAAAUAAGUCAAAAUCUAAUGUAAUAAUAACCACUUUUUGAAAUAUCAAUUUCAAUUUUUUAAAAUUUGUUCCAUAUAUUGAUAAACUUUUCAGAUUUUUUCGGGUCGUAAGUUUUUAAUACAUGUGCUUGACUCACUACAAAGAAUUGGUCCGUGACCCAUAUUAACUUAGUUCUUCGAAUAUGAUUUGGGUGAUGCCAUGUUUUCUCUUCUCCCACGUAUAAAAGAUCUACCCAAUUCAACUGCUACACCCCAAUUCUUCUCAUCAAUGAUAAACUUAAAUCAGUGAACUAGUGAGCAAUGGAUUACAAGGGUAGAAAUCAAUGAAUAAAGGACUCUGCAUCAAUAUUCAUUUGGCACAUAUAUAGAAUUCCCAGCCAUUUAACUAGCUUUUAAAAAUGCAAGGCAACUAUGUCACGUCAAACACAAUCAACGUUGAUUUUUAAAUUAUCCUGAGUCAGAUAAUAGGCCUAUUUAUAGAUAUUCAUGGACCUGAAAUUCUUUCUCUGCUACUUAAAUAAAUAAUAAUCAAAGGUAGAAGCAAUGUAUUGAGAAUAAAAAAUGCAUAAAAUGUAAGGGUGUAAUCUGCCUUUCCUUCAAAUGAUUCUACAGAAAUUAUUUCGGUGGCCGUUCAAUCAUUGUAAAAACCAAAGAGGGAAGAGUUGGCGGGAAAAACUGUAAACACUGUACGUUUACCGUUUUUAUCGUGGAUUUGAAUUUUUUUCUAAUUAGAUGAAUACUUUUUUAUCUUAACUAUUUACUUUUUACCAUGAUAAUCUAAAGUUCAUUCGAUACAUAGAGCUUGGCAUCAAAUCAAAUAGUACCCAAACAAUUCAUCAAUCUUAACACAAAUACAUUAACCAUUGGCACAAAUUACGUCCACUUGGUUAAUAGUAGAUGAACAUGACAAAAACAAAAGAUGAGUGACAGAAGGGCAAUUUGCGGAACUCGUCAAUUUUUUAAUAAACAUAGCCCUGUAAAUUUUUUUAUAACGAAAGACAAUACAAGACAAACCAGCUUCUACACACGAUCUGCCAUAAACAAGUUCCCAAAGAAAAGGGAAGAAUCCCAGUCCCUUUGCGUCCAUUAUGAAGCAUAGAUCAUGUUAUUUAGGCUAAUGCUUGUGACGAGGCGUAUCAAACAUUAGCAAAUUGAUGCGCACAGAACAUGGUAGGUUUAACCAAUCAGGGAAUAUAAAAUAAUAGAGUACUCCAUCACUAAACAGGCCUUAUUAAUCUGAAGACGAACAAAGUGAGAGCUUUUACAAGAAAAAAUCACAUUAACAUUAUGAUGAACUACCAUGAUCUCACAAGGAUUAAAUGUCACAAUCCUCGGGAUAUAAUCACCCUUGUAGAAGGAACUAUAGGUUAUAAUUUAUAAAUAAUACAUGCCUACACGAUAUGGACAAUAACAAAUUACAAUGCUAGAAGAAACAAUGAAACAUGCAACCUUCAAUUUUCUUAUUCGGUAGUAUUACUCUUCAAGCUAGAUUCCCCGUUCUUCUCUUCAGUGCUAUCCACUAUUUUGGUUUCAACAUGACCAUCCCCCUUGGUUGCAUUGCCAUCCACUUCAAGAGUGUUUGACUUUUUCGGCAGUUUUCGAUCAAGACUCUGAGCAGCUUCCAACUCUUCAGAUUCAUCACCUUCACAUCUUUCAUUGGGGUUUUGAACAGCUUCGGCAUCAUGCUUGGCAGUGUCAGCAUUUUGUGUUAGUUGUGCCCCUGAACUUUGAGAAGCUUCCAACUCUUCAUACUUAGAAACCAACUGCUGCAGCUCGUCAUUGAGAUAUAAAGCCUCAAAAAGUGUUUCUUCAUCAUUUGUGGUGCUUUCCACAAUCUCCUUAAUAACAGAGAGUGAUUGCUUGCACUUAUCCAGCAGACUCAAAGUUAUAUCUUCCUGGAACCAAACAAAAUCAUUGUACAUUCUAUCAGCAAAAAAAUUAUUCCUAUUUCUUAGCUGUAUACUGAUGUAGCAAUAACCUAGAUGAGCUGGGAAGAUAAGAGAUAAAAAAAAAAUCCAUCUACAUUGUAUCUGCAUAAGAAUACUAUAGUAUUUUGCAUAGAAAAGCAUGUAACUGAUUUAUGAUAGUUCUUUAAAAAUCUGUGCAAGAACUACUUCAUACAUACAGCAAACAUCAUGAUGCAGUAAACAAAACAACAAUCUAUUGUUCAGGUGAUGCUGUAUUUCUUUAAUUUAAAAAAGUUUACCUUCAAAGGUUUUGGCUCUGCCUCAGAACUUAAUAUGCUAGAGAGCAAUUCAAGACUGUUUCGAGCAACCACAAGAUGCUCUUUCUUCUCUUCCACUGAUACAGGUUGGUGAUCAGUAAAGAAAGCUGCUGAGUCAUCCAGAGCAAGAGCAUGUAGCCCUGCUUCUGGAAUUGGGUAUCUUUCAGGGGGGUCUAAAGGGUGUUGAUAAUUAUGUGACUCUGAGGCAUAUGGAAUAGGUGGUGAGUUUCCUCCCGUCAUGUCAAGUGAUUCACCCCUUCCUUUCAAACUCUGUCAUCAAUGAGAAGAAUAUAGGACUUAAAUUAAAUGAGGAAGAAAAGGAAGCACAAGAAUACGUCAUAGUAAAAAUAAAAAAUAGACGGCACCACAUUCGAAAGAGUAGACAAUAAGUAAGAUCGUGAAGCACAAUGUAGGAAUUCGCUUCAAGGCCAACAUUUUGUAAAAAAUAACCCAAGGUCACCUGGGAAAUGCUAUUUUCACAAAGUAUAAUUCUGCAAACAAAGUCUAGAAGCUACACAUAUAACAAUAAAAUCAAGUACGAAAAACAAUAAGGUUACCAUUCAAAGAUAAUUUGAGGCCAAUGAUAUUUGCUUCCCUUAAACUAUUAAUACCCUUCAAUGAAAUUUUGCUUAAACAAAUUUCAAUCAAGUUUUUUGGGACCUGUCAUUUGAAUUAUUUGGGAAAGAAAAUAGAUGGUAUAGAGUUGUAAAGAUAAGUUUUGCAUUUGAAAUAAGAUAAAGUAAAAUGGAGUGAAUAGAAUGCAAAUUCAUCUAGAUAAAUCCUAAGACAAGCUUGGAGGCCAAAAUUGGAAAUCUUACCAAGCCAAAAAUUCAGUGUGGUGGGUACCUUGAGUCCAUCAUAAAAAUAUCGAAGAAAUAGGAUAAAUAUAAAUCGUAAUACUCAACCUAGGCAGAUAAAAUGAAAAUGCUUCAACAGCCUUCGUGUUCGACAUUGCCUUUUAAGAUUAAUUAAUGAAAACUUACCGCACGGUCAUAAAACCAACAAUGAAAACAUGUUAAGUGUUAUGAUAUGAAAAAUAAAACAACAAAUUAGUGGUUAUACAAGACAAGACGGGAUUAGGAAUAAAAGCACUAGAGAGAAAGUUGUGACAGCCACCGUCUACUGUAAAAAAGACAGUUGGUCUUAUUGUGGUUUGGACAUGUGUUGAGCAGACAUUGGAAAAUAUCCCACUAAUUAGAGGUAGAAAGAAACGAAGCAAAACAAUAAGCUACAAUCAAGAAAAAAUGGAACUAUACGAUCAAUAAUUCUAUAUCACAGAGCAUGAUUCAUGACAGGACAAGACUUAAUGACAUCAUUUAAUCCAUGUAACCGAUCCCACCUAAUGGGAAAAGGUUUUGAUUGUAAUUGUUAGUGUUGUUUUUGUCACAAAGCAAACAAUGCCUUCUGGUACUGAUCGUCAAACAGUAAUGCCGCAAUGAAUACAUACAAGAAAAAUUAGUACAAUUGUGUAUAUGAUGAUUUUCCAUAUCAGAAAUUCAGAAUAAGACCGAUAGAAAUGCCAGUAGAGAACUUUAUUAGACCAAGGAUAGUCUAAUAAUCAGAUAUAUAAAGGAAAACAAAAAAAAAUCUAAAUGAAACCAUUGAAAAGUACUUAGAUCUAUAUAGCUACUUUUAAGUAAUAUGUACUAGGUGUGUGGCAAACCACAAUGGAAAUGCAAUUAUUUAAAUAAAUAAGUUUGCCUACAAUAGACCCACAAUGCCUGGGUCCAAUCCUUACCUCUUUAAAUAGAACAUCCUCUCAUUAUAAUUCUAACUGAUAACUAACCUACUAAAGGAAACUCUAUGUUUUCCCCCUUAGUGUGACCACAAUACACAUACUCUGAUACAGCUCUGUUAUUGACCAGCAUACAUAUAAUACAGACACAACCCUAACACCAAUAAUAAUUUCAGAAAAUAGAAUUGAUUGAAUGAAAUUUUAUGCGUCAGUCAGAGUUGUGUCCAUGUGUUAGUGUGUCGGUCUUCAGACAUUGAACACACCUUAUGAACUUUUUUAUUUAUAGGCAAAUGUUAUUAAAUUAGUGGUUAUCUAUGAAGCACAUAUAAUGACACUACACUAAUCAGUCGAGAAAAUAAAUAAUUAAUUGAAUGUAAUCAAUAUGUGAGUGUCAUAUUGUGUUAGACACGAAGACUCGAGUGUGGGUGGUUAUGUUAGUUCCCGAGACCUCUUUUUUAAUUACCUGAAGUGUUGGUGAUACAUAGCUAACGUAUUGUAAGACUGAAUUGACCCAUGUUCCAACAAAAUAGUGAUAGAAAAAAACAAAGCAAGAAGAAGAAAAGAAAGAAACUAACCGUAUAAGUUUGAGCGAAAACAGGAAGAUAAGCAAGAUCUUCAGACUGACCCCAUGCCCUAAUAAGCUGAAAAGCCCUUGUUCUAUUUUGCUGAUCAGCCUGUUGAUUAUCAAACAACCUAACCAUAUCAUCUAAAAGCUUCUCAGAAGCAAUUUCAGAAAAAACCUUUUCACAAUUCAUAGCACAAGUUUCCAACAACUCAAGGCUAUGCUUCUGAACAACAGGGUUCUUGUGAUUAAUCCUCCUCUUUAUACCCUUCACAACUUCCGAACCGUUAAACUCUUCCGCGUUUAUUAGACCGCAUAUUCUCAGAUUCAUUCCCCAAUUUGGUUCUUCCAACGUCUCUGAUGUUGCUUCCUCGACCAUCUUUGAUUCCGGCGUCGGAGUUUGGAGUAUUUCCUUCAUUUUGCCGCUUACGAUUCGACCCAUCUGGGCCCCACCGGUUUUGAGCCUCUCGCCGAAUUGAGCUAGCUUAGACUUGUCCAUGAGAGUGAGAUGGUUGUUGUGGAGUGAGAAAGUGAGGAACCCUAGAUCGGAUUCUGUUCGUUACUGAUGUGGAGUAUGAAAAUGGGAAAGUGGAGAGUUGAAGUUUCAGAGAGAAACAAAUGUUUGAUUUUAUUUAGAUUAUUGAUUUAUGUUCUUUUACGUGGCUUUCUUUGGAGAGCUUUAAAAUCAUUAAUUAAUUGAUCCCCCACUCACUAAAGUCUUCUCAACCACGUCUCCAUCUCUCUCGUAGACUCUAUUAAUAUUUUAAACUAUUUUUCAAUUAAGUCUUUUUGUAAUUUUACAAUGUUCAUUGAUAUUAAUUGGGCUGACGUGGAAAAUUAAAUGUUAUUUAUUAUCAAAUUGAUCUCUAUAGUUAGAACUAAUACUAUCUAUCUCUUUUCUUUAAAGGAACAUGUAAAUAACUUUAAUUAUUUUGAUUGUGUGGAUGGAGUGUUUUCUCUUAAAGCUCAAUUACGUGCACAAUGCAUAUGUUGUGAGUGCAUCGGAAACAACCGGAAAAAAGAAAAGAAAAUGACAUAGAUUUUAUAGGGUUUGUAUUUUUACUUAAAAUGCUAACAUUUUGAAGGGUUUGUACUUGUACUUAAAAUGCUAAGAUUUAUGUCACGGGUUAAAUUUGAGACCAAUUUUUUGUGUUUUAACCUUUUUUUUUCAUGGGAUAAUUAAUCAUUAAUCACAAUUUUUUAAUGAAAACUAAAUUUUUAGCGUGUCCCUAAUGUGGACCCUAAAAAAAUGUCCACCAGUGGACCUGUGGCUUUCAACCGGGUACAGCCGGUAAGUAAUAUUUUUUUCACAUUUUGUUUUUCCAAAUUUUUGGACACUGCUUGUAAACGAUGGAGCCACAACUAUGGCAUAGUUGUUGAUAUAAGACGUGUCGCAUGCCCUUUAUACAUAUAGUCUCUCUUUUUAUCUCGUUGGAAUUUAUCAGAUAAUACUUUCUGGGACAUUUAAGCAGGAAAUGGGAUAAUUAAAAGAGAAGGCUUUGUACCCAAAAAAGACAGCUAUAUUUUUUUAUACUUUAUCAUUGUUCCAACAAAUGUCAUAUGUGUGAUGAGAAAGAGCUUGAGAAGUAGAGUGUCUUGUGUGAUGCUGAUUCCAUCGAGAAAAUCAACAGUAUGUUGUGUGGUGUACGUGAAUGGUUUCGGGACAUGGGGGAAUAAGGAAAAAAGAAAUCAACUAGGUCGAUAACAUAUGUUGCGUAUAACUUCUAUAUGACGAAAAGGUGGUGAAGAGCGAAAUUGUUAUGAGUUUUGUGUGUCGUUCGUCGGGUUCUGUUUAAGUUGUAUGAAAGGGGACGGCUCUAUCAUUUACAUUUUACAUACAAUGUGAACAAAAUUGGAAGAAAAGUUGUUUACCGAUUGUACCCGGUUAAAAGCAAAGGUCCACACUUUAAAGGCACCCAAAUUUUCAAUUUAGUCUUUAAAAUAUCAUUUCUUUUAUUUAUUUUAUAAAUUAUUAUGAAUUCAAAAUAUUUUGUACUUUAUUUCUUUUGAAAUUAUUUAAGCCUUUGAUAUCAGUUCAUUCUAGACAAGAUUUUGCCUUUUAUUAAAUACAAAUAUUUCACCAUCUCUUCACUCUAAAUUUUAUAAAAAAAAUAUGAAGACUCUAAUUCAUAAGAAAUUCUUUUUUUUUUUCCGUCUAAUCAAUAAUUGUAAUGCUACCAUAACUCUUAUCUUAAGACACUUAUUCUCUUCAAUCUUUAAUAUAAAAGCAAAAAUGAAGUAAAAAAAAAUCAAUAUAUUUAAUUUAAAAUUUAAACUAAAGAUAUCCAUUUUAUUUCACCAUAUUUUUACUUAUAUUUAAAAUAAGAUAGAGUAGGUCAAAAACUCCACUAUUUCAUGUCAUAAAUAUCCUUUGGAGGAGGCUAUAAAGAUGCCUUUGAGCAGUCCCACAACUUAUCCAUAGAAAAUGAGCAAUCACCCAAAUGCAUGGACAAACUGGCUACCAAGAACCAUUUUCAUUCUCAAACAAAUCCAUCCCUUUUUUAAUCAAAAAGAAAUUAUAUUAAUUAAAAUAAAAGUUGAGAAUAAUAGCUUCUAUCAUCGUAUAUAAAAAAAAAUAAAUUUAAUAAGGAAAAAUAUAGAUACACUUUGAACUAAAAAAAGACCAUGGUGAUUAAGUUGAGCUAAUAAAUGAGCAUGUCUAUUUGUUUCUUUUAAAGAAUAAUUAAGAGGGAAUAAGUUCAAUUAUAAUAAACAAAUGAAUAAAUUGAACAUAACAUUUGUGGAUCAUAAAAACGAGGGUCAGUAAGCCAAUUUUAAAAAUAAUAUUAUAAAUAGAUUUAUCAUGAACCACAGAAUGUCAUGUAGUGAUGACCAGGACUGACUAUUAUGGUCGCGAAUGAUCCUUCACAAAUCGAGGAGUUAUCAAUAUGAAUAUAAGCACCACUAAUGUUCAUCUUUAUAACUUUCCAUGAGGUUUAACUCAUAUUUUUUAUUAUGGUUAAUCAUGUUCUCUUUAAGUUUUAGAAAGAUAACUAUUCCUCUUAGAAACUUUAUCAAUGUUUAAUUUAUAAAUAAAUAUAUUUUUUAGGUUUUAGAAAGAUAACUAUUCCUCUUAGAAACUCUGUCAAUGUUUAAUUUAUAAAUAAAUAUAUUUUUUAAUUCAUAUAAAAUUAUGGUAUAUCAAGUUUAGUCUUUAAAAAAUAUUAAUUUAUUUUUAGUCUAUAUUUUAAUUUUAUAGAGACUAUUUUAAAGUAUAAAAAAUAUAAAUUCUUUUAAAAAAAAUCAAAAUUGAAAUUAAAAAUAAAUGAAAAUUUUAAAAUUUAGACUUAAAAAUAGUAAAUUUAUAAUUAUUAAAAAUAUAUUUAAUCCUUAAUUUAAGUUAGAUAUGGAGGCAUCCAACUAACCGCAAUUCAAGAGAAUAACUUGGUACAUUGAAAUAAGAACUAUUUAUGGUGUUACUAUAAUUCAAAAUUUAAAUAAAAUAGAAAAUUAUAAUCUAGCAACAAAAUUGAACGUUUACUCGUCAAUCAAUUAAUAUGAUAAUUAUUUGUUUUUUUACAUUUUUUUUCCACACAAAUUUUCAGUCUCAAUAUUUGUUUUUUUUUCUGUGAUUAUUAAAAAUUUAAAAUACUUUUGCAUUUAAAAUAAUCAUAAAGAUUUGUUUAAUAAAUUAUUUAUACAAUUAUAUAAACACAAUUCUAAAGUUAACUGGUAGUAUUAAUUUUGGUCAGAUAUUUUUUACAAAUUUACUCAUAACAAUUCAAUUUUUUCAAAUAUACAUUAAAAAAAAUUAUAAAAAAUAUACAUUUGAACUUAACUCAACAUCCUAAAUUUGCCAUGAAAUUUAAAUUUUUCUGGAAAAACACUCUUUUAAGUUUUAUGAAUUUUUUUAUAAGACUUAAUAAACGUUUGUAAGAAAAAUGUUGUUUAAGAGACUAAAUGAAAAUUCCGUUUUUUCUAAUAUAUAUAUAUAUAAUAACAAAAUGAUGUAACAAAAACGUUGUUAUUAUUAACUUUUAGUGUAGCGACAUAAAAAGGUAGAUAGACGAUAAAUUAAUGUCCGUCAUUUUUUAUAACAAAUAAUUAAAUAUCUUAAUAAAUGUGUAAUUAUUUUUUGUUUAUUCUUUAUCACAGAAAAUGUAGUAUGUUAUCCAUGAUAAUUAUAUAUGAUUACAUAUGAUAUAAUUAUCAUCAGGACUAUGAGUUUGUACCUAAAAUAUUGUUAGUACAUGAACCAAAAUACUGUUUUUUGUUAAAAUAAAAUAAAAAGUAUUUAACUCAAUUUUAUCAAAAUAUUAAAGAGCAAAAAUAUAUUUCAUAAAAAAAAAAGAGAGCAAAAAUAUACAUAGAGGUUUGGUUCAUGUACUAAUUUUUCUUAAUUUGAUUAAAAUUUCUGUUUAGUUGUUGGACCCUCUUCCUCAUGUUUUCCAUGUGUCUUUGUUGGGAAGGAAAAAACACAACCAUGAAUGAAAGGGAAGGCUUUCAGUAGUUACCAUUCGAAUUCAGAAAAUAAUUAAUUUGUUUUUGGAAACUUCCAUUCUCAUGGUUUGGAAUUGAUCUCGAUACGUUUCACCUGCGUUAAUUGCAACAUUCAAGUUUCAAAACCAUGCAUGUAGGUAUGCAUACGCAAUUAUUCGAAGUUUUUAUUUUUGUUCACAAAAUGCGUAUCAUAUUUUCGUGGAUUUCGUAUGUGUCUUUUUUAUUCAUUGGGCGUUUUUUGGUUUUUGUGUGAAUUAUUGUGGGUGCUAUGCAUUUCAGAUCAUUUUGAAAAUUUUGUGCAAUUUAUUAUAUUGUUGGAACUCUUUUUUUGUUGUUAUUUCUUGGCUUCGUCAUACAAUUACGUAGUUUAUUCAUCCUCGUGAUGGAAAAAUAUGGAGACAUUGUUGAAAAAUGUGGUAAUUUGAAGUAUUUAUUAAUUUGUAUGGUUGUGGAAAACGAAAAGUUAUAUGUAAAAAUUGAAAGUUGAAUUAGGAUAAUUUGAGUUGAAAUUUGACAUUGUUCUGUUCGUAAUUCUCAUGAUUGUUUUACAAGAAACUUUGAAAACCAUCGUUUUAGUUGGUAACAUGCUAAUUUAUUUUGUUAUUUCCUUUAGCACAACAUUCAAAUGCUUAUGUAUAACAAUCUAUAGUUAUUUUUUUUACCGAGUAUUACAAUCUAUAGUUUUUUAUACAUGUUUUUGCUUGAACAAUUGAACACAGCCAUGGUGCUAAUGUACCAUAUUUCUCAAUAAUCAAGUUUGCUUUAACCACUAAUUGUUAUUUUUGACACAAACACCUCUGAGAUUAGGCUUGUCGUCAUGUCUGACACAUAUCGGUGUCCAACAUUCGUAUGACACUUUUACGACACCUCAAAUAAGUGUCCCAAAAUAAAAUUUGUUUUUCUUUGCUUCAACACACCUUAAACUUCUUGGACACAUCUAUGAAGGUGAAAAAGGUUAAAGAUGUGUCAAAGUAAUGAUAAUUAAUGAUAGGGUUAAAAACAUGAAAUUUAACUACAACAUGUUUAGUUUUUCGAUAGUAGAUGUAUCAAUGAAGGUGAAAAAUUAUCAUAUGUGUAUUAGUUUAGAUGUCCUAUGAUCUUUAUAUUAGCAAAGUCUGUGUCCGUGUCGUGUCAAAUGUUCGUGUCGGAAUUUGUGCUUCAUAGCAAAGAUCCUCUUUCCCCUACAAGGCUACAACUAUAUUCUAUUUAAAAAUAAAACUUGUAUGUAGUUAAGACAUACCAAUUCGAAUCCUUGAACAUGUCAAGCCAUGCAUAUCAACUCCUUACAAUGGUUAUCUACACUUGCCAAAGGGGUUCAUUAAAUUUACACAACUCUACUUUGUUUGGUAAGUUUAGGGAAUCAAGUUCCUUAGUUUGGCUAAGCUGUCACAUGUUAUGUGCAUUUUAUCCAAAAAUAAACACGAGACUAUCUUAUACAUCAGCUUAAUUAUAUAGUAAACAUUACAAAAUAAUUUUUUUUUAAUUUCUAUGUUGCUUUUAUAAUAUUAGUUUGUUGUAUGAUCUUACCAGAACAGAUCAAAUGGAUAUAACUUCAGCAAAAUGUGUGGUCAACACCAUUUCUCGAUUCAUUCAUCUAGUUUCUUGCCAAACAGUGAAACUUAUACCCCUUCAGAAGAACUAUAAUAAUAUGGUUGGUGUCUUAAAGUGUUUGAAACCAGUGCUUGAUGAUGUUGUGGAUUACAAAAUCCCUUUAGACAAAAAUUUGUACAGAGAAUGUGAAGAAUUGAAUAUGCAGGUUAAUGAAGCUAUGGAGUUCAUUGAAAAACGGAGCCCAAAGAUGAGUAGGAUCCACAAUGUAAGCAGUUAGUUAUUUCAUAAUUAAACCAAUAUCAUUAUUUUGCAACUAUUGUUUCAAAAAUGUUAGGACCAAUCGCCUCUUUGUCAGACAUUUGAACAAUGUUGAAAGGAGACAAUGAAUCACCGUUGCCUUUCUCAUAUGUCUGUUUUAUUUCGGAGAUAUUGAUUGCAGCCUAUUUAAUUGUUUUUGUUGGGAUUGUGUUAUUUUUAGGUUCUUCUAAGUGGAAAAAUGUUAAUAAAGUUACAAAGCACUUCACUUAUAAUUUGUCACAUAAUUAAUAGAUCUUCAAUGUCAACUUCCUCUUCCUCAGUUUUGGCUAAUCUUCAGGUAUGUCCAAAGUUUGAAACUACUUGUUUCUUGAUCAUUGUAGUUGUGAAACUAAUUAGUGGCAACUUUUUCAGCACCAUAUGCAAGAACUUCAGAGUUUUAAGAAGGAUUCAACAACACUCUAUAUAGAAGAAGCACUGAGAAAUCAAAAGGAUAAUAUUAAACCUUGCUAUGAACAUUUAAGGGAAAUUAUAGAGUUACUUAAAUUGACAUCAAGUCACGAGCUUCUAAAAGAAAGUAUUGAUGUUGAAAAGGAAAGGUUGAAUGUGAAUGCACAAGUCAACAAAACAAAAGAGGAGUUGGAUGAAGUUAACCAAAUUAUGAAUAUUGUGUGCAUUUUGCGCGAUUAUGCGACGAAAUCUAAAUGCCCUGAAGUCAAAAGUGGUGUCUCAAUACCAUCAUACUUUCUAUGCCCUUUAUCACUGGAAAUCAUGUUGGAUCCUGUUAUUGUGGCUUCAGGUCAAACAUAUGAGAGGGGGUCCAUUCAAAUGUGGCUUGAUAAUGAGCUGCUUAUUUGUCCCAAAACUCACCAGAAACUUACUCAUACAGAUCUAAUUCCCAAUUCUACUGUUAAAGCUAUGAUAACAAAUUGGUGUGAAGAAAAUAACUUCAAACUUCCCAGUAACUCAAAUCCUGGUAAUUCGACAAAAAUUUCAAACCCUUCCGAUAAUUUAUUGCAUCAAGAUUUAGACCGUGUCAAUAGCUUGGAAUAUUCUAGUAGCAAUUCCAAUUCAAAACCAUCCAUUCAAACUAUAAAUGCAUUUGAGAAUCAAAAGGGUGAAGACUCGUCCAGAUUAAGCGGCGAAUCAAACAGAUGCCAGAAUGGUGAGACAGAAAAGUUUAAGCAACAAUACCUUGGUCCUUCACAUAGUCACAGCAGAAGUACUGAAUCAUUUUCACGUUCUAUUUCUACUAAUGUUUUUCCUGCCUCUCCUGCAUAUAAAGAAUUAGUGAAUUUUCCAUCGUUAUCACGAGAUAAGUUUCAAACCUCUGGAUCAAAAAAUACAUCGACGGAGAAUGAAAUUAAGUGCAAUAACAAUAAUAAUAAUAUUGUUAUCACUAGCCAUUCAAAUGUCGAUGCUGAUCCUGUUUCUGAUAAAUUAACCACCACAUCUCAUGUCAAUAAGUUAAUUAAAGAUCUACAAAGUCAAUCAAAUGAAACACAAGCUAUCGCCGCAGAAGAAUUGCGCCUCCUUACCAAACAUAACAUGGACAACCGUAUCAUUGUAGCACAGUGUGGAGCUAUCAUGCAUUUACUUCCACUGCUAUAUUCAGAUAUGAAGAUAACACAAGAGCAUGCUGUGACAGCUUUACUGAAUCUAUCGAUUAACGAAGAUAACAGGACUUUGAUUAUGGAAGCAGAGGCUAUAGAAGGACUUAUCAAUGUUUUGAAGACAGGAAAUAAUGGCGCCAAAGAAAAUUCAGCGGCGGCUUUAUUCAGUCUGUCAGUACCAGAAAACAAUAAGGCGAAAAUCGGUUGUACGGGUGCAAUAAAAGCUUUGGUGGAACUUCUAGCUUCUGGAACUCUAAGAGGGAAGAAAGAUGCUGCAACUGCUUUAUUUAACCUUUCAAUAUGUCACGAGAAUAAAGCACGUAUAGUUGAAGCUGGAGCAGUGAAGUUUUUGGUUAUGUUAUUGGACCCUGCUGAUGGAAUGGUUGACAAGGCUGUUGCUCUUUUGGCAAACCUGUCAACAAUUCCAGAGGGUCGACUGGAAAUUGUACGUGAAAGAGGAGUCCCUUUACUUGUUGAACUUGUGGAAUCAGGUUCUCAGAGGGGAAAGGAAAAUGCUUCAUCCAUUCUCUUGCAACUAAGCCUUCAUAGCCGUAAAUUUUGUACUCUUAUUCUCCGUGAAGGAGCUGUUCCUCCUGUAGUUGCAUUAUCCCAAUUUGGUACACUCAGAGCAAAGGAAAAGGUAUCAAACUCAUUCUCUUUUUCUCUUAAACCAUGCACAAGCCUGCUUACUUUGUCUAUAAAAAAGACAAUGCUGCUUAUUUUAAGAGACUUUAUAUUUUUUUAUUGGUAGUAUGUAAUAAACAUUCAAUUGCUUCCUUAAUAGUCACUCAUAUUUUUUUUAUCUUCAAUGAGGUGACUAAUAGACUUCGGUAAAGCAAUUGAAUUUUUUAUGAUUAAAUUUUUGUCGGUUUGCAUAUACUGUCAUUUUGUUACAUUUGGAUCACUUGUUAUUCAUCUAUAGAUAAUACUCUCUUUAAAAUUAAAUAUAACCAAAAAUGAUAUUUGAAAAAAUGAUGUACGUGUUAAAAAUUUAAUCAAAUAUUCUUUUUGGUUAUAUUUUAUUUUAGAGUAACAUAUAGUUGUAUUUUAAUGAUGGACUAAUGGUAACUAACACUCAACUAUUUUAAUGAUGGACUAAUGGUAACUAACACAUUCAGUUUGUUGAAACUAGUUAAUCAAAUUUUACUUUCUAUGAUUAUGCAUUGCUAGUUUAACAAAAUCAUAAUAAACGCUUAAAGAAAUAUUUAUUUUCACAAUGGAGUUUUUCAAUAACACAAAAACUUAUGAGAUGGGGCAGAAACAUUGGUUGUCACGACAUAUAGUAUCUCAUGUACAAAGCAUAAUGUAAAAUGUGGAAGAAAUGCUAAUAUGUUGUUCACAUAUAUGCAGGCACAACAACUUCUUGUUCUUUUUCGUAAUCAGCGUGAUGGAGCACCAGGGAAGGGAAAAUCAUGAAGAUAAACAAUUUUGGUUACUUUGUUGCCUUUUUUCUUUUUCUUACUCCUAUUGAAGGUUGUAGGAGUUCAUUACAAUUUUUCUUUUUUCCUUCUCUUCUUGAAAACAAUUUAAAAAAAAACUGAUUUAUAAAAUAACCAUAUUAUCAGGUUUGAUACUAUGUCUCGAGUGGCAGUUGUGUUUGAGUUUUUUUAUUAUUUAAUAUACACGAAGAAAAAAACCAUUGGUGUUUAGGCGUCUUUAUUUGCAGUUCAAGUGAGUGGUGAAGGGAAAAGAGAAUUGAUUGUAUUCAAGUAAUUAAUUAGACAACAGUUUAGUAGUAGUUGUCGAGAGAGAACCCUGUUGAGGCAUGGAACACGAAUCAACUAGCUGUCUCUGAUCUGUAUAUCUGAUUUUAUUUAUGGAUUCAGAAAUAACAGGGCUAAGUCUUAGUUGUAGUUAAGUUCCUGACUCUUUAGUACCAUCACGUAAUUAACAUUGGGCCCACUCAAGCCCAUUAAUACUUUUUUUUGUCGUAAAACUAUAAAAGCCCCGUAUUAAUAGACACAAUACAAACAAACAGCCUCUUUACAUUUUAGUUCUUUUUAAUCAAUACUAAUUAAUAACGCUGCUCUUUUUAGAAAAGUAAUGUCUUGCCUCUUUCUUUCUAUAAAUCAUUUAUAACAAAUAAUGAUGCUCUUUCAGAAAAGUAAUGUUUUGAUCAAAAUAAAUUAUGGAAUCAUAUAAUAAUAAAUAUAGCAUCAAAUCUUCACCCACCAUCUUAAUGUAAUAAAAAUAUAAAUUUUCUAACUAUAUAUCAUUCAAUAUUUACUUUUUUUUUUUUUAAAUCAAUGGGGAACUUCUAAAUUAACAUUAAAUUCCUUACCCUUCCGAUACAUGUUUCACAGGCUGUAUAAAUUAACAUUAAAUUCCUUACCCUCCUUCCAUGUGCAUCACACGAGACCCCCAUAAUUUGAUCCUCUAUUCCUGCAUAGGCUGACAAAACGUUGCGCCCAAAUUUCCAAUGGAACAUAGGUUAAGGAUAUAUAGUGGGUAGUUAAUAUGAUAUUCACCUUAAUUAAUAUUAUUUUUCAAUUAACUUAAGCUAGUUAACUAGUUCAAGUUCAGCUCAUAUGAAGAAUUAAUUAGAAGGAGAACAAGCUAAAUAUGACUCACACGGUGAAUCAAUGUAAAUCUCUGAAAUAAUUUUUGAACAUAAAUUCUAACAUUAUACACUUUAUAAAUCUACUGUUGAUGAUGAGAAAAAUACACUAGCUUAUUAUGUAUUUUACACGGUGUCGAAUAUAAGAUAUCAAUUUUUUGUGUCUAAAUAACACAUGAUAUAUGUAUUGACUUGUGUGUUUGAGACCCUGCUUUUGCAAGCAUUAACCCUUAGAACUAUAUUGGCUGCAAUCAACAGCUUUUAACUACCAUGUAAUCUGAUGUGUAUAGAGUGUCAAAUCAAAAUCAAAUAAUCUAAAUUUUAAAUUUUAUGUUCAAAUUUUAUAUUUAAAAACAAUUAAAAUCGGACUUCAAAUCUGAACCCUCUUAUUUUGACAGAAAAAUCUAAAUAUACUAAAUAUAGUGCAUCAACUACUCCAAAUCGAUUAACAGAACAGUGAGAUUGACAAUCGAGUAACACAUUAAGAUGUCGCUGUUAAGUUUGUUAAUAUUAAUAUACUAUAGUACAACAUAUAUGUAUAUUUUACAAACUACGAACAGCUGCUUCAUGAAAGGAACAUCAUAAAUCCAGCUUAGAAAAUAAACUACUUCAUUCCUGCGGGGUUUAUAUAUAUAUUAAAUUAAUUGAAUCUAGCGUAGGUUUAGGAAUGGAUGUGAAAUAUAUCACUAAUUUGACCAUAGAUUCUCAUAGGGUAUAGGCUAAAAUCUCAAAGAUCGAGUAACAAAACAAUACGCAUAUAUUAUACAGGGAAUUAAUUAUCUAUUUAAUGAUGUGAAAGGUACUAAUUCAUAAAUUGUCGAGUAUGCUUGAAAGUUACAUUAACUUUGAAAUUCAAUUCAAUAAAAUUAUUUUAAGAUACACUCAAUUCCUAAAUUAACUAGCUAGUAUGAUCCACCCACUUAAAUAAUUAUAAUCUAUGAUCGUGAAACGUGCGGUGUAUCCUUGAAAUAGGGUUUUACUACUACUUGUUAAUAUACAUACUUUUAUAAUAUAUAUGCAUUUUAAGGGAAUAUAGGUAUAAAAUAAAGUACUGUAUAUGAUAGGAACAAGAGAGAUGGAAAUUAAACGACUAUUGAUUGGAAGAGUUUAUUAUAAAUUAUAUGAAAUUGUGAAAGACAAGAAAACAGUGUAAGAUUAUAGUACAAGAUUUUGUCAAGGACAGCCCAACAAGAACUAAAAAAAAUAACGGAGUAUAGAGUUGUUUAUUUAAUUAAUGCCUCCUCUGCAUGCAUGUCCUUUGCAAAAACAGAGAGAUUUUUUGGUCAACUAAACUAAUCUGAAAACGAAUUAAUAUUAAGUACAAAUAAAAUAAAAUAAAAUUACGUGCAAAUAAGAGGGAAAGUGUAGAAGAAAGUUACUCCUAUAUGAAAGCAGGCCUGGACCUUUACUCUGUCUCUCAUUAACGUCAACUAACCAUGAAGUUAAUUACUCAAUGCACAUGAAUAGAUUUAUUUUAUUUUUAAUGAACAUGAAUAAUUUUACUAAAUUUUUUAAUUUGUAUUAUCUCGAUUCAAAUUUCACUCAAUCUCUCUCAAUUCUCUUUAUUUUUUUCAAUUUUUUGAUUAAAAAAAUCGUUAGAUUAAAGUUUUAUAUUAUAAAUAUUAUGUAUAUAAAACUUAACACAAAUCUAAAAUGUUAUAGAGAUUUAUAAAGACAAACAAUUUUCAAUACAAAUGCAUAAAAUAUUUAUUUUGAUAUAUUUCAAUAAUAUAUUAAAUAAUUUUAUAUUUGUAUAAAAAUUUAUUUACACGAUGUAUAUACUAUAAACUUUUAAUUUAAAUUAAAAAAAAUAAUAAAAAUAAAAUUAAAAUAAAUAAAAGAAUUGAACGAGAUGGUUAAACUCUAAAUUUUCUUAUUUUUGAAUUUAUUUUAUAUAUAUAAAAAUGUUAGUUAAAUUAAUUAUUUUUUCAUUCGUUGGCAUUCCAACUCUGAUUAUUUUAUUCCUUCAAGAUUUUAAAUCAAAUCAAUUGAACUAUUUAAUCUAUUAUAUUUUCAGACUUAAUCAAAGCACCGAUAGUCUACAAAUUAAUCACCUAUUUUAUGUUGAAGUUUAUGUAUUAAAAGAAAAGAACUGUGAUACAAAAAAAUAGAAAAGAACUAAAAAAGAAUGAGAACCGUAAAGAUCAAACUUUGAACUAUUUAACGGAUCAUGAUUUGCUAUAAUUUGGGAUCACGCAUUUUCGUGUUGUAUUUCAUCUGAGCCGUGUAUUUUAGAUCAAACGUUUCAUAACACACUGUUAAUUUAAUUGCACGAUAUAAUCUCAAUCGUUGAUCUAAAUCAUAUAAUUGAGCACUAUAACUACGUAACCCAGUCCCAACAUAGAAUCAAAUUCUGACUGAAAAAUACAAACUUUGAUGGGAUGCUAUGUUUUUUGUUGUUGAUGGACACAGACAUAGACAAUGUCAAGUAUCGUCAAGAAGGUUUAGUCCUAUGGUUUCGAAUACGACAUCGAUGAGUAUUAAGAAAUAAUAGUUUUUUUAAAAUAAAAAAAUGAAGGGAUAUUAAGAAAGUUAAGAGGUUCAAUAUCUUUUAGGAAGACCAAUAAGCACGAAAACUCACGAAUGGUUUAAUAGUGUAGGAUAAAUCUUUUUUGUUUUUAUUAUUUAUUUUUAAUUCUCCCAUGUAUUAUUUGCAUCCGCUUGAUUUUCAUCGUCCAUGUUUCGUGCGCUGGAGUGUCGUGCUAUACAGUAGUUCCACUCUUAUGCAAACUUGAAAAGCCAAUAAAACUAAUUUUAUUAAAACCAAAAAGCUAACCAGACAAUUAAAGAAUUAUCAAAUUAGAAAAACAAAAUCAUUAUUCAUAGAAGUUCCUGCAAUGACAAUAACUAAGUAAUUGAAUGAAAUGUAAAAAUUAAAUUUUAAUUAAAAGCAAAUCAAAUUUAAAAUAUUUAAUUUUUAAUAUAUUUACGUAAAAUGGAAUUGAAUAUUAAAUUAAAAUACAUUUUAAAAAUUAAAAGGUACAAACUAUAACUUUAACUUAUAAUUAAUUUUAAAGGUAAAAUAAAUUUUACUUUAAUAAUAAUAUAUUUAAAUAUAAUUUUUUUUCUUAAAAAAAAAAAGACCGUACAGAGUCGCAAAAGUGACGGAAAUAGAUGAGAUAGUAACGAAAAUUGCAAAACCCCUUGAGCAUGAGCACCCAGAUGCAGAACCCUGCAGGCUGCUGCAAUGCAACAUGUUUCACUAUCUAGUUAUCGUUCGUUGCUCUCGUGCCUGCACAAUUUUGCAGCAGUUACCUAACAAUAAUCCAACGUAAUUAAAAACGAAUUAUUGCACCCAAGAGGCCAGACUACGCAAGUCUCAAAAUUAAAUCAACCACAAUAAUUAAGUUAUAUUUCAAGUAUCAAAUACCGAUAUUGUUAAGUUUAACCGACUUCAAAUAAGAGAAUACCAAUAUUAUUAGGUUUAAUGCGAAUUUAAAUAAAAAAUCUAUGAAUUAAUUGUAGUGGAUUUUUUUAUCUUUUUUAAAUUAAAAAAAAAAAUCAAACUCAAUUUAAUAUGCUUAUGUUUACUCUCUCUCAAAAUAAUUGACAAUUUUAAUUUAAAAUGUAAUUUUUUUAUUAUAUAUUUUAAUUUAAUAUUACUUAUAUUAUUUUCAAUGUUACAUUUAUUCUGUUUUAAUUAUAUAUAUUUUUAAUAUAAGAUGAUUAAAUAUUUUAAUUAUUUUAUUACAUAAUUUGUUUUGAAUAUUAGCCAGCAUUAUGUGGAAUAACUAACCUGAACGAGACCAAAACUAGUUCAUCAAAUUAAGCUGUAAAUAAUAAGAAAUUAGUUUCUUUUCAAUAUUAAUGGGAACACAUAAAAUUCGCUUUAUAUCAUUAACUACAACAAAAAUCUCUCUAAUUUUCUCGUCACUAAAUUGACUUUAUAUUUUAAUUUAUGUCUCUAGAUUUUCCUUGCUAAUUUAAUCUUUUUGAAUAGUAAUUUCACAGUUACGUAUUGAUAUCAACAUUAAUUAAAAUUCUGUCUGACAAAAACAUAAUAUCAACACCAAUAGUUUUUUGAAAUAGCUGAUUCACUCUAACUCUAUUAAAUCACCAAACCACGUAAUAACUUUCGGCCAACCCAUGUACCGACAUUAACUAAUUAAUGUAGAUAUUAUCAUAGUAAUAUUAACAUUCACUAGCAGAUAGAAAAAAUUAAAAGAUGAAUUUCAUGUUUUAAUUUUUCUCUAGAUUUUCACGCUAAUUUAAUAUUUUUUCAGUAGUAAUUUCCCAUUUACUACAUUAACAUCCUGUAAAAAUAAGUAUGUCGACAAAAUCUCAAUAUCUACGUUAAUCUAUAAAUGUUUUGAGGGAAUUUACUAAUUUAUUAACAAUAGAGUAAAAAAUUUAUUAUAAAAAUAUUUGACAUUUUAUACGAAGGAACAUUAAUAUCUUAAGCUAUCUUUUAUAAAAAUUAGCGGUAAAGUUUAAUUUUUCUGUUAAAAUAAGUUUUUAUUUAUUUAUUUUGAACUGUGUGUUAUAAAAUCAUAUUAACAUAUAAAAUGUUAUGUUUUGAUUAAUAUAAAUCACAUUUAUUUCUCUCUUUUUACCACUUGUAUAUAUCAAAUUUGAAACAUUACAAAUCUCAUGAAACGGUCUCUAAUUUCUAUUUUCAUGAAAUACUUUAUCCGUUCACAUUAAGUUAUAUGUUAUAUUGAAACACAUUUAAUAUUUUAUAUCAACUUAAAUCAAAUCAUAAUUAGAUGAAUUUGUUCUUAAUAAUCAAAUCCAAUGAAUUUUUACUCUGCUGUUAGUUUUUAUCUUUUAAAUUUAUGAAUCCCCAUAUAAUUUUUCCACACAGACAGUAAACAUGCGUAGGGGACGGGUCCACGGUGAGGAUAACGUAGACUCGUGCCUCUACUUGCAUUUUGAUUUCCUCCAUAUUAUAGUAGUAUAUUUAUUCUCUAGCAAUAUAAUUUAUAAAUAUAAUAUGGUAGUAUAUAUAUGCAUGCAGUUAAAAACAUUUAUUUCAUUGUUUUUGUUUCAUCUCACUUUUCUUAAUUUUUGUAAUAAGAAAACUUACAAAUAUAGUAAAAAAAUGUUAUGUGAUGUUUUAAUGUUAUAAAUAUAUUAAAAAUAUAUUUAACCUUUAAAUAUAAAUAACUUUUUAUAUACACAGGUCAUUUAAUACUGAUAGCAUGUUUGAUAUCGAGGAAUUCAUUUGAUAUUUUUUUUGUUGAAUUUUGAUUAUCAUUAUUUAUUAUUACUUAAAAGGAUGGUGAGAAGUGGACAAAGGUAGUGUCAGAAAUGAAAGUAUUUACAUUUUGAAAGAGAAAAGGAAAGGUUAAAAAGGGUAAAUUGGUAGGGGCAUUAGAGUCAAUUGAAAAGGAAGUGUCAUUCAAAACUACAGGAGUCAAGAAAAGAAAAGAGAAUCAUGUUAUUCCCUCAUUUUUACCCCCUCCAAACUUUUUCCUGUCUCCAUCCAAACCUACUGUCCAACUUUUCUUUCCUAUUUCCUCCAAACCCUCUCUCUCUCUCUCUCUCUCUCUCUCUCUCUCUCUCUCUCUCUCUCUCUCUCUCUCUCUCUACAUCAAGAAUGAAAUAUAUUAAUAUAACCAUUAACAAGCUAUGAUAUCAUGAACCAAGUUUGAGUUUGUUUCACCCUUUUAAGGAAAAAAUAUCAGAAAUCAAAGCUUCUAAAAAAUACACUGCUAUAUCUUUGAGAAGAGCUUUCUAACUAUAUAUACUUCAAUUAACACUUCACAAUACUCAUCCAAUCAAUCUCAUCACACAUUGAAAAGAAAAAAAAAAGAAUUCCUUCUUUCUGCUUCAUCAUUUUCAGGUAUAUAUCUCCUAUUUCUAUCUCCUAAAAUAAACACAACAAAUUCUGUAACCUACCAAUUAACAAUCAGAAUUUGUUUCCUUUCUUUCUUCAAAAGUUGUUCUUGAUUUCAUUUUAAAGAAACUUGUAAAAGGAUUAUAAAAAAUCAAACAAGAAAUCAUUGAAAUUAUAAGUAUAGUAACUCUCAUCUCACUCUGAUCACAGGAACCCUAGAAAAACAAGGUACUCCUGUCAAAGCAACUUUGGAUCUACAAAGCAAAGAGUUGAAGGAAAUUAAUUAAAGUUGAAGUAUAUAUAUAUAUAUGGAUUCAAUUCAAGAAUUUAUAAACACAUGUAACAUUGAAAACAGCUGCAACUUCAUGAAUAACAACAACAGUAUAAGCAGUACAACAAGCUUAACAACAACAGCAAGUGGAAGUUCUUCAUCAUCAGCUGUUUCAACCAUCACCACCAACACACCAAACAGUAGCAGCCGCUAUGAGAAUCAGAAACGCCGUGAUUGGAACACUUUCGGUCAGUAUCUUAAGAAUCAUCGACCUCCUCUUUCGCUCUCGCGGUGCAGCGGUGCACAUGUUCUUGAAUUUCUCAGGUAAAUAUGUAAAUAUAAUCAACAUGCACCCUCUCUUUCUUUUUAUUUCUAUCUCUAACACUACAUAUCAAGGUUUUAAAUAGCACUUCCAAUUGCAUCGCAAUUCUUAAUAUUAGUUUGUGACAUAUAAAACACAAUUCUUUAUGUUUUGAAAUGGAUCUUCUAUAGCAAAUGGAAGAGAGAGUAAGAGAGAAGAAGAAUUGAUGAGAGAUGGAAAGUGGAGAAGAUCCAAAUCGCUAUUGAAAUUGUAGUCACAUAUUUUUGAAAGUGUUGAUUAUGUAUAAAUAUAUCUCAGAAUAAUAGUUGAAUGUGUGUAGGUACCUGGAUCAAUUUGGGAAGACAAAAGUUCACACACCAAUAUGUCCGUUUUAUGGACAUCCAAACCCUCCAGGGCCAUGUCCAUGUCCUCUAAGACAAGCAUGGGGAAGCCUUGAUGCACUAAUAGGUCGUCUUCGUGCAGCCUUUGAAGAAAAUGGAGGAAAACCAGAAGCUAAUCCUUUCGGUGCUCGAGCAGUGAGGCUCUACCUUCGUGAGGUUCGUGAUCUUCAAUCCAAAGCAAGAGGAAUCAGUUACGAAAAGAAGAAAAGAAAGCGUCCACCAUUGCCAACACCACCUCCUACUGCUGCAAACUCAUUAGAUAUCAUCAAUUGACACUCUUCUCUUAAUCAAUGCUCUUUUUAUUAUCAUAUUUAGGGUUUUUAUUUUUAUUUUUAUAAUAAUAUUAUGUGAAAGCUGCUGUGAAAUCUGAUGAUAGAUAUAAGACUGUUUGUUUGUCUUUGGAUUCUGUUUGGUUGCAGAUGAAAAAGUGUUCAAAUUCUGAUAAAUCAUUUAUCUGCUUUUAAAGAUUUAGCAGAGACUGUUAUGUUGCUUGUACUCAUAGUAGACUCGCAGUGGACUGGAAAAGUUGAAGCUAGUCAUCAUAGUGAUUCUCAACAAGGAACCACUUACUUACAAUCACAGUCACAACCAUGGCAUUAUUAUUAUUUAUUAUAUAUGUUUAUAUGUUUUUGUACAAUUAUUCAAUAUGUCAAACUUAGACUUGCAGCACAUUAUAUGUCUUUAAUCACAUAUGCAUACUUUCUGUUGGAACAUAUAUAUAUUAUAUGUUAUAAUAAAAUUUCUAUUUUUGAAGGCUUGAAUUUUACUACAAUUGUUACUAAUUUGAUGUGUCACAAAUAGAAUUUAAGUUUCUAACUUUCAAGAUACAUUUGUGGCAAGUUUUCACUUCCAUUUAGAGAUGCAUAUAAUACAUAGUAAUGUGGAUAACACUAUUUGAGUCUAAUGUAUAUAUUGAUGUGAUAAUUAUUUGUUCAUAUCUAUCUAUACAAAAAAAGAUCUUUUUCUUAUCAUAGCUUACUUUUAUAAAUUCCUUUCAUCUGAUUAGAUACUUGAAUUGGAGUAUUGUUUUAGUAUGAAAGAGAAUACUAUAUAGAAAGUUUAAUGAUUCAUAAUAAUAAUGGUUAAUCGUUAAACAAAUAAAUUACUUUCUUUUGAUAAUAUUCUAUUUCAUUCUUGUGUGCAAUGCAGUAGUGCUAUCAUUUCAACUUAUACCAAACAAAAGAAAAUUAAUUAAUGGCAGACAAUGUAAUUAAUUUGUAUAUCACUGAACCUUCAAUUAUUUGUUUCAUAUACUUUAUGCUAGCUAAAAUAUGGUUUUCAUCUCAAUAAAAAUAAAAAUAAAAAUUAAUUUUCUUUAAUAUUCUUAGAAUGGUUUAUGUUAAUCUAUUCUAUUCAUCUCCAUUUAUUUGGUUUGAAAUACUGGUCAUGCAGGAUUAUUGUUAUUUUUUUAAAAUAGAAAAAAAAUAUGUUAAAACUGAAAUAUAAGAAUAUAUUCCAACUCAAAUAAACCUUAAAAAAAGGAACCAAGAUCAAACAUAAUACAGGUCAUUCUCAUUCAAAUAUUUCUAAAUCCAAUUCGUUGAAUAAUGUCAUUAAGACAAUCGUUUUAUACCUCAAAAUAAAGUAAAUUUUUUACUUAAUUAAUAGUCGAUCCUCCCGUGAUCAUGCCAUCAUCAUAAGUUCAUAACCCUACAUAUUCUACUAUUUUAAAACUAAAGUUUAAAAAAACUAUCUAAAAUAAAUAAUUUCCAACAAAGAUUAAAUAGAUUGACUUUAUUAUUGAUUGAAAAGAAAUAUCAAAAGAAAUCAAUUUCAAUAAUUUAAGAAAGAAUUUUUCAAUCUAAAACCUAUAUUAAAAAUAAAUUUUCAUAUGAAGGGUAAUUGGCAUAUUUAAAGAUAUUAUAAAUAGAGUUUAAACAUAUGUCAUAUAAAAUUAGAUUAUCUAAAAUAUAAUUUUAAAAUAUAUCAAAAUGUAAUUUAAUUUAUUAGUCUAUUAACUAGUUAAUUUAUCUAAAGAUAAGUUAUUUGAAUAAAUUAUUAUAAAAUAGACUUUUAAGUUAACAUACAACUUCUCAAGAGUACUUAGAUGAGAUGACACUUGUCUCUUCUAACUUAAUCAAAGUCGUAAGUUCGAACCUAGACUUGAGCAUGGAACAACAUUAAAAAAUUUAGUGAGAAUUUAUCGUCCAUUUAAAUUCUACCAAACUCUCAAGAUAAAUUUAUUAAGUUGUACAUGAAGGAUACUCUGGCUUACACUAAAAUAAUGUAUAACUUUAAAAAAUAUCAAACUCGAGUCUUAAAAUAAGUCUAUAACAAAUAAUAAGUCAUAUUUUAGCUUUAACUUUUUAUAUAAGUUUCUUGUAAAGUUUCUUUCAAGUAACAUUAUUUUUAUUUUUUUAUAAACAAAUAUUAGUAAUAAGUUAAUUUAACAUUUUUUACAAUUUGAAUUUAUCCGACAAGUUAGCUGUCCUAAAAUAUUGUGUUAUCUAUCCUUUUUGUAACGUGAUCUAAUUUUUUCUUUUAUGGCUCAAAAAGAAUAAUUUUCCUUAAUCCCUCUGGGUGGAUGAAGAGACGCCUAUUAAGCUUUUUAUUUUUUGUCACAAGCAAAACCCAAUAGGACAUAUGAUAUAUGCUGUAGAUCAAGAUUAGCUAAGCUUACGACACCUAAAAGUUAUUCUAGUGGGACAUACAAGUCUACCACUUGUGAAGACAUAAAGGAUCUAUUCUUUCAUGUAAUUAUUCAUAUAUAUGGUGUUUGUUUGUUUUAAGAUGUAAUCAUAAUUUCAACAGCAACAAAAAAAUAUAAGGAAUAUUAUGUCCAUGAUUGUCGUUUUCAAGUGAUGUGUGUGCUCUUGUGUCUACAAUUAAUGUGCUUGGUAUAAUAGUCUAUAUAUUAAUGUGAGUGUAGGUUAAUAAAUAAAUUGUUUUACUUAAGAAUAAUGAUAUGUGCUUGCCAUUGAUCGUCUAACAAUCCAUGAUUUAGCUCUAUGAUUGAAAAAUACCUCAGAACCAAUGGAAUUAAUAUCGUUAAUUAAUAACAAAUGAGUAAAAUGUUGAAUGUAUAGAAAAAAUAACUCAUAGACACAUUGUCAAUUAUGUUUAGAUGUAAUGUCAAAAUUUCUUUAGGGAACAUUAAUUGUUUCACUGUGUAAUAAGUCGAUUUAUUUUAAUAUUUUUAGUUAAAAUGUAUAUAUAUUAAAAUGUUCCAUGGAAAGCCAGCUGAAGAAGUGUGUUUUGGAGAGGAUCUAAUUUGCACGACCUAAAUUGGUCUUAGUCACUAAUCUCUCAACUCAAAAAUCUCACUUAGCAUCCAUAUGUAAACUUAGCCUCCCCUUUGGCAGAAACAAUACUCCAAAUCAACAAUGACUGGUCGAUACCAAUAAACAUAUAACUCUCAUAAAAAAACCACAACACAUUACCAAGGUAAAAGUUCCAUAAAAAAAAUUUGCAUCCAAAGGAAGAAUAACCUUAAUUAUAGUAAUAUUGGAUAUUGAAUAUUGUGCAAAAUAUUUGUCCUCAAUGAAUCACACGUACACAUGCACAAGGCAGUGAUAACUAGCGAAUAGUGCUAACAAAUGGGGCAAUAGAGGCCCAAUAGGGUAGUAAGUAAAGUUUUUUUUUAUUAAAUGGAAUAUAAGAAGUAUUUUAACCUUUACAAUUAAAAAAAAAAGCACAAUCUUAAUCCAACAUAAUAACAAGUAGUAACUAUUCACAUAUCUGACAACAACAAAAAGCCUAAUACAAAACAAACACUACAACCAUCUUAAACAAGGGAUGCCCCCACCUUCCCACAACAUAGAUUCCCUACAAACUGCCUAUAAGGUAGUAAGUAAAGUGGCCCAAUGUUUGUUUAGCUUUUCCAUAUAUACUCAUUAUGGUAGUUAUUUUAAACCAAUACUCAAAAUAAUCUACGUCGAUUCAUAUUUACACAUCACUUAUUUAUAUUUUUUUACUGUUAAUUUCUAUAAAAACUUAAUUAUUUCAAUGCAAUAUUUCUACAAAAAUUACAAUAUUGGUGUCUAUUUACCACUUUUUGUUUCAUCCUUCAAUAGAGGUGGCUAAUAAGAUGAAUCCCUAUUAACCAAAGUAAAUUUCAUUGGUGAUAUUGGUCUAACAUAAUUGGCUGAGCUCCCACGUUAUGAAGAAUACAUUUUACUGUUUUACGGAUCCAAGCGCAGAAUUAUCAGCUACUAGAAACGGACCACAAUAUGUUGCAGUUCGGGACUAUGUCAUUUUACUAUGUAUUUCAUCUCAACUCUUCACUUUAGAUCAUAUAAUUACAAUAAAAAUAUUAACUACUACUUAAAUAUAUUAUUAUUUAAUUUAAUUAUUCAGAUUGAAAUAAUUUUUAUAUCUGUAAACAUGAUGCGGUGGAUAUAUAUAGGAUUCUAUAUUUAACAAGAGAAAAGUUUAAGGAAAUAGAUUAAAUAUUCAUUUCGAAAUUCUUUUUAUUGUCUGGUUUCUUGUAACUAAUAUGAGAAUAUGGAAAUAAAUGGAUUUUUUUUCUCUACUUUUAAUUUUACCCCUAUUUUUCUUUUCUCAUUUUUUAAAUCUCAUCAUAAUUACAAAAUUGUUUUCCUUUCCCUUACCUUUCUUUCCUCUCACUUUUCUUGUUUAAUAAAUCAAACAUAGAAAUAAUGAUUUUAAUCUAUGUUGUUGGGAAUGGGUUGAUUAACUACCUUGGAUAUAGGAUUCUAAUUUUUAUGCUUUUAUGUGUGAAGUAACAACGUUCCCAUAAUGCGAUAGUAAACAAACUUGAAUCUUCUACACAUUCUUUACUCUCUAUCUUUUAUUUUGUUUCUCUCUCUUCCAUUUGAUGGAGAGGAUCAACUUCACAAGGUAUACAGUGACCAUUCCAAGUGAUGGAUGUCAACGUAGAUUUUGAUGAGCUCAAAAGGAUUGGCCACGGUUUGGAUCGAUGGGGUGGAUAUGUAGGUGUAGAAGAUGGAUACGUCCAUCCAUCCAUGACUUAUGAAACCUUUAAUGUUUUGCUUGGAAAAUUGAGGAUAUAACUAAUAAGUUAGUUGAUAGGUGAACUUUAAAGUUAAUUCAUUUAGGUUGAAUUGUUUGAUAAGAGUAGUAGUUAAUAUAUAGUUAUAAAAUAUGUAAAAUGACAAAAACUAUUUGUAAUUAAUUUUUUUUUAAUUAAGACAAUCAGAGUAAAAAUUGAAGAAAAAAUAAAACGUUAUAUGUUCAAUUAUUACUUCAAUUAAUUUUAUCAAAAAACGUUACAAAUCCAUAAAAAAAAUAUUAUCAAAUAAAACUAUUAACUUAAACGCUAUAAACUAUAUCCGAUGUAAAUAUUUUUUUUGUUUUAAAUAGACCGUGUGACUUUAUUUGAUAAAUUGUGGAUAAGCUAGCAACUAACCUAAUAAAUUUGAAAUUACUAAUAAAAUGAAGUGAUAGAUAUAAAAUAAUAUUUUUUAAAUUAUUUAUUCCGUCUUACUGUGAGUGACUCGAUUAUAAUUAAAAAUUAUCUCAAAAUGCACAUAUUCUUCCAAAUUUUAAUGUAUUUUUCUUUUUUACUCUGAAAUUAAUACUCAUUAUGUCCUAAACACACCCUUGCUAACAAUUUGGCAUCUGUAAACUAUUAAGAGCUAACAAUUUGGCCUACAUGACAAAAGUAAUUUUUCUUACGAAAUUGCACACGCACGUGUAAAUAUUUUAAACAAGGAAAUAUAGAGUUUCUUUUUCGUGUUUGCUAGAAAUAACAGCUAGGACAGACAAAAAAAAAAGAAAGAAACACAUAUAGGAAAAGUUGAAAUGAGCCAAUAACAGUUUGUUGGUCAACAACAUCAAUUGCGUAUUUGCAUGUUUGGAUUCCACCGAAGAAUCGUGCAUGUUAACGCAGACCCCAUCCGGAAUCUCCGUUGGCACUACAAGACUAAAAUAACACUGUGAGUCAGUAACUUGGUACUACGUAACCGAUGUGACAUGUCCUUCAUUUUUCUUCACAAAAUAAUCAUAUUUUUUAUUUAAACUAAAAUAGAUAAAUUAAUUGAAAAUAAUAUAAAUUUGUUAUAUCCAUGAAUAACAUUAAAUUGAAAAUUGUUUACAAAUUUAAAAUAAAAUAAAAUUAUCGAAAUACUUACAUUAUCACUCUGCAAUGUUUACAACUUUAAAGUGAUUGGUUGAAUUUUUUAGAUAUAUAUUAAAUUAAUUUUUCUAUUUUAAUAAAAUAAAUAUUAUAAUAAAAUGAAAAAAUAAAUAAAUUUGCACCGAAAAAACAAACAAAACAUCAUAACAUAAAUACAUAAAGAAAAUAUAAAUUUACAAAAAAUCACUUAUUUUGAUUAAAAAGUACAUAAAACAAUAUAGAAUAAUAAAAACAAUAUAAAAUUAUGAUACCAGACUAAAAAUAAUUUAUAUUUUUUUAAGAUAAAGAAGAAAUAGUUAAAUGAACAAAAAGUUUAGAUGGCUAUAUUAAAAACAUCAUGUCUUUAAUAUAGUUUGUAUUUUUCUUAUGAGAGAGAAAUAUCAACAAAUAAAUUUUUGUUUACUUCAAAACUAUAUUAAUUAUUUUUUUUACAUAAACAAUAUUCAUUAUUGAUAGAAUAGAGAAGAACACACUUUUUCAAAAUAAAAUAAAAUAGAGAAUAUCACAAAUUCAUAGUUACUAAAAGACUUAAUUGCAGUUUUAGUCAUCGUAUUUUAACUGAAUCACAAAAAUAAUCUUCUAUUUUAUUUCUCCUCAGUUUUGGUCCCCUAAAUAAAAAUUUGGUCUAAAACUUGAUAAAGUGUCAUUUUUUAAAAUCAAACCACACCAUUUAUGAUCAUAGAUUUCAAGUACAAUUAUUGCACCACGAGAUAUUGAAGCAUAGUGUGACUUAAAUAAGCGCAAAAAAAUGACAUUUCAUCAAGUUUUGGAUCAAAAUUCUAUUUGAAAUACCAAAAUUAAAGAAAAAUAAAAUGGAGAGACUGUUUUUGUGAUUCAGCUAAAAUAGAGGAAUUAAAACUGCAAUUAAACCUUAUUAAAAUUAAAAUUAAAAAUUCCAGCAAACACUUAAGUUGCAUUUAAGUGCUUUCUUUAAAGGCAUUUGCGUGUUGAUAAUUCCAUUAUUUUAUAUAUGUGAUUACUGAUUAAUUAUUAUAUAUUCUAAUAUAUUUUAAGGACACUUGUUAAAAAUAUAAAUUUAGAAUUAUAUGAAAAAUAAUUUAUAUAUAGAUAUAAAAUAUUAGAAGUUGUAUCCGUAAGGUUAAGAUCAAUUGUUAAAUGUUGAAAUUGUUAGAUCGAAUAUCAUGUUUUUGAUUCGAACUUUGGAAACUCAUAGUUACAUAUGAUUUUUUAUCUUUGCAUUUAAAGAAAAUAUUAUAAAUAUUCUCAAUUCAUUAAUUAAAAAAUUCAUAUAAAAAAAUAUGUAGUAAAAUAUACUCCAGUAUCAAGACUGAUAAUUAAAGUAACAAUGUUGAUUUAUAAGGAAGUGGGUUUGAAUUGUAAAUGUUUCUAUUUAAAAAUUUCUGAAAAACUUAAGGAUUUAACUCAAGAAUGAUCUUGGUUAAGAAAACACAAAACAAAUAACGUUAUUGGCUUUCACCAAAAAAACGGAUAACGUUCUUGAUUAGUUUGAAAAACAGAAAUUCAGUUUAUGUUUUAAUUCAAGUAAUUAAUCAGGUUUAAUAAAUAAGGAGAUAACAAAAAGAAUACUACACAAGGAUGUAUCGUGAUUCAUUCAACUUGUGCUACGUCCAAAAACUCACAUAAGUGUUUAAAACAAAUAACCUUCUGGAUUUUACAACACCUAAUUCAUAUCAGACUUGAUCUAUUACAAGAUAUAUUUCUUUUCACCCAGAAAGAUAUAUAUUUCUUUUCACCCAGAAUAGAUAUAUAUUUUAUUUAUUGCAUUUUUUUGAAAAAUAACUUGAACCAUCUUAAUUUAUGCGUGUUUGAGAAAUGACGAUCAUGGAAUCAGGUUAAUGACUAUUGUAUUUUUUAAUACGUGGAAAUAAACUUAAAUAAUAUUUAAUUAAAAAUAGAGGAAUUAAUAUUUAAUUUAAUAUAAAAAAUUUAACUUUAUAUUUUCAUUUUAAUUUAUUAAGUGAUACGUUUAGCAAUUUGUGGUGUAAAAGCUUCAAGUUAUUUUGUGGUGAGACCCACCCAAAAAUGUAUUGUCACUAAUCACUAUACCAGACAACGGGGGCAGGUCUGCACGUGUAGCUUACACUCUUUUGUACUUUGGUUUUGGGAUUUGAGUUGUCAAAAAUGAGUAAUUAAUUUUAAAAUUUAAAAUAAAAAAUAUCAUCAAUAAUUGAAUGAAUUAUAUUAUAUUAUAUAUAUAUAUAUAUAUAUAUAUAAAUUAAUUAUGAAUAAUUAUAAUAUUAAUAAAUUUUGGAGAAUUGAACGUGGACAUUUUCUUUUCGUAUAAGACCAGAGAUGUCGAUACCAAUUGACAUGGACAACCUCAAAAAACAAAUAUUUUUUAAAUAAAUAAUUAUAAUUUUAUAGUUUCUUAUAAAAAAAUAUUUAUAUAUCUAUUAAUAUAUCUAUUUUCUUUUAAAAAAUUUAUCACUUAAUUAAUAUAUCUAUUUCUAUUAUUUUUUAUAUUUAAUCUCUACUGUACUUAUAAAUAAAAUAUUUAUAAUAAUAAAAAUUAUUAAGAUAUGAUUUAAAAAUAAAUUUAAAGAUAUAUUUCUUGUAAAUAGUUUAGUUUUUUUAUAUUAAAAAAAUUAUAUUAAUUAUCAUAAAUUUAAUUAUUUAAAGUGUCAUUUAGUAUUAUUUUAUCAAUAUAUAAUUUGCUAAAAAAAAUUGGUCAUCUCUUAGCGUAGAUUCGCCGUUGUAUAAGACAUUCUCUUUCUUUAAACAACUAACAAAACAAAAUAUAAUUUGCUUUCAAAAAAUUUAUGGCAACUAAAAGAUGCAUUCCCAUUGAUUAUUUUCUUUUAGGACAGUUGAAAUUAAUUGAUUUCCUUAGUUUUUAUUUAAUCGAGUUGAUCCUUUUUCGCAUAAUAUAUCAUGUUUGAUCGAGACAAAUCAAUCUGUUCAAGUGAUCUGUCAAAUAAUUAUGCUAUGUGUAUCACCGAUUAGCCCAGAUGUUGGAUUUCCUUUUUUCUUAUUGGUUUAAGGAGGAUUCACUGCAUGUCCAUAAAAUAAUUAUCUAUUAAAUAUUUAUUUUCCUAUCAAAUUUAAAGACCAAUAUAAAAUAAAAGGAGGGAUACUAAUAAAAAUAGCGAUACAGUUUAGUUUAUUUGUAAAAAUACGAUAUUUUAUUUUAGUUUAAUUUAAUUUUCAAUAAUAAAAUUAGUGAUUGUGUUUUUGUUAAUUAAUUUUAUCUUAAAAAAAAUAUUAUAUUAUAAUUAACUCAAACAAUUGUAAAAUUUUAAGUUUGAAUAGAACAAAAUAUUUUAUAUUAUAAUAUUAAUUUUUAUCAUUUGAACUACGAAUUAACAACUUUAGUUUAUUUUAUUUGAGUUUAAAUUUUUAUCUUUUUUUUACUAAAAAUAAAAUAUUCUAUUUUUAAAAUAAGAUAUUGUUUUAACAUAAGCAAGUUUAUAAAUGAGAAUUAUAGCGGAGAGACCCAACACCCACCUCAAUGACAUUAAUUACAGAAUUGCAAUAACCACAUAUUUAUGCUCAAUGAAUAAGAAAAUUAUGGAUGCAUUAUAAUCAGUUUCGUUGACCAAAUUAUUGAGCGUAAAAAGCAAAAUUGUUUACUUGUAUUAAUAUCUUUUUUUUAUAUUGAAUUGAUAUUUUUUUUUAUUAGAGUAGAAAUAUGUAAUUUUUUAAUUAAUUAUAGAUUAAAUCAAUUUUUAUAUAAUUACGAUGUUUUAGGUUUGAAUUUAAAAUGUGAUAUUCAAUCUAAUAAUUUUAAUAUUUGUUAAUUAAGUUAGAUCUUAUAAAUAAGGUUGACUUCUAACGAUAAAUCAAUUUUAAAAAUAAAAUUAAUGUAAUUAAAUGGAGAUUAUAAACUAUCACUCAAAACUUUAGCUAAUGAAAAAAAAGGUAAGUCUCUAACCUAAACGUCUCACACACAAAAUAUUCUGGACGAGCAAUAACUUAAUGAAACUCAAUAUUGUCACUUUCACUGUUCUUCUGUUGCGCGGGCCUUCGAAUCGGUUUUGGGCCUCAUUGAAAUCAAAGACUAGCUCUUCCAAAAAAGACUUUCAGCACAUAGUUUGUCUUCAGUUCGUCUGGAUGGUAGCUUACUCUAUCAUCCUCUAUGUUUUUAAAAGUUUCCACGAUACAUUAUGAAUUUACCAUUCCAAAAAAUAUCAAGAAGUGAGAGGAGAAACUAUUGUCUUCGUCAGGAUUGGCCUCAUUUAGGUUACACCCCAGCGGUUUGUCCUAUACUCCCAACAAUUCAAUAAAAUUAGUAGUCAUUCAACUAUUCUAAUAAAAAAACAAUUUUAUUUAUAAAUAUUUUAGAAAAAUUCAGAACACAAGUUAGGAAAAAUUUAAGAUAAAGAGAUGGUGUCUCAAUUUAAAAUACAUAAUAUUUUCAACUUUAUCGAAUAUAUAUUGAAUCUCACGAGAGCACCACCAGCUUGUGCGAUCUCCCCCAUUGUAUUUGAGGGAAGAUUUUCAUCUACAUGGCGUGAACUAACGUUUUUUAGUUUGAUUCAAUCACGACCUGCAACCACCCAUUAUCCGACGUGGACUUUAAUUUAAUAAUAUCAUAAAAUCUAUUUAAAAUUUAAAUAGUUGGAUUACCUUGGAAGCCGUAACCGCACUUCUAAAUGUAAUCCAAAAGUAUUGCAGCGAGGAAGCCUUCCAUAGUCACAAGAUUAUGUUACAAGUUUUAGGUUCACUAAAAAAAGUAAACUGUAGAAAUAACUUUUUUUUUUUAAAAAAAAAUUUUAAAUAAUUAAAAAAAAUUAUCAUAAAAAUCAUAAAAGUUAUGUUGAAUCGAUUUGAAUUAAUAAAUGUUUUUUUAGUCAAAAAAAUAAAAUUAAUAUUUUGUGAAUGUGUUUUGAGUAUGUUUGAAUGAGGUAAUUGAAAAUUAUAGAGAAAUUAUAAUUAUAGGUAAUUUAAAUGCUUCAAUUGAACUCAUUUUAAUUCUAAAUUUUGUUGUUUUGAUAAAAAAAAAUUAUUCUUUUAAAAUUAAACUCUUUUUAUAAAUUUAAAAAGUUUAGAGACAAAUAUGAAAAAUAAAUUUAAGCCAAAAUUGACAUUUAAAAAAAUUAAGGCACUAUUUUGGAAAUUUUAAGGAAUCAAUUUACAAAUUUGAAAAUUUUUAGAGAGCAAUUCGUAAAAAUAAAAAAUAGGUACUAAUAUGAAAAUUUUGAAAUAUAUAAGAUUAAAAUUAUAAAUUCAAAAAUAUUAUAGUGACUAUUUCAUGAUUUAUAUAUGAUAGUGACAUUUGAAAUUUAUCUAAAUUUAUCUUUGAAAAAAUAGUUCAUGACAUCUUUCAUUUUGAAAGUUCUCUGUAUAAGAUAAUUUGCAUUAGAGAAUUUGAAUUCUUUAAAAAAAAUUACAUUCCCUAAAAGUUUCUUCAUCCAAACACAAUCUAAGAGAUUUAUAUUUGUUUUUGAGCAAAAAUACACAUGUAGUCAUCAAAGUUUUAUUUUAUUCUAAUUUAAUCAUUUAAAUUAUAUUAUAUUUGUAUCGUUAAUUUUUUAUCUCAAUUUAAACAAUAAUUGAUUUAAUUAAAAGUUUUUUUAUCAUUUAACACUCUAAUAAAUGCUGCCACAAUAUGUCAUUCAUUAUAAUGUUUCAGAAAAUAUUUAUCAAAUCUUAUAAAUAAUAUAUAUUUCUUGAUUUUUUCUACAAUAAUAUAAACACACUAUAAUAUAAAAAAACAAGAUAAUAAAUGUCUAUUUAAAUGAUUAAUAUAUUUAGUUACUUUCAUAUGUAAAAUAGUUUAAAUAAUUUGUUACGAUAUUUUAAUUAUAUAUUAAUAUUUUAUGAUAAUAAUUCAAAAAAUAUUUCAAAUUUAAGAUAUUAUAUAUAUAAUUUUAUAUAUUUAAAAAAUCAAUAAUAUAAAUAAAUAUAACUUAAAAAAUUGAAUCAGGACAAAAUAAAUUUAAAAGAUUUAAGUAAAAAUUAAUUUAAACUUAAAAAAUAAAAAAAUUAUUUUUGGUGUGAUUUUGUUGUGACCUUUCAAGAAUAAUCAUGCUGUGUUACAAAUAUAUUUAACUUUCAUGGUGGUCCACACGAGUGCACUUUAAUUUAACAGCGGCACCGACACCAGGUUCCUUCGUUACCGCGCAAAUUAACGGAAUUCCAUCUUUUCUCCAUUAAUGCAAUGCUAAUGAUAUUCAUCAAUCACUGUCCAUAAUUUAUUUCUUUCUUUCUUCUUCGAAUCUCAGAACAACGCUACCCUUUUUUCUUACUACUUGUUUGUUUCUCCCCAAAUGGGUUCUCUACCAGCGUUUCCAAACGACCUUUCUCCCAAACAAGGUAUUAACGGCCUCAUUGACGAAAGAACCCUCGCCAAUCUAUUCAAAUCCCAACAAAACCAUCUCAACUUCUUCUUCGACCGUAUCGACCACUCCCAAACCCUAGCUUUCACACGUACUCUUCUCGACGCCUCCGGCACCGUCUUUUUUACUGGAAUCGGUAAAUCCGGCUUCGUCGCUCACAAGAUCUCCCAGACUCUCGUUUCCCUCGGUAUCCGUUCCGCUUUCCUCUCUCCCGUCGACGCCCUACACGGUGACAUCGGAAUCCUCAGCGAUCGCGAUGUUCUCGUUCUCCUCAGCAAAUCCGGCGCCACCGAAGAGCUCCUUCGUCUUGUUCCAUGCGCUAGGGCGAAAGGCGCGCGUCUCAUCGCUGUCACAUCCGUCGAAGCGAGCGCACUUUCGACGGUGUGCGAUAUGAACGUGCAUUUGCCGUUGGAGAGAGAGCUUUGUCCUUUCAACCUUGCGCCGGUUACUUCCACUGCUAUUCAAAUGGUUUUCGGUGACACCGUGGCAAUCGCGCUCAUGGCCGCACGAAAUCUCACGAAGGAAGAGUACGCCGCUAAUCAUCCUGCCGGAAAAAUCGGCAAGAGUCUCAUCUUUAAGGUCCGCGUUUCUCUUUCGUACGAGUUUUCUGCUUUAUGAAUAGAUUGAAAUAACAGAAUCUGCAUUUCCUGUUGGCAAGAAGGUUAUAAAUCGCGGUUACUUAAUUAUCAUCGAUAUCGUGAAAAAUUGUAAUGUUUGUUUGAGAUCUCCAAUUUUAUUGAUCUGGAUUGCGACUUAGAAUUAGAACCUUUUUAAUCAGUGAAUUAAUCGGAUCAAUUUGGUUUUAGUGAAAACAAUUUUCAAGGAGAUAACUGCGAUAACAGUGUAGUUAAACUGUUAAAGAUCUCUAAAAUUGCAGCCCUGGAUUGCGAUUUAGAACCUUUUUUAUCAGUGAAUUACUGGAUCAAUUAGGCUUUCGGCGAAAAUGAUUUGCAAAGGAGAUGUAAUUGGUUGUGAUUGUGUUUGUGUGUAGGUAAGAGAUGUGAUGAAGAAGGAAGAGGAGCUUCCAAUCUGCAGCGAAUCGGAUUUGAUUAUGGAUCAGCUUGUGGAGCUGACGAGUAAAGGAUGCGGAUGCUUGCUUGUUAUAGAUAGUGAUCACCGUUUGAUUGGGACAUUUACCGACGGUGAUCUGCGUCGUACUCUCAAAGCUAGUGGAGAUGCCAUUUUCAAACUGACUGUGGGAAAAAUGUGCAACAGGUAACAACCGGCAUCUGCAUAAUCAUUAACCAUUUCCUGUGAAUCUCUUUUAUCCCCAUUUGCUUUUCAAAUUGUUCAAACUCAAAAGCUUGUUCUUUAGUUUUGUUUUUUGACAGAUAUUCUGUAGCUUAUUCAUUUUUUUACUUGGAAAACUUCAUAAUUUUCUUGUCAUAAUUGCUCAGACUCAAGCUUAGUCUUUAGUUUUUGCACCCUCUAAUUUUGGAAGUUAAUAGGAAUAUAAAGUAGGUCGUUUGUUUUGUUUGCGGAUGCAGACAUUGGAACUGUAUGAAAGAUUUGUGUGUGUUUGAGUAUUAUAAUUGAUUUUGGCUCUGUUAAAACUUAACACAUGAUUUUAAUAAAAAUAGAAGUUUUUGGGAAUGAACUUGCUGAGUUAAAAAUAUCUAAAAUAUAAAUCACUUCACUCAGUCAAUUUUAGCCAAAUAAAUUUGCAUAUGUGAUGCUUGGUGCACGACAGGUCUAUGGAUACAAACAUAUGGAUGCAAUAAUAUAUUGAUGUCCAACCUUUUUUGAAAUGUCAGGAAUCCAAGAACUAUUGGUCCAGAUGCUAUGGCAGUGGAUGCCAUGAAGAAGAUGGAAUCACCUCCAUCACCAGUCCAGUUUUUACCUGUGAUAGAUGAUGAAAAUGUCUUGAUUGGAAUUGUCACGCUGCAUGGUUUGGUUUCAGCUGGGUUGUGAUUAUGUCUGAAUAAUCUUAGAGCCUGUUUCGCUAUUCGUUCAUUGAAUCAUUCUUUCUAGCUAUUAGCAUUUGAAUCCGCCCCCAAUUCAAUAGGACUAUGGUGUUCUGUAACUCAAUCACCCAAGCAUUUCAGUAGGAUAUUUUUUCAUCUCAUUUUUGGUCCCAAAGGAUGCAAAUUAUUUGAUGCUAUGAUGGACGGUGAAUGCUCAUCCAUUCCCCCAAUUUUUUCAACUUUUUACCAAAUUUUAGUUUCCGGGUAUUUGGGUUGGGAAGGCAAAAUCAGAGGAUGAAUGAACAUUUAGCAUGUCGGACCUACUCAUCUUGUGGGUCUAGCUCUGUACUAGUAUCCGUGUGUCUAUUUUUGUUGUACUCGUGAAAUAAGAUAUUGCUGUAGCUGAAGAUUUUUGUAUAUUAUCAAUUUAUCACUGUAUAUUAGUAUUACUUGAAUUACACGUUUUCAAUUAUUUCAAACGCAUAUAUGGAUGGUUGAUGUUGGUUAAAUGAUUUUUUAUGCUGGCAUUGUACGAGACUAAAUAUAAUGAAGAGAUUAGUUAUGCACUGAUAUAAUUUUUUUACCCAUCCAUAAAUCAGAUCACAUUUUAAUACCACUUGUUAAUUGUUAUGAUAGCUUGUAAAAUAACUCAUCAAAUCUCUAUAGGCGGAAAUGUAAUUUGAUACAUAUAUAAAUUAAAUUUAUACAAAUAUUGAAUUAAGUGUGAACAAUUAUACAACUGGUGAGUUUUAAUCCAUGUCUAUUUGAAAAUCUUUACGAAUUAAAUUUCGAAGUAAAAAAAACAACAAAUAAAGUUCAAUUUCGAAGUAUGAAAAGUAGGAUGAGCAAUGGCAACCUUAAAAAACUCUCGAGUGUCGCUUCGCUGCAUAUCCAUAAUUCUUUCUUUGGCCUUCGCAUUUUAUUUAUAAUAUGUAGAAUAACAAAUAGGUUAUUUUCUUAUAAAUCAUGAAAACACACAACACACCCUGACUCUAAGGACUUGUACCGCCUUCAAAUUCAGUACGUUACUUCAAAUCCAAAUAACGUAUAAUUUGUUACAAGAAAGGAGAGCAUAUUCUGAUAUUUAUUUUAGCAAUUUAAAGUUACUGUAUCACCACAUUUUAAUGAAGAAAGCAUCUUCCUGUGUGUCCUGCGGCAAACAAGCAUAUACACCAAAAUGUAGGAGCAUUAGAGGAGAGGGAGAGGAAGAUAAUACAACAACAACUAACAACUCCGAGUACAAUGUGAACCAAUGACUCUGAUUACUUCUGACAGACGUGUUGGUUCUUUUGAAUUACUAAAUGGUGUUAAUUUACCUGCCAAUCUUUAUGACUGAUUAUACACUGCAAUACAAAAUCUUCUAGAAUUCUUGAUGAAUGUUUCAUCCAAACAACCGGUGCUGCUCUAUGCAUGAAAAUUGAUUAUCCUACACAUAAACCUAGAGAAGACUCUCUCUACCAAGUAAAUGCUUCCUUUCUGGAUCAGCUUUUCAAGCGUCAUCGGAUUCUGAAGAAGUAGAUGAGCUUGUACUAUCAGAUGAAAUUUCAAACAAAACAUUUUCCUGUAGAAAAGACAAGAAACGCGAGCUUGGAGUUGAAACAUCAGAAACUUUUGGGUCACCUACUUUCUUUGAAAUUGUGAAAUCCCCAAUUGCCUUGCUAUUAGGUUUGAUCUCAGCAGAAUUACUUCCUUCACCAAUGUUUAUUGCAGCAGAAUGGUGCCCCGCCAUUUUCUCUUUAGCUUUGAUCUCAUUUGAAAUUGCUGAAUGAAGUGAAGCUGUGUUCUUUUUUGAAUGAAUGCCAUAAGAACUACUGUGAAUGCUACUAGAACUCCACUUAACUUGGAAGGCUGUUUCAUUUUGUUUCCCUUCCGAAGUAUUUGAUGUAGCCUGUGGCUUACUCUGUUUCCACUUGUAGUAUCCAUCCCGCACUGGCUGCAAUAUAGGUUCUUUCAUCAAGUCUUGUGAAUCAAUUAAUUUUUCUGGGGUUUGUUUUGAUCUCUUGGAGGCAACUGAGCGCACGGUUAAACCAAGAUGCUCUUUGGCCCAUUUAUAGACUGCACUUAGUUUUCCAUCCAAAGCUUGAUGAAGAACAUCCAAUUCACUGAUUUCAUAACGGCAGAGGAGAAUUUUUUCUGUCCAAGAGCAAGAACAAAGCUGCUUUGCAUGAUCAAUACAUGCAAACUUGUCAUCUGAACACGAACAACCAACAGCAGACAGGAAUAAAUCACGCAGACAAAUGCUACACUCCCUUUUACAAUUGACAUCAAAAUUUUCAUCCAUCUUUUGUGAUUUCAAAGAAGUGGAAAUAAAUUUCCUUUUCAAAUUUUCACUCAUGAUGCGAGACUACACAAAGAAAACAAAUAUAAUUAGUUUGCAUAUGGUAUCCAACAUGAAAGAAGCAAACUAUGCAGGCAGAUCCAAACACAAAUGAAAACGAAAGAGGGAGAGAAGUCUUUCAGAACUAUCUUUUAUUAUUAAGAAACAAAAUAUAUGUGCCACUAUUUCUUCAUUUUCAUUUCCAAAUAUGAAUCAUAGAAUAUUUGUUAACGACUAACAUGAUUUGAGGUCAGCUAAUAAACAAUCUUAUCAAAUCUAGGAUUUAGAGCUGAUGGACUUACACUCAAAACUUUUGUUAAGAUCCCACUUCUUUGAUAGGCAUCUUUACAAGUUAAAUUGUCUGGCGUGCUCUUCAUACAUAUAUCAGUUUCCCAUCGGGCCCUCACAGCUUCCCUUGCUGCUCCCAGCAACAGCUUAUCAUAUGAAAUUGAUGUCUUCCUCUUCUGUUCACAAUGUAGCUCUACAACAUUCUGUCCAUGAGGCAGCCACUCAAGAGGAGCAAAACUUGUUGCUUCAGAACAGUUGAAACCACAAUCAAAACCUGAGUGAUAUGCUCCAGGGAAGACAAGAACAAAUUCACGAGGAUGCUGAACGCAACGAUAUACUGGUAUACUCUCCUCCUUCAAUACUGAGCAGGAUAACUGCAUAACCUGUACCAAAUACUCAUACUAAGAAUCAUAUUUCAUAUAUCAAAUAAAUUGUUUUUCUCUUGUGUGUUCUAAAAAAACCUUAACACGUUGACAUUGGCAUCUUUCGCGUAAUACUGUAAAUCAGGCUGAGCUAAAUAUGCUUCAGCAACGACAAACAAAAUUCCAAUGAGUUAAACCUAUGCUUCCUUUUCUGAGUGCCCAUUGACCAAUUAAAUUUCAGUUGAUAAAACAAAAGAACAUAUAAUAAUCAUUCCUUCAAAUUUGGGAAUCAGCUACAUACAAAAGAUAUUAAGAAAAAUCUUAAAUACAAAGCAGUUUGUAUGACUAUGGAACUUUUAAAAUCCAAAUUCACUAAUAAUAUAAAAUGAUACAACAUGCAUGAUGGAGAACCACUUUCUACAAAUGGUAAUAGUUGAGACAUAUUGACUAAAUGAGUGAAAUUAGUAAAUGAGUAGUCCGAUAGAGUCAGAAUCCAUCUAACCAAUGAUGUGAUAUUUGUCAAAUAACAUGCACAGAUUCACAUUGAAAAAUAUGAGAAAUUAAAGGGUGUUCAGCAUACACCACUGUUACUUUUCAACGAAAAACAAUUCUUCAAUACAAGAAGCAAUCAUAUUCUUACCAUAUUAUCAUGCAUAUCAGGAUGUUCUGCAUACAUAUCUCGGAUAUACUUCUUCCAAACUGUUUCGAAGUUAACAGCAAAUCUUCCUGGGACACUAUACCAUACUUUGGGUUCACCCAAAUGCAUGUAACAUAAUGAGUAUAAUCGGUGCUCUUCAACUUUCUGUUUUGUCAAAUGAUUAUAAAGGAUAGUAAAUAGGAGAUUCAUUAGUUACAUUUUGAACGGUAUCCAAAAGUUUUCACCAGAAAAAUUUAGGAAAAAAACAAAGGUUAUGAACAUGCAAGUAUAAUGCAAUAAAUCAAUGGCAUUACCCAUUUGAGUGGAGAAAAGCACAUUCCCACAUGUACCCUAGGGGAAAAUUUAUGUGCAGCUUCAGGGCUUUCAAAAGAAAGAAGAGAGCCUGGGACUGAAAGCAUAUUAUUUAAGUUCCAUCCAGAUUUCACAUAUUCAGGGUAAGUGUUUGCCUCUGGAGGAUCAGAAACUGUUGGAAUUGGAAAUCCACUGCUAAAAUCUCCAGCCUCCAAAGUGUUACCACAGAAAACCUAGAACAAUGUGGCAGAAUUACAUAAUUAAUAUUUGCACAGCUUAUCAGGACUUAAGAUAUAGAAGGCAUUACAUGUUUAAAUUAAAUUUCAUCUAUAUACCUUGAUUUCUUCAGUUGGAUUUUGAACAAUCCGUCCGUAUUCACCCUCAAUAUUCUCAACAGAUGGCUCCCAGUGCUGUUGGCGUAUAGCUGAAUUUAUAUCAGAACCCAUAAUCUUAUUCUUAUCCUUGUAGUUGAAGUACUGGAACUUGAAUUCAUCUGCCAAUUUCUUAAAUGUUUUGAGACUGAAUUUAGGACCAGGUUUAGGUUCAUAGUCGCAUUCUUGAACAUUCUCUUGAUUAGGGGUGCAAGUGCUUCUAUUACCAAGAUGAGAGUCCAUGGCUACUUUCAUCCCUUUUCUUCUCUUGGUUUCUAUAGUAUCAUAAGAGAUAGCUGUAUUUUCUGGUGCAGGCUGAACUUGGUGCCCAUCAAUUCGCUGAAUUUGAGCAACAAAUUCAGAGUUUUCCCAUACAUUUUUUCCUUCAAGAAUACUUGGCGGUUUCCAGCUAGUAGGAGGGAUGAUACGGCAAAUUCCAUAAGGUUCUGCUCUGGAACGUAUGCUAGCGAUAUAUUUAAGCGUGUCUUUGAAUUCCUUCAUGCAGUAAGCAACCAUAUAAAUCUAUGUUAUUUAAUUGGCUUUAUAAUGUAUUGUAUUUUAUAAACUCAACAAGCAUAUGAAUCCACAAUCCAUAUUUGGUGACAUAAAUCAAUAUGAAAACACAAAAGUGAACACAUACUAUUACGUAAAACUGGUAGGUACCUCUUCGGUUGGAUGAAAAAUUGGAGCUUCUCCUAGAUCUUCCCUUCUUACAUCCUCAGGAUGCCACCUCGCUAAUACCUGUCUCAAUACUUUGAUAAUUAAACAAGCGAACAAAAAACUAUAUAUAUAUAGGACAAGUAGUCAUCUCUAUAACAAUGUCAAUAUGGAAAGUUAAGGUGAAAGGCGUGUCUACCUUAAUACAAUUACUGCAGUUUGGACAUCCAAAUACGGUCCCUUUUGGAAGAGAAGAAUUUGUAUGGGGAUUCUGGAAGAAUAAAAACGAAGUUUAAACCCAUACAAGGAAUUCUGUCUUCAUACAUAAAACAAACCAGUCAUUUAGUAAUAGCAUUUUAAGGUUCUAAGAAAAAUAAAGAAUCUGACAGAAAAUGUAGGAAAGUAGAUGACUACAGAGAAAUAAUUAGUGCUCUCUGCAUUUGGAUUCUUAAUCUUGAUUAACACUGAACAGAUUUCUUAGAUUUACAUUGUAGCAUGAAUGCAGUUAUCUUUAACUGUUCCUAACCAACUUCUAAGUUCUAACACAUAAUUGAGUAUGUUUGAACAGAGUCAUUGCAGCUGUUAGCCUGUUACAGCUGAGCUGUCACCUCACAACACUAAGAAAGUUGAUAAUAAAACUAACUUAAAUGCUGUCAAACAUAACUGGACAUAUACUCCACGAAAUCAUACAAAUUUGCCACGAGUUACUUAAUCAUAUUGUAAAUCAUAAUUGUAAUUAUAUAUGUGAGUGUGUAUUCUACCAGUAGCAGUAAUUAGAUGUUGCCUAAUUCACACCUAAUCCUUGAAAAAAUAUCCAAGUAGUCCUGCAACCCAAUGCCAAAUCACCAGACACAUCACACAAGCACAUAUGCAGAUUAUUAAUACACUAUUUGUAUGUAAAUCAGGUCCUAAUAGCAAUGCAAAUUUUGAAAAAGAAGAUACAAUCAUAAAAAUUCCAUUUGAAUUGUUUUUAGUUUUCCCAUCGCCGGAGGACAUAUCAAUUGUUAAGGUGUCUCAGUCAUUGCUGAAAAUCAUUAUCAUUAAUCAAUCAAUUAAUCAACAAAUGCGACACUGAUUUUUCAAAUGGUCAAGAUCAUUACAAUUUAUUCAUAUUUCCAUACUUUUGCUAAUGCAUCUCAUUUCAAACUCAACAUUUCUGGGAUCUAAGAAUUUUUUUUGCAAAUUACCAACUUAACCAUUGGAAGAUGGUCAUUGUGAGAUUCCUGAGGCUUGUGGUUGCUGCUCUGGUCCAGCAAUAUCCACGGCCGAUGUGUAUAAAUCUCAUUUGGGACGAUGUUUGUAGACUUAUCCGUUUUGUUAACCUUUUCAUCCCUUUUCAAAUAAAAAGACGUCAGGGAUGCAAAACCAGGUGGAACUGAAACAUGUUCCAUCUUCUUGAUUUUGGAGCUAUUACUUUCAUAGUUUGCUUCCAUCAUUGCUGCAUGCAAAAGCCAAGAAAACAUUAUAUAAAUAAAUAAUAAUAUUGGCACUAACAUAUACUAUGAACACAAAAUGAAAUAAUGUGAUACAACAUAUAACAUAGUAUACAGAAUUCAUCAAAUAGUUCACACACUAAUAUGCUCCCAAAUAUAUAUUUAUUAAAUUCAAAAAAAUUUCUAUGAGAAUUACUGAGUAGAUUUAAAUGAAGGAUAGUUAAUGAAGUGAUAGAAGAAUUAAAAAGAAAAUCAGUUUGCACUUGCUUAACACAUUGUACUAAAAAAUAAUAAAUUUGCGAAAUGGAGCACUGAUCUGCUGCGACGCAAUUUUGUGGUGUGUUUUGAUGAGGCGGCUAUCACCGCCGUAAAUCGCAUUAUCGCGCGUGAUACAAGAAAGGGGAAGAAAAAUACGAAAACUAUAUUAAGAAAGAAAAAAAAAAAGAAAAGAUAACCUAGACGGACGAGUUGAGUUUCUGGCGGUCGACGAGUAACUCAGUGUGCGUUUUCCGGCGAGUUGAGUUGAGUAUGACUGUAAUUUGUUGUCUUGACGGAGCGGUUGAGUUUUGUUCUUGUUUUUCGAGAAUCAUUAUGGGAUGGGGAUGGGCUCUUCAAAAAACAAGUACAUUGGCUUUUUAGUUGUUGUUGUUAAUAUUUUAUUAUUUAAUUUUAAUUAUUUUUUCCACCCCUACGUGAAUAGGAAGAAAACUGCAUCUGGUAAUGUGCAUUAGCAAUUGUCUCUUAUAAAAGAAAUGUAUAUUAAUGAAACAAAUUUAACAACCAAGAAACAGAAUACUGUUACAAGUUACAAUUUUAACUUUUUUUAUUGAAGAAACAAAGAAUGUAACAUAUUAGGUUCUGCUGUGUUGCACUUUGGACUGAUAUAUUUUUUAACAGGGCACAGAGUUGCAAUAAAAAAGGUAGCGAGUUGAACACUUCAAAAUAUAUAUACUUGAUUAAUUAUUUCCCAGAAAAAAUUGAGUUGCAAACUGAGGAAGUUCAUUGCCAAUUCAAUGUGAAUAGCAGUGCUGAAAUCUUGUUCUUCUAAUCAAGUUCAAAGUCAAUUAGUGGUGGACAAAUCUAAUUAAUUAACAUCUGUUUGAUUGAUAUUACUAUGGAUGGUUUCUAAUUUCUAUGUCUUGUAAGAUUUAAUUUGUUUGAUUGAUAUAACUAUCGAUGAUUUUCAAUGUCUUAUAGAAAUAUUUAGUUUGUUUACUUUUCUAAACCAAUUAUUUCGUCCCCAAAUAUUUUUUUAAUAAGUCAUCUUAAUUUUCACUCAUGUCAAUUAUGGAUCAAUGUCAAUGUCAUAGUCUCAAUUAUUAAUUUCUGCCCCUUUCAUUUUCUGUAGUGAGUAUCAACUGAAAGAUAGCUACGAAUACGGUGAAGGCGUGUCGCAUGCCAUCAAUUUCUUUGAUCGUAACAUUCGAAUUCUACCUCCAUUAAUGUUAUUAGAGAAAAAUGAAUGUAAAUAAAUUCAUUUUUAAGUAUUUAUCAAACUUUAAAUGUUUUUUAAUUUAAACAGAGACACUGUCUUCUUAUCCUAAAAAAAAUAAUGAGAUUAAAUGAAAAAGUUAAAUACGAUAAAAUUUGAAGAAUCUAUUUUUAUCUAGCCUAUAGUGGCACCGUGUCAAUAAGUUUGCCGACAAAUAACUAACACACAGUAAAAAUGCGUUGAAAUAAUUCCAGAACCAAAUGACUAUGGGUUUCAUUGACUAAUCAAAAUUUCUACCUAUAGAAAACGAAAAGCAUAUUAUAAAGGAGAGACAAACCAAUGUCUCGCAAGCUCUUUAUGUCUCCUUUUUAACUCAUGCCCCUUUCUUCCAAUUUGGAUUCUCUGCAUCCAAGAACUUCAUAGUCUAGCAAAUUAGAUUAUCUGAUUAUAAAAUUUCAUAAAUCAUGUGUUCAUUUGGUAUAUCUUGAAUUAAAUCUAAUACAUUAGAUAUUAUUAGUUAUACCCAUCAUUAAAUUAAUGACACAUAGACAUUUUAAAGAUUCUUUUUUUAAUACAAAGACUUCUUUCUAAUCAUAUAUCUUUGUCAAUAUCUUAACUAUUUUCUCUCUUAAGUCUCUUCAUUACUUACUCUAACCAACCCUUCAAUCUUUCUACGUCUCCACCUUUUUUUUCAAUGAGAAAAAUUUACUAUUUUUUAGUAUAAUGCAUAUAAAUCAUAAUAUAUUAAUUAUAAUUUAUUACAAAAUCUAAUCCAACGAUGCAAAUGUUUACCACUAUAAUUUUUAAUAAAAUUAAUAUUUUCUAAUAUCACAAAAUUAAAAACAAGAAUAAUUAUAAUAUAUAAAUUAUAAUUUUUUCGCACUUCAAUUUUUUUAUGUUGUUUUUCUUGAAAAUAAACAAUUAAAGAAGUUGUUGAAGCAAGAAGUUUAUACAUAGGAUAUGUUUUUCUCUAAUAAAUUAGUUUAAUCAAGUAUUUUUUGUAUAUAUUCUAAAAAAGUGAAAAUCACUAUAAUAUACUAUUACUAAUUAUAAUUAUAUUUAUACUUUUCCUGGACAAAUAUUUGUCAUUAAAGAAUAAAUUGAAAUAUAUACAUUUUUUAAUAUAUAUAUAUAUAUAUAUAUAUAUAUAUAUAUAUAUAUAUAUAUAUAUAUAUAUAUAUUUCUCUAAAAUUGAGAAUAACUAUAAUACAAUAACUAUAUUUUUUUUACACUUUACUUUCUUCAUAAUGUUUUAGAGAAAAAUGAGUUGUUAAAUAAACAAUUGGAGCGGACAAUUCAAACAUGAGAUAAAUAUUUGUCACCAAUCAGUUAAUUAUAUAAAAACAUAUAGCACACAUAUUUGUUACUAAUAUAUAUUAUUGAUACAUAAAAAAUACAAAAUACAUAUUUAUCACUAAUAAAAAUUAAAAAAAAAUAAAAAAAAAACAUGUAAUGAAUAUCGAUCAUUGAUAAAUAUCAAUAAAAUACGGGACACGUAUUUUUCACUAGUAAACAUAUAAAAAAACACCAUAAAAACAUUUGCCACUAAACAUUAAAAACAACUCAAGAUAAAUAUUUAUAACCAAUAAAUAAAUCAAAAACACAUAACAAAUAUUUAUCACUAAUAAAAUAUAGAACAAAUGUUUGUUACUGAUAAAUAUUAAAAAAGACACUAAAUAUAAAAUAAUACAAAACUAUCAUUUGUCAAUAAUAUACAAAUUAAAAAAUAAUCAAAUAUAUUUUACCGAUAAAUAUAAUUAUAUGAUGAACAAAUAUUUAUUAUUAAAAUGACUUGUAUAUAUGACAUACAACUUUUGUAAUAUCUUUUGUUAAUAUUUAUCUUUAUUGUAUAAGAAUUUAAUUGUAUAAAUUUCAACGUUACUAUAUUAUUUUGAUUAUAUUAAUUUUACGUCGUUAACAAUAUGCAUUUAUAAUUUAUUUUAAUAUUUGAACAAAACACGUAAACGAAAAAACAUACUUCUAUUAUUAUUUAUAUACUUCUCGAAUUGAAAAAUUAAACCCGUGCAAAUUCCCAUAAUUCUUACUAGUUUUAAUUAACAAAAUUAAAUCGUUGUAUUGAGACCGUUUGUCUUUUGGCCCCUCUUGUGCCUGUCUUUCAAUAAAAUAUUUUCUCAGUUACCAAAGAAUUAUUAAUGUAAUAGUUUAGAUUUGUGUGAUCUCCAAAAAGUACGAUAAUGCAGUGUUGGAUCGCAUGUCAUUUUCAACUUCCAAUCCAUGUUGUCCAUAUAAGCAUGCAUUUUAUUAAAUGCAAAUUACAUAUUUUUCUAAAUUACUUUUAAAAAGAGUGAAUAAUUUAUCCCAUUCAAUAAAAUUAACAUAUAUGUAGUAAAUUUGUAACUAGAGUAAAUAUUAUAUUUUAUCAUAUUGCAAAUUUACUUAUAGAAUUAAUUUGUAUUAAAUAUUAAGUAAAUUAUCCACAAUUUUUCAAAAACAACCUAAUUAUCGCCAUUCAAUAAUUGUCCAAUGUAAGAAAAGAUCAAAUUAGACGUCUAAUCCAAUAUGUAUGCCAAUUAUAAAAUGCAUGAAUAGACGGAAGAUUCCCGUUGAAAACUUAAUUUUGAACUAAAAGCAUCACUCAUCAAAUUGGAUGAUCUCUUGCAUGCAUGCUUCGGGUGUUUAAUUAUUAAUUAGUAUUGUCUAACUACAAUUACGACUGUGCAAAAAAUUCAGUUAUGAAGUCUUAAUUUAAAAUCGAUUUCAAAUUCAUUUUAAAUAUCCGAUUAAAAUUAUAUGGUUAUAAUUCGGUUUAUUUAUAAACUAGUUGGAUAACCACUUAUGUUUUAUAUUUGGAUUUGGUUUUUAUCCACUAUCAAUAUUUUGUUAAUUUUGACAUUUUAUUUAAAAAAAAAAAUUUAAAAUUUUAUUUUUUUUCAAAAAAAUAUCAGAAAAAAAAAAUAAAACUUUUUUUCUCAAAAGAAUUUUAAAUCAAAAUUUUUCUCGAAAAGUUUGGUGAGAAUUUUUUUAAAAAAAUUUAUCGAAAAAAUUGAUUUUUUUAAAUAACCGAUUUUUAAACUAUGAAUAAAUGAUUUUUUAAAAAAUAAUCAAAUUUUAACCGAUUUUAAAAUUAAAAUUUUCAAAAUCGGUUGCUUAAUUAUAAAUCGAUUAUUUAACCAUAACCAAAUUUUACAAUUAGUUUUAUAACCGAUUUUAAACCAAAUAAUAGAUUUGAUUAUAAAUCUAAAUUCAUAUAUUAAUUUUAAAAUAAUAUGGUUUGUUUUUUUUUUUUUUAAAACUAACCAUGAACAGCCCUAACUACAAUACAUUUUUUUGAAAAUUAAGGAUCUAUCCUACCUAUAAUCUAAAUAGAUGUCGGUAGUCCAUUUAGAGUUGUUGAGAAUGGCAAGUUAAUUAGUUAAACAUAUUGUCCUACAUAUUGCACAUCAUGUGCUUAAGUAAUUCUAUCUUUUCAUGCAAAAAAAAAAAAAAAAACAUUGUCUUAAAUAUUGAUAUUGAUAUAAAAAACAUUGAAAAAAGUUGAAGUAGGAGAAUGAAAGAUGCAAAGAAGGAAUUGAAACAUUUAGACGAUGCUAAUACAUCACUAAUUGCAUUGUUCUCCGAAGAGGAAAUUAGAUGCGCAAUGUUGGACUGACAUAGUCUCAAGAGUUCGAUGAUAUUUCAGUUGGUUUCUUCAAGUAGUAUUUGGAAGACAUAAAGACAGAUUUCAUCAAAUACAUUUUGGAAUUUCAUGUUAACGGGGAAAAUUUGUGAAAGGAGGAGGAAAUUACAAGUCAUUCAUUGUGUUGAUACCCAAGAAAGAUAAGCCACAAAGAUUAGGAGAGUAAAUAUAUAUAUAUAUAUAUAUAUAUAUAUAUAUAUUAUAUAUUAUAUAUAUUUUAUUUCUAAUUGGGUGUAUAUACAAAGUCUUAGUAAAAUUAUUGACCAAUAUAAUGAGAGGAGUAAUUAAUAAAGUUCUUAGAAUCAAACAACUAUAUUGUCAAAGAAUGACAAAUGUUGGAUGAAAUUUUAAUCGCUAAGGAAUUAUUUCACGAGAUGAAGAGAAGAAAAAAGAAGACAAUGUUAUUUAUAAUACAUUUCGAAUAGGCAUGUGAUUUAGUUGAGUGGUAUUACUUAUAGGCCAUUAUAAGUAAACUGGAUUUCUAUGAGUGUUGUAGGAGAUAGAUUACAUGAUGCGUGAGCAUAACGUUAAUUUGAGUUUUGGUAAACAAAAGUACAACUAAAUAAUAUAGAGUUGAUUGUGAUUAAGGCAAGGUGAUCCACUAUUGUCUGUCGUAUAUUAUGAUUGGUGCAAAAAGACUUAUGAAAACAAUCAACCAUCUAAUCCAAUUUAGGAACGACACCAUUAAAGUAAUAUUUCACCCUCUUGAGAUGGUUUCAUGAUUAAAAAUCAAUAUCCAUAAAAUUAAAAUUGUUUGUUAGGAAUUAAAGUUUCUCGAUAUUGGUUACAUGAAGCGGCUCAUAUGUUAAACUUUAAAAUUGGUGAUAUCCAAUUAUGUAUUUGAGAUUUCUUGUUAGAGUUAACCGUCACAACAAUCAAUUUGAAAGUUAGCGUGCUUUGAAAAUGUCAUCCUAUCUUACAAAAUGUGAAAACAUAGUUAUAGAGUUGCUUCUUGAUAAAACGACUUGGACGAGACCUCAAAUAUUUUAAGAAUUCAUAUUUAUAGAGAUAGUUUGAUGAAGUUGCUUACCCAAGAUUUAAUAAGAUAUAUAUUGAGAGAAUGCUUAGAACCUCGUACACUUCAAUGUUAUGAUUUCUAAAAUAAUUUGCAAAAAUCAAAAUUUCCACCUAAUCUCCCUCAUAUGCCACCUAAUAAAAAAACAUAGUAUUAUGAUGGUUUAUCUUAUCACGUAUCUCAUAUUGUGACCAGCAAAGGGCCUUAUGCUUUAAUUUUCGAAACAAAAAAUAGAUAACAAAAGAAUUUAGAUACGUAAUACUUACCUCAUUAUAUAAAUUUACACUACACAUAAUGAAAUUCAACGGUAAAGAAUGGGGCAUUGGGUAUUGAUCGAAUACAUGUUUUUGUAAAGGCAAUUGAAAGAGGAAGUGAAGAUGCAUGAAUACAUAUAUCGAAGUAGACUAAAGAAGUAAAGUCACAAAUACAUAUAAUGAAUUUUGCUUAUAAUUAAAAAUGACAUUGUUAGCGUAUUCCUCACAUUUCUAUUACUUUAUUUGGCAUACAAAAAGCAGCUUCUCAAUGUUUGGCUUUAAACAUUCAAAAACUAUAAAUUUUGAAAAAGUUGAUAUGCUAAAGUUAAUUUCAGUUCAUGCAUGAAUAAUAAUGGUGUAAAUUACUUCAAUUUUUCCUUUGCUAUAUAUACUCAUCUAAACGUACUAGAGCCAUGUGAACUUUCAGUCUCACAAGGGGAGCCAACUUCAUAUGUUUGUCUGUUCUACUUCGUGCAUAUAUUUAUGACUAUUAAAUAGAAUUGAUGAUUUUUUUUAGGCAAAGCAAUAAUGACGACAAUAAGACAAAAUAUAUAAACAUUGCUAUUACAAAUAUUCGACAAUACAAUGUAUUUAUUAUUAAUGGCCUACCCCGGAAACAAAUCCAUAUAAAUAUAAAUAUAAAUACGAAAAGCCUAGCUAAGUGACCACACUAUAUAUUAAUAUUAAUUACCCUCUUAAUAUUACUUACAUAAUAUAUACCACAAUCUUCAAACAUCGAAUCCCAAUCUAGCAUGUGCCUUUGCCCAUAAAUACACUCACAAAUAAACGAAUUUUGACAAUUUAAUUAAUAAUAAAGAACCUUAUAUAUAUACUAUACAUGUACAUGUAAAAUACAUACAUAUCUUUAUAGUAAGACCAUAUUAUUAUUAUCAACCUCAAAUCUUAUCGCGUCCAAGUUUGAGGCCACGCCAUCUUCUAGGCUAUUUUCUUCCAAAUCCAUGUUCCACAAGAAUCCAUAUCCAUCAUGAUCACCUUUGGAACUAAUUUGAGUAAUAGUGCUAUUAUUAUUAUUUGGAUUUGUAUCACGAGAAUAAUGAAGGAGAUUCAUCAUGGAAGAAUUGUUUUGGUUGGGAAUUAAAUGAUGAAGUGUUGUCAUAGAGGAAGAAAAAGAAUCAAUUCGGUUAUAGACACUAGGCAUGGUUUGGUUUGUUGGAGAUGAUGACGCCAAAGUUAGGGAUGGAUGUGUUGUCUCAUACAUGAGUUGUUGUGUGUUGAUUUUGGAAUUGUUAUUGUUAUUGUUGUCUUCUUUGCUUUUGUGAAAGACUCUACACAAAACCCAGUCCUCCUGUAAUCAAUAAAACUUUGACCUAAUUAACAAAAAUAUAUGUGUAAUUAAAUAAACUUUACCCUUACGCCAAAAAUACACGGCAUCAAAUUAUGGUACCUUUUUUUUUUUUUUUUUAAGAUUUUAAGGUAGCCUUUUAUUUUCCCCUUACAGUUUAUUUUAUUUAUUUAAUUGCUUACGCCCUACGACAAUUCGUCUUUAACAUAAAGGAUAACUCUUUCUCUAAUGAGAAAUUGAAAAAUAUAUCAUGUGCAUUUUAUGGAGAAUAUAUCCUAAAACUUGUUUGGUCAUAUUUUCAACAAUAUUAUAAAGCUUGUUGAGAUACAUAUUCCCUAAUACUAUCAACUUUUAGUUGCGGAGAAAUAGUCAAUAAGUUUUUAAAACUUUAUAUCAACUUUUGAAUUGUGAUCUACUUAAUUUUUAUUUUUAAGUCAACAGAUACAUUUUUCAAAUCAAUGUUUUACAUCAAAUGAUUAUAUAUAUAGUAAGAUUUGAAAGCUAUAGAUAGUUAUGUAUGUGGAUAAUCCAAUUUAAGGGUCAGACCACUAAAUAGUUUUAGGUUUUAAAAAUAAAAUUGUCUCAUAUUUUAAAACUUUUAAAGUUAAAAUUAAUAAAAUCUUAUAAAAAGUUAAUAUGGGGUCUCAAUAAAUAUUAAAUUAAUUGGCUUUAUUAUCAAUUAAAAAAUAAAUAUUAUACAAAAUCAAUUCUAUUAAUUUAAUAAAUAAUUCUAUGUUAUAGGGUUUAAUAAUUUUGUAAUCACUGUAAAAUUUUAAUAUUUUAUUUUUAGUCUUAUAAAAAAUUUCUUCAACUUUUAGUUUCCAAAAGUUUUUCGUCUUUAAUUUUUAUCCUAUUUUUAAGUAAACUCAUGGUUAUGCUUUGAAUUUUUUAAUGAUUUUUUAAAUGCAAGUUUAUGAUAUUAUAAAAAUCUAUACCACAAAAAUUUAUAAUUUGUUAACAAGAGAUAUAAAUUAAAUACGAAUUUUUAAGCACAAAAACCUUAAAUUUUCAUAUUUAAUUAAUCUAUUUUAAAAAAUAAUAUAAAUUUAUUUAAGGGAGAUUUAUAAUGUACUAAAUAUGAUCAUAUAUAAAAAUAUUUAAAUUCAAAGGAUAUAUAUGGGUUGACUUAAAAGUAAAGACAAAAAAUGAAGAACAAAUAUUUUUUAGACUAAACAUUCAAGAAAUUUUUUAUUGAAACUAAAAAUAAAACAUCAAAAUUUAUAAGAAUUAAAAACUUGUUUAAUUCUAUAUUAUAAAUUUUCUAAAAAUUCAUCUUUAAUAAAAAUUAAUAAUUUAAAAAAUAAUAUUAUAAACUUUAAAAUAUCUAAUACUAUUAAAAUAUGUGUCGGACCUUCAAAUAUUUGGAUCAGCCCAAUUGGUAAAUUUUUAUAUCAACUUAUAAAUAGGAUAUGUAUGUAUUGGUAUGUUAAAUAUGUGUACUACUUGUAUGAAGUUAUAUGAGCGAAAGACAUGGCUUCUUGAAUUUGUUUCACAUUACAUAUAUCAUGAACGAUUUAAUUUUAUAUAUUUUAUCAAGGUAAAAACUUAUUAAAUUGUCAGUUAAUCAUAACAUUGAAUUAUUGAGAAAUGUCCAACUUUAACUAUAACUAUGUCUAAAAUCAUAUAUUUUGAUAGUCGUUAGGGAUGAGAAUAGGCUAGUUCAUCCGUCAGGGGCUUAUGGUCUAUUUAAUAAAAAGGUUAGACUCAGACUAUUUUUAAAGCAUAUUUAUUUAAAUAGGUUAUAAAAAAGCUUAUUAGGCAUGUCAGACCGAUCUAUAUAUAUUUUAUUAUUUAUUAAUGUUAUUUUUUAUUAUUAUAUUUAUAAUAAUAUUUCCUAUUUUAAAUUCUAUCAAUUAGACAAUCACUCAGUGAUCAUUCCAUAUUCGGUAGUCGUUCCAUAUUUGGUAGUUGUUCUUUAUUCGGUAGUCAUUCAAUUAGUCAAUCACUCAGUAGUCGUUCCAUAUUUGUUUGAAAGGUAAUAAUGGGUGCGUUUGUUACAGAAAAAAAAAAAAAACCUAUUCUUUGAAAUCAAAAAUUAUUUUUUAGAGUUUAAAUGAUGUUUCUUUCAGAUUUUUUAAAAAUUAUUUUGUUAGAAAAAUUAUUUUUUGUUUAAUAUAUAUAGAUAUGUACACUGAUAUUGGUAUGUGGACAGAAUCAUGUAGUAUGAGUAGAACAUUUAAAUGUUUUAAUGUGAAUAAUGCUUUUAAAUAGGCUUUCAGAUUAGGCCAAGCUAGAUCAAAAAAAAAGCCUACGAUAGGCCUAAAAAAUUAAUCAUAGGCUAUGCUCAGGCCUUUCAAAGUCUGACCUGACAUGACUUAUGCCCACUCCUAAUAGUCGUGUGCAUCGAUAAUAUAAUAUUUUACAUUGACAAAUAUGACAGUUAAUCUUUAUUUGUGUUUUAUAAUUUGAAAUCAAAUACUUAAAUAUUCAACAUCGAGAAAUAUAUAUUUGUUAACAAAUUAUGAAGUCAAGGUGUGUAUUACUCAUGUCUUAAAUAUUAGUAGAAGUUUAGUUAAAAGAGAGUUAUGUAUUCAUAAGUAAUUAUAAUAAAAGUUAUUUAUUAUUAAUGAUUUAACAAUUAUAAUUAAUUAAUAGUUUAAAAAAAAUUACACUGAUAAUAUAUAUAAAAUCAAAAUUUUUAAAUAAAUAUAAUAAAAUUUUUGACUAAAUUUCAUUAUUUAUAUUUAAGAUAGUAGAAAAUGAAGUAUAGCUCUUACUAAUCAUGAGCAAGAUUUAUAUCCUGUAUACAUAGGACAUAGGCCUGUCUCUCAAUUUGGAUGGAUAUGCAUGAGUCAGAUUGAAUAUUAGGAUAUAUUCAUGGAAUAUAAAAAAGAUGACACUAAGUUGUGUCUCGUGUAUAUCCACUUGCAUAAGUAAUACCGGAAAAUAAUCCAAUGUUGUUGCUUAAUUGGUAUUUGCAUCAUUUCAAUGUAAAAAAUUUGCGAAAAGAACCGUAUUACGGUUUAUAUAUAUAUAUAUAUAUAUACUUUUUUCUGCAAUAGUUCCCUAAUAUAUCUCACUUUAUAAAAUAUAUACCGCAGAAUAAUAAAAAAAUAAAAAAAUUAUAAGUUGAUAAAAUAAUUAUUAAAUUUCUUUUUUUUAUAAAUGAUCGCAUAUAAGGAAUGUAACUUUUUACUGCAAAAACAAAAAAUAUCAGAAAAUAGGUUGUUUGUAAAAAAAUGUAGGACAUUUUAAUAUAUAUUUUUUAAAGUGAAGUUUAUUGGUGAUUUUUUUUAUAAAAAUGAUAUAUAUAUAUAAAGAACACCAUAUUACAUAAAAAAAAAAAUUGAAUGUGUCCAUUUCUUUUUAUUUAUUUAUUUAUAAAUGCGGGCUUUGUGUGUGCCUGAAAGAUCUAUGAGGGACGAUAUAUCUAAAUUGAAUUUUGGGAAAAACUAAGAUUAUGUAUGAGUGCUUAAUAUAUGUAUCAAUGUUAAACAUGUGUUUUUCUGGGCACAAAAUAUAUAAGCUUGGUGUAUAGCUCAAUAGAUCUACAAUAAAAUCUAAUAGUAUCUUAAUUGAAUUUUGAGUUUAAUUUACCUCUGUAAAAUAAAAUUUUAUGUGAGGAGUGUCUACUGUUUAUAAGUUUAUUGGUUUUUGUUUUUGUUUAUGUAAGAUAUAGUAUUUCCAAAGUUAAAUUGAAAGUGGCAGCCUAUAAAAUGGGAUAUGGAUACCCUAGGAUAAUUGAAGAGAAAAUAGAUAGGAAAGAAAUUACCUUAGGAGGCAUAUGUGGUGUCUCCAAUCGAAAUUCAUGCAUAAUCCACCCUGUUUUGAUACCAUUUGGAGCUCUGUUCCUAUAGAACACCAAUGUCUUCCUCAUCCCUACAACCUCUUGCGUCAUUGGAUCUAACACCGUUCGAUCCUUCCCCGUUGCUUUCCAAUACCCAGAUAUUGUUGCUCUGUUUGUUCUAAACCCUGUCGCAUAUUUUCUGUCCCUAAAGCUAAAGAAAUACCAUUCAUUUGCAUUCAGCUUUGCCACCUCUGCAUGCAAUAUUCAUUAAUAUACCAAAUAGACAACACGUGACUAAGGUAAGGUAUAAUAGUACAUAUAUUUGCAAUUAAAUUGUCUACCAAUUCAAUUUUGGAAAUUAAUAAUUGUCUUAUGUCUUGUGAGUUUGGAAUCACAUGUCAUCUUCUUCAUUAUGACAUCAAAUUUUCAAGUUCCCAAUUUUACCAAACAAAGAUGACACCAACAUAGCGUUUCAUGACAUCAACCACAGUUAUCACAAUUUACAAGUUUCAAACCUCCAACUCACUGUUUUUGCUAUUUAUGUAUUUUUUUUCUUUCUCCUUCUUAUUACCUCAUUUCAUAGCUUUCAUAAUUAAUGUUGUGCAUCAAUAAGAACUAAUUAACCACAACCAAGAAAGAUCGUGAAUAAAUGUCAUUUCGUGCUUAAAAAUUUGUUUUUCUUAUAUUUAAUUAUGAGGGGACCCUAACAAGGACGCAUCUAUAGAUAAUAUGAUAAUGAGUCAUAAUCAUUUAGAUACAGAGUCAUAUCAAAUAAAGGUAAUUCAAGCGUAUGCAUAUUUAUUUUUUUAUACACGUACGUAUUUGUAUAAUAAUAAUACUGUUAAAGACGGGAUUAAUUGUUGAUUGCUUCAUGAAAAUGUAUUACUUUGUCAACAUAUAUAUUUGUUAAAAUAAAUAAUAAUAGUUGCCAAAUAGGUAUAUAUCUGAAACUUAAAAUUAAAGAGACACUUUGACAAAUAAAUAAAGGAAAUUUCAUUUAAAUAAAUCUCAAGAGAAUUCAUUAGGCCUCUAAUAGUUAUUGUUCACAGAAUAAGUGAUAAAUAACAAUCAAGUUGUACAUAAAUGAAUAUUUUAAAUAAAAAAUUUAUAUGAGGAUAUUCUAUAAAUAUGGCUCUGUACUCAUGAUGUAGAAAAAAGUAAAAACGUUUUUUAUAUUGAAGAAUGCAAGGGGAUCCUUGCAGCAAUGAUUGAAGAUAAUGUUUGUGUGAUAUAUAGUCAUACCAAAGAUUUGUAUAGUGUAUGUGCUUUUAUAUUUAUUUUGAUUCGUUGCUAGUGCAAAUUGAAGAAUCUUUUAUAUCAUAUAAUAUUUGAUAAUGAAUGAUGCAUCUGAAUUAAAUUAAAGUAACUCUUUGUUGUCUUAUACUUUGUAUUUUACUUCAAAAGGAUAAAUGUUAUCUUCCUAAAUUGAUUGCUUUUUAAAUCCGUUUUAACUGAAAGAAGAAAAUUGUUGGAAAAGAAGGGAAUUGAUCAGAUAAAGGAAAAAGACAUGUGAGAAGAUAGAGCUUAUUAAAAAAAAACAUAAUUUCCAUCUUCAUUAAUGUAAUUAAUUGUAUAAGACAACUAUAUACAAAAGGCAAAAACAAUUAUACCAUCAAAUCUACAUCAAUUAGUGAAGUAUAUGUUACAUAAAAAUUAAUUAUAAAAAAAAAAAAAAAAAAACUGAUUUUUUAUUUAUUUGUAGAGAGGCAGAGUAUUCAUGAAGGACUAUUAAUUUGGCAUUACAUACAUGAAUGCAUUAUGAUCUCUUCCUCUUACCUCUCCAUCCCUUUUUUUCAUUAUCUCUCUCUCUCUCUCAUGGUUGUCAGAGCAGGUUCAUGAAGGAAGACAAAACAACAACUAUAGUCUAUAGACACAAACAAAAAUUUAUGAGGAAAUAAGAACAAGCAUCUAUCUUUUUGUGAUGUGAAGUAAUUAAUGUUAUAAAGUUACUUUUCUAGUUUUCUUGUAACAUAGACACAAACAAAAGGAAAACAACAAAUGGGAAAAGAUCAUGCAGUUACAAACAAAACAGAUCUUCCAAAAAUGAAAAAAGAAAAAUAAAACUAUAAUAACAAGAUAAAGUCAUAAAGAUAAUUAAUAAAUAAAUAAUUAACAUUAAUAUACCAGGAAGCUGCCAUGGUUCACAUAUGUGAAGAUCAAUUUCUACCAAAGUACCCUUAAGAACUUCCUCAUUUGAAAUCUUUUUGUAAAGAUAGUGACAAACCAAUUCCUCAUCACUUGGAUAAAAUCGAAAUCCAGGAGGAAGUGAAGCUCCUAUGUCUCUCAAACCCAUGGAUUUGAUAUUAAUUUGAAAGGAGUGAAAUAAAGAAAGAAUAUUUUUUGUGGAUCAGAGUUGUAUAAAGCAAGGAAUGUGGAUAAUGUAUAUAAUUGAACCUUGGAGAGAGUUAAUCACUAUAGUAUGGUAUUUUGAAAUAUUAAGGUGUAGGCAGAAAGGUUGGUACCGUGUAUUUAUAUAUAGUUAGGAAGAUAAAGAGAGUUUGGGAGUUUAAUUAUAAUUUGUUACUAAAAUAUUCCAGCAGGGGCAUGCUUGUGUAAAUGGUUAGUUAUAGUAGGAAGUUUCAAGAUAAACCAAAGUUACAAGAAAUCUUCUAACAAAUAAGACGAGAACAACACUGUAACUAUAUAUCAAACAUACAAAUGCUUCUAAUUUUAUCAUUCUCUAUUAUUAAAUUAACUAGCUUUUUUUAAAAAAAAUAUCUAUGCCUAUAUAUAUAUAUAUAUAGCAGUUUUUCUUUCUAUUUUAUUCUUUUGUUUAAAUUAUUUUAUCAUUUUUUACUAAUAAAAUAACUUAAUUGUUUUGAAAUAUUUGUUUAAAUUUUGCAAUUUCAAUAAGUUGAAUGUACUACGAUAAAAUUUGCACUUUUUAUAAGUAUUUUAACAACUGACCCAAUAACAUUUUUUAGUAUAUUAUGUUAGUAUUUUCUCUGUUUUCACCCUUAAUACAUUCGAUCCCUUAAUUCAAAUUAAUUGAAGUACCUUAAAUUGAUUCUUAUUCUUAAGCAAUUGUUUGUCAUAUAUAAUGAACAAUUAUUACAUGUCGUAGCUAGCUACUUGCUCAAAUUGGUCCUUUAAAUCUCCUUGCACGCAUAAAGUUGGUCUUUUUUAAUUUUUGUUACCAAAAUACAUGUUACUAUUAGGAGUUUGAUAUGGAUUAAACGGCGCUGAUUUAUACCUUGUAAAUUUAUAUCAAAUUGGUGUUUUAAGUUUUGUGUUAUAGUAGAUUAGUCUUUUAAAUUUGUUAUUUUAUAAGUACUUGUCCUCCUCUUACUAUGAAACCCAACAAACAACAGUAAGAUCAAACAUACACAGCAAUUUUCAUCAUAUUUAUUCAUAUCACAAUCUCAAUUUAUUUUUUGGGGAAAAAAUUCUUUCAACCCAUCUUGAAAUCCAAAAAUUUUAAAAAUAAAUAAAUUUAGUCUUGAAACCCAACAAAUGAAACCUAGUAAAAGAAGAAGAAGAAAAAAAGCAAUUGGAUGGUUGAUAAAACCAUCUUGAAAACAAAAUCAGAAACCCAUAUUAAUGUUGUAGUGUUGUUCUUCUUCAUCUUCACUUUCAAAACCCAAAUUAAUUGUUGUGAAAAAUGAUUCAAAGAUUAAAAUUAUUCAACACUAAAUUAGAGAAUGGGGCAGUGAGAUUUCUACAAGGGCAAAGAUAGAGAGUAAGAAGAUGAUAAAGGUUGAUUAAAAUCUUGAAUCGAAACAUGAAAAUCAACUAUCGAUCUAGUUUUAGUAAUUAGGUUGGAUUUUUUUCUUUUCUUUUUUUUUUUUAAAAAAAAAAAAUUCCAAAAUGAUGCCUCUUUUUAAGUGAUUUGAGACUAAAAAGUAGAAAUGAAUAAUAACUUUCGCGCUGAAAAAAGAAUAAACUGAAAUGUAAAACACAGUUGUGUUUGACUUCUUUCUAGAAAUCAUGAUUGUUACUAGGCUUAAAUUUUGAUUGUAAUAAUAUUAUAAAGUUAUAGAUAUUAUAUUUUUGUUUUGUUUUAUAUUUAUAUUUGUAUUUUGUUUGACAUAAGAUUUUCAAAAUUAAUAAUAAUGUAUUAUUUAAUUAUUAUUAGUCUAAUUCCUUAUCAACCUAGCCCUAUAUGGAGGAACUCUUGUUUAGCCACAAUAAUUUGGACAAAUCAUUAACUCAACAAAAAUAUUAAAAAAGAGAAAAAAAAAUUAAAUAAUAUAUCUUUAAAAUAUUUAAAUAAAAUAUUUAUUUUUAUAUGAAUGUCUAAAUAAUAUCUCCAAAUCUGUAUUGUGAUUAAGCAAGAUUUGAUAUAUAUAUGUAUAUAUAUAUAUAUAUAUCAAACUAGUAAUCUUUAUACCGGUGACUAUACUCAUUCAAUGUAUUUAGUUACAUUGCUUUUAUGGCCUAAAAAACUAUUUUUAAGGUAAAAAACUACAUAUACUUUUUAUAUUGAUUUUGAUGAUAGUGUACUUGUAAAACCUUUCUAUAUGACCAGACUUUCUCUAAUGUACAUGCAUCGAUCCAAUAAUGUUGUAAAGAUAAAUUUUUUUACUACCGACAUUCAUGAUCAAUCAGCAUCAGAUGUCUGAAGUACCAAAGUAUAUGGUUUGAUUUUUUUGCUUUAUCAAAUAAAAAUGGUUUGAUUUUUUUUAGUUGUUUGUCCAAAAUGUUUAGCUAGCUAGGAGACCUCAUUGGAAGUAGUCUAAAACUUUCCUGGCUUUUGUUUACUAGAUUGAUAGAUAUCUUAAUUGGUUCAUCAAUUAGUUAAUUAUUUCAUAUUUUAUGUUAUGGUACAUUGAAUAGAGAUUCUUACUUGUAGAUCGUACCAAAAUCACGUUUUUCGUCGUUAUUCUUAUAAAUAUACUUUCGUCAUGCAUAUAUAUACAUACUUCUUUGUAGUACACUUCUUAAAUAACUUCGCUCCAAAUUCACAAUAGACAAGUGGCCGUUUUUGGUUUGAUAUACUUGUAAUUAAGCAAAUAAUAAAAAAUAUAUUCUCUCGAUCACUAUUAUAAAUAUAAAAAGUAUUCAAAUUUUGGUCAUUAGUAUAAAUAAAAGUUAAUUAUUUAGUCUUAUUAUUUUUAAUAAUCUUUAUUUAAUUCUAAAAUAUUUGACUUGAAAAAGUAGUUCAAUAUAUGAGAUUUAAAAUAGAUAAAUUAUUAAAUUCGACUAAUAUUUUACAUAAAAUUUAAAGAAAAUUAAUUUUGUUUAAUGAAAUUUUUUAAUAUCUAUGAAAGUAAUUUUUUUGUUUAUGAUGGUGACCAAAGGAAAAACUCAAGAAGAGUCUAUGACUCAAAUUUAUAUACACAGAGAUUUGAAUAAUACCAUAUUUAAAAGAAUAAAACUCAAUAUAAAAAUAUAAUAAAAUAAAAAUUGUUUGUUUAUUUACAGUAAUUAAUUAAAUGGAGAAAUAUACAGUGUUAGAUUGGGUUGGCGAAGCACGUGAGGUAUUUGAUAAGCUCUCAAAUAAGCGCAAAAUAGUUGAAGAUGGAGAGAUCCUAAACAAAAAAGAAGAAAUAAUUAAUAGCAGCUGUAAGUAGAAUUGAAUGCCAAUCAUGAACUUUGGAAGUCCCAUAUGUUCCGUUCUCCAUCACAGAUUCAUAGUUUGGAAAUGACGUAUGUAGCUGUGGGGUAUCCUAGCUAAUUGUCUUUUGAUAUGGGGUCUCUAAAUUGCCCACUUAUAAUUUGGAGGUUAAAUAACAAUAAUACUACAUCACUCUCUUUUUUUUUUUGUCUUUUAAAUUUUUUUUUUGAACUUUCAUUAUUUUUUAAAAUCAAAAUAUAAUAAAUAGUAUUUUUUUUAAUACCAUUAAAAAUCACAAAAUAUGGAUUAAGUUAAGUUUAUUUCUUUUAAUAAAUAAAAAGUAAAAAACUAUUUACAUAAAUUUAUUGUUUCUUAAUAUACAUGUUUAAUAUUAAAAAAUCAAAGUUCAGAGAUCAAAGAAAUAAUAAUAAUAAUAUCUUUUGUUAAGAUAAUUAUAUAUAUAUAUAUAUAUAUAUAUAUAUUAAUUUGGCUCUUAUAAUUUGAAGGUUAAAUAAUAAUAAGAUUCUUUUGCUAAUAUCAUUUUUUAUUGUACUGUUGUCAUAUAUUGUGUGUAUAUAGUGUAUAUAUAAUGAAUAGGUCAGGUUAAUUAGCUUUAGAAAUUGUAAAUAUUAGUUAACAUCGUCUUUGAUUUUUAUGAAUUGAGAAAUAUACUAUUGAAUUUAUAAAUUGUUAUUCAAAAUAUAUACUUUAUCGGUUGAUCUACUUGUUAGAGAUUAUAAUGUGAUGUAUUUAAAGAAUAUUUCACAUUACACAAUGAUUUUAUUUCAAGAUCAAUUUAUUAUAGAUUAAUUAACUUGUGAAAUUUAGAUCAUCUAAGUGAUAAUUUUUUUUUAAUAAUUGUGACUGUGUAUAAAUUACGAAUAAAUUAAUUUUUGAGAAAUUAAAAUUUCAUAGAUAAAUUACUAAAUUAGUCUUUGGUGUGACGAUUUUAGUAAAUGAUCAUUGUAAAAGAGUUAUAUAUUUAAUUAAUAUAUCAUAUCAUAAUUAAUCUUUAAUUAUAUAAGUUAAUAGAUAAUUUGUUUUGACAUACAUUAUACAAAUUCAGAUACAUAUUUUUCAAUCGCUAAAAAUCAAAGGCAAUUUUAACUAAAUAAUUUCGAAGACUAAUUUUUAUGUUCACUCCGUAUAUAUUUUAUGUCUUGAAAGAAAGCCGGACUAUAUAUAUGGGUUGAAGACUUAUACUCUAUGCUGAUAAUUAUUUUUUAUUAUUAUUAUUAUUAUUAAUGAACUAAUAUUAGUAUGUGAUUU
This 104042-nucleotide long non-coding RNA is filed under the name Cicer arietinum (chickpea). Its description in RNAcentral is "long non-coding RNA (CARI_LNC000822)". The record is from RNAcentral. Lineage: Eukaryota; Viridiplantae; Streptophyta; Magnoliopsida; Fabales; Fabaceae.